Molecule: long non-coding RNA, 89596 nt
Filed under: Ananas comosus (pineapple)
Lineage: Eukaryota; Viridiplantae; Streptophyta; Magnoliopsida; Poales; Bromeliaceae
Description: long non-coding RNA (ACOM_LNC003090)
Source: RNAcentral
CUUGGCCGGAGCAAGCUUGCUCCGGCCGGCCUUCGGCGGCACGGCGGCGCGCGCGGCGGCCAGGAACGGGUGCGGGGGAGUUGAAGAGUGAGGUGCUCACCUCAGUCGGCGGCGAGGAGCGGCGGCGGCGACGGCGGAACCAACCCAGCCCGCACGAGCUAAAGCUCGAGUUCCAGCGAAACUACGGCCACGGCGGCGGUCGGGGCUCCUCGGGGACGACGGCGGCAGGUCCUCAGAGGCCGGAGGAGGAGGAGGAAGGCGGCGGGCGAUAGCGGCGGCGGCCCGCGGCUCGGGCGCUGCCGCUCGAGCUAAGCUCGGUCUGCAGACCUAGGCGGCGGCACCCAAGGUUCAGGGAGGCCGUGGCGAUCCGAAGGGCGGCGGCGACCGGCCAGGAAGGUCGGUGGGACACAGGAGAAGGCCGCGGGAGCGACCUCAGGGAGUGGCGGCGCGGGGGCAGCUGCUGGAACUCGGCUCGGCCGAGCCUUGUCCUAGGCGGCAAACCAGCCAGGGCGGCAGCGGCGGCGCUAGGCGACGGCGGCGGUCGGCGGGGAUGCUCGCCGGAGCACGGGGCGACACUAGCAGAGGGUCUGGAGGUGGCGGCAGUCUCGGGCUUCCUCACAACCCGAGAGAAGAGAGAAAGAAAGAAGAUGGCGCAAUGGUUGGGUGGCAAGGCUGCGGCGGCGGCUGGCCGGCCGGGGCUCAGUCGGCGGCGGCCUGGGCGUGCGCAACAGGUGCAGGGAAGUGGGGUGAAGGUGGCUGGGGGUGCGGCUAGGGCUAGGUUAGGGUUACCAGGCUCCAAACCCUAGAGAGCUAUAAAUACCAAGGUGCAACUUUGCAAAUAAGUCCACCAAACCUCAGUAUUUAUUACUUAGUCCUUCACAGUGCGUAUAAAACGCGCGAACACCCUUCCACGUGCGAUCCCACGUAAAACGGUACAUAAAAUAUCGAGACUUUCGCGAAAAUACCAUUUUGCCUUCACCGACCUCUCCUCGAUCAACGUGCGAUCUCCGCAGAUCCGUCCGUCGGAUUUGCGAACGGAUUGCACCAGUGCGAUCAGCACCUCGGAGAUAGCAAAGCUACGAUUUUUGGUUCACCUCGAUCGACCACGAAUUCACGACGAAAUCCAUUCUCUUUCCAAAAGGCCGCAAUGACGCAAAAUUACAUAAGAAACAUGUAUUUUCAGAUUUUCUUGAAAUCCGUGCGUCAAAACCAAAAUCCGUCAGCGCCAGUAGUUCCAGAAUAGCUAAACCGAUCGAAACGAGCUAUUGGACUGCUAUGAACGGAGUCCGAUAAGCACCAGAAGCCAACUCUACUCCGUGGCUUCUUCGGAAAACCGGAGUUACUAUUCACUUAAGUGAAAACUAAAAAUCGCGUAUCUUCUCCAUUUUAGCUCAUUUUCUUCUGAAACUUGACGAGUACUUAUGUAAUUAAAUUACACACAUAAACAUCGUCAACUGAGAGUUUAACUACACUACAAAAAUCUCAGUCCUUACAGACACCCAAAUAGUCCCACAUCAGAUAGUAAAAGGACUCCACAAUAGUAAUAAUAACUGGGCUUAAGCAUUUUGAGCCGAUGAUUUUGAUCCAACAAGUUAUUAUUGCUGGCGAGUUGGGUCGUUACAUUUGGUAUCGAAGCAAGUUCACCAGUCAGAAGUGUGAGAUGAGUCUUGGCUGAGUCAGGGUUGGAAUGACAGACUAAGACAAAGUUGAUGAAUAACAGGCUAAGUCAGGGUUGGAAUGACAAGGCUAGCAAGACAAGUCUCACAUCGUCUAGUGAUGUUUGUGUGUUUAGGGCUGACAAGGACAUCAGGGCCUAAACGGAGAGGGGGGGGGGGCUUGUGACACCCCAAUAAUCCCAUAUCGAAUAGUUAUGGCUAGAUGUGAGAGUAUAUAAACUUAAUUAGGCAAGACAUAAUAACUGAAUUUACACAUUUUGGGUCAGCGGUUUGGGCCCAACGAGUUAUUAUUGCUAGUGGGCCGGAUCGUUAAAUCUAUAGAAAUUCACUAAUUAAGCAUUAUUAACCUAAAAUUAAAGCUAUUAAAGUGGUCCCACAGCCUCUCCUUAAAGUCUAAAGUCCAUAAAUCUGUCCCCUACAGCAACAGGAAGCUCCAAUAGCCAAUUUUCCAAUUGGAUCAAGUCGUUACUGGAAUUAAGCUGAAAUUCCAAUGUUUCAAGGAGAAAAAAUAGAUUUGUUGGGGCUUUAGAGGGAAUUUGGUGAAAGUUUCAGGUUAGAUGUGAAAGAGGGUGAAAAAUGACUCUCAGGGACAAUCUCCCAUUUUGUAUAGUGGUAUUAUAGGUUGGGUAAAAUGAGCCACAAGAACACAAGAUAAUAACCUAUUACAGUGUUGAAAUUCCCACUUUCGGGCGUCCUAAACCAACUUCCAGGCGCCCUAAACUUGUUCUGCACCACUCUUCAGCAAUUCGAACUCAUGCUCGCAGUGGUCCGGUGCGACCUAAACUGGUCCGACGGCUCACACCUACCACUUGCCUCGUGUCAACGGGUUCCACAUGAGGAAUAAUUUGGGCUCAACAUUUAGGCACCCUAAACCUGGAUCCGAAAUGUCUGUAGUAACCCAUACUAAAUAGCACUCACAUCUGGGCACCCUAAACCAUUUCUGGGUACCCGAAAUUGCCAAAACUUAAGUUUUGGCUUAUUUGAGUGCGUCGAGUUCGUUUUCGUGUCAACUUCGCGCUAAAAUAACUUCGACUCAUCGCAACACUCUAUAGAAGUGUUGACCAGUCACUAAUACUACAUUUGUUGUGAGGGUAUAAUGGUCGACAUCCCAAGAUCUAGGAUAAGUUCUGGCUUAUUUGAGUUCGUCGAGUUCGUUUUCGUGUCAACUUCGCGCCAAAAUAACUUCGACUCAUAGCAACACUCUAUAGAAGUGUCGACCAGUUACUAAUACUACAUCUGUUGUGAGGGUAUAAUGCUCGACAUCCCAAGAUCUAGGAUAAAAGUGUUAGAAACUUGCGUAUGGUAAAACGCAGCGGAAAAAGAAAUCAAACAAAUUUGAUUUUCAAAAACUCUUGAGAUCCAAUAUCAAGAUCAAGCAAUUAGGAUCCCUCAUGUUCUUUAAGAUUAGAGGAGAAAAGUAAGAUCGAAUCUUUACCUUUUGUGUGGGUAGAUCUUCACCUCAAUUUGAUGAUCAUAGAAUUAGAUUUUUUUAAAGCCGCACACGCGUCCGGCCUCUAUAGAAAGAUGGAAGAGAGAGGUGAAGAGAAAUGAUGGCUAGAAUUUUCUAAAAGCUUCCGUAUAUUAUCUAGAGAAAUAUAAUCCUCUUUUUAAUAAUAUAAUGACAAUUAAGAAUAAGUACAAAUCUAUAUUAAAUUUAUUCUUUCCUUAAUUGGUUAGAUCGAUCAAAAUCUAAUUUGAUUCGACUUAAAUUUAUCUUAGUUUGAUCAUAUCAAAUUAAUAAUACAACAUUUGCACAUAAGUCCUCUCAUAAUUUACUAACUAUUAGUUAGUCCUCUGUUGUAACAUUUACACUUUAAUAACACUAAUUUGUAAUAAUUACAAAUUAGUCCAAUUAUCAACAUAUUGACAAUUUGGUCUUUCGAUGAUUCAAAAAUCGCGAUCUAGCUAUCCGAUCAGUCACAACCUCUUAUGUGUGUGACCCCAUAGAUUCUAUUCUAUCUGGUAGUGAGAUAUAUUUUGAUUACUAUCAACAAUAUCACUGAAACUCCUUUCAAUGGAUCGGAACAAUUCUAACUCAGCCUAAUAAGAAUUACCGAUCAUCUAGAUAAUUCUCAUGAGUUUCAUAAUCCACCAGUGACGCCUAGCAGCAUGUAGUGGCAUUUUAGUAGAAUGGAAUACUGAACCUCUUGGUGUAAUUACCGUGUGAUACAAUCCUUCUAUCAUGAGUCCCGACUGGACAGAGGUCAUGGAAUAAAUCGCCAAACCCUAUCGUCUGUCAUAUGUCAAAUUUAUUCGACUCGAGUUUCUAAUAUCGAAAACCCCUUUCUGCUAUUAAGUCUGCCCUGACCAAGGUCUUCUAAACUCGGUCUCAUAAAUCACAUAGGAUUAACGCCCCUAUUUACCAAGGGAGAUAGAUUCCAUAUAAGUUUGCACCCUAUUCCUACAAUGAACCUACUAUAGCCAACAUGCACCGCAAGGACCGAAUGGCUAGGGACCAAGUGUAUGUACAGUCAAACUACAGUAACCUCAUUGUAAAUAGCCGAGGCACCGUAGGUCAAAGGACCAGUCACACUACUGAAACAUUGAGUAAGUCACUAACGAGUGAGUAGACAUCCAAGUGACUUCUCGCGUUGGUCAUGCUUGGUACCCUUGUUCUCUAACAACCACCCGCAUAUUCGCUUCAGUGUUCCCACACUGUCGACUCGAGACUCGUCUACCCCAAAAGGGAAGCGACCUAUGCAUCAAUCUCACCAGAUCAAUCACCGUCCCCGUAAUGAUCCAUUGAUCGGGAGCAUUUAGGAAUUAACCACUAAUGACACAUGUCUCAAAUUCUCAAUUCUUGAGAAUAUAUGUCAUCAUCUUAUUAAUUCCUUGAACGAUUCAUAGACACAUACACAAUAUGAAUGAAAAUAAGAAUCCUAAUUUAUUCAUAGUAAUUUAAAGUCAAAUACAAAUUUAUGUCCUGGAAAGAAUACAUGUGUCAGCCUGGUUUGCUUCUAUGGCAUACAUCUAACAAAAAGCCUUCCUUACCAACAGUUCGUCUUUAAUUAAGCCAUACACAGUUCCACUAGCAAGACUCCCUUGGAGGUGUGCUUGGGUUACUUACCAUCAAUCCCAUUCGACUUGGCAUUCACGGUCGAGCAACCAUAAACCACUAAGGAGAAAUUUGAAAUGGUGAAAGCACAACGCUUCCUGAAGGACAUUUAGAAAUUGCAUAGUGAGGUGGAACGACAAUUGCAAAAAUCUCAACAGAAAUAUAAAGAACAACAUGAUCGACAUCAAGUGAAAGGUGAUUUCCAAGAGGGCGAUCUCGUUUGGCUCCAUCUCAGUAAAGAACAUUUGAAAAGCAAGUUGAAAAAAAACUUAAACUCAUUCGCUAUGGACCUUUCAAGAUCUUACGCAAAAUAGGUGAGAAUGCUUAUGAAUUAGAGCUACCUGCCUAUAUGAAAAUGUGUUCAGUCGUUAAUGUCGAAAACCUAAAGUCUUUCAAUCCGUCAAUGUUGGACGAUGAGCUCGGAGAUGUACCGCCAUCCAUAAAAGAUUUUGUGCUAGAAAGCGUAGAGCAACUAGCUGAAGAUACUAUUCUGGAGCACAAGGUCACGACGACACGCAAAGUUCAACGUGAAUCUUCCCGUAUUGGAUGAAAAGGUUAAAAGCCAAAUGCAGAUAAAUGGUUCACAAGGGAAACUGCGAAAACUUAGUUCCCUCACUUGUAGGUCUAGAUCUAGUAGGUGCUGAUUCCUCUCAAAAUGGGGAGCCAUGAUCCAAGACGAUCAAAAAUUUUGGAUGAGUUUCGAUCAUUGCAAAUAAGAUAGAGACUGUCCCAACUAAUUUGGUUAAGAUAAAGUGAACGCAGUUCUAACUACUUCAAUUAGGAUAAGGAUCGAGACAGUUUUAGUAGAUUGGAAGAAUGAUCAAAUUCUUAAACCAAAUUGGAUAAGAAUAGAGCCAAUUUGGAUAAGAAUAUGGAUGUUAUUUUUUAAAUAUUGUAUUCUUAUCUUCUUGUACGUCCGAAGGGUAUAAACGGGGGUCUUAUGACUCCUGUAAAGGCACUCCAAUUUGAAUAAAGAUAUUCAAAUCCAAUUCUAACGUCUCGGAUAUUACAAUUCUAUUGCCAGUGAAUACACUUGCCCUUUUUGGCUUGUGGAAUUUACUAGAAGACUUUUGUUGGUUUCUCACCCUUUUUUUUGGAUGAUCUUAGUAGUAGGAGUUGGAACGGUGCGUGAGGUGUGAUAGUUAGUGAGCAUUAGAGAUCUGAGCAUUCGUCACUGAUUUAGGUUAUUCUAAUCUUACCUUAUUCUUUUAUUUGAUAAUAAGCUAGUUUUUGGUCGUAGUUCAAGCUUUGAUUCAUACGUUUGAUUUAUUGAUUAUGAUUGUUUACUCUUUGUGGAUGGUACUUUGAAAAUAAUUGUUCUGCAAAGCUUCUUUUAUUAUCGAUGGUAUUGAUUGUUGUAUCUGUGGCUUUAUGUUAAACUGAUUUUCUACCCCUCGUGGUAGUUGGAUUCCAAAAAACGAGUUUUCGUGUGGAAAAUAUUUUUCAAAUAGUUUUUUGGACUUUCCGACAUCUGAAUGGGAAAUGUUAAACUGAUUUUUUUGGUUGGAUUAAAAAAAAAAUGAGUUUUCGUGUGGGAAAUGUUUUUCAAAUAGUUUUUCGGACUUCCUGAUUUUCGAGUUGGAAAAACUUUUACAUGAUAAAAUUGAUCGAUGUUCGCGUAUUUGCAACAUCCUUCGCCUAAGGAGAGUUUAGAACAUGUAUCAUCUUAAGGAUGCCGAACUGAAUGGAUCUUGUGAGCAUCUACAAUUGUGUUGUUGUUAUAUGUGAGUAAAUGUGUGCAUUGUGAUUUGUACUUGUAGUAGUAGGCCAUGCAAAUAAUAGAGAGACUCUAUCCUUAUGGACAGAGGUGUUUCUAUAUCUGUGCGGGUCUAUUCUAUCCCGUGUGCAAGAUUGUAAAAAUGGUUUUCGGGGGGAAGGGGGUGAGGGGAUCUUUUUCACUGUCUUCAUUUUCAAAUUAGCCAUCUUUCUAAAAAGGCCGUACAAAAGCGGUCCCGAGGAGGAAAGGGAGCUUUUUCACUGUCUUCGUUAUAAAAUUAGCCCUCUUUCUAAAAAGGCUUUACAAAAAGGGUCCCGGAGUGUGACAGUCCAAGGUUUUUGUUUAAUAACAAAAAUAUUAAAUAUAACAAUAAAAAUAAGAAACUCGAAAAAAAUUUUCAAUUCCAAGAUUUUUCUAAAUUAGUUCAUUCAUGACUUAGUCAAAGUGUAAUGAUAGCUUAGCAACCAUUAAAGGAAAAAAAAAAAAAACUCACUCAACUAAUGUAUCAAAUUAUGUAGAAAUAAUAUUUAAAUAAACAAAAAGAAACAAAAACAAUGCCAAAUAAAAUCCAAAGUUUAUAAUUUUACAGACAAAAAACUUAAUUUUCUACUAUGUAUGCACCAAUUGCAAUGGUAAGGCGUCUCAAAAGGUCACGCUUUACUUUCGCGUAGCCUUCAGUUCCCCAAUCACUCCCCCACGAGUUCUUGAUUAGGUAAUAUCUGGUGCCAUUUUCGAUACCAAAUCCAAUUAUAGCCACUGAAUGCGCACCUUUCUCUCUCUCUCCAGGUUGAGGUCCCAUAUAGAUAACCUAAAAAAAAGAAUAAAAUAUUAUCAAGCAUGUAUAUGUGUGUGAGUAUAUACAUACAUUCAUACAUAUAUAUAGAGAGAGAGAGUCCAGCUAUGGUACUUUUAAAAGCACCAAGUAUUUGGCGCUUGUAGGUUUUUAGCCAUUAGAUCUACAUUAUUGACCAUUUACACCCGUUAAAUUAUACUAUUCAACCAACCACCCACUCAACCCUAGGAGGCCCACAUCAUUCUAACCAUACAUUUUUUAAUCCAAUGGCUGAAAAUCUACAAGUACCAAUGUCUUGAUACUUUAAAAAGCACAGAAGCUCAAUUAUAUAUAUAUGGCUGGGGCUACUAUACUCAUAUGAGUAUAGAGCCCUUUGUACUCAUAAGUUUUCGACCGUUCAGAUGAAAAAAUGUGCGGUUAGGAUGAAAGUGGUUACAGUUAGGUUGAUAGUGGGCCCCCUAGGGUUGAGUGAGUGGUUGGUUGAAUAGUAUAAUCUAACGGGUGAAAAUGAUUAAAGGGUAGAUCUAACGGCCAAAAACUUAUGAGUACAAUAGGCUCUAUACUUAUAUAUAUAUAUAGCAUAUAUAUAUAUAUAGUAUAUAUAGACAUAUAUAUAUAUACAAUAACAUAUACAUAAAUAUAUACAUAUACAUACACAUAUAUAAUAUACAUAUACAUAACAUACCAACAUAUACAUAUACAUAACAUACAUACAAUACAUAUACAUCCAUACAUACAUAUACAUACACAUACAUAUAUACAUAUACACUAUACAUACAUAAAUCAUACAUAUACACCAUACAUAUAUACAAUAUACAUAUACAUUACAUACAUAUAACAUAUAUCAUACAUACAUUACAUAUAUAGUUAUAUACUAUAUAUAUAUAUAUAAUAUAUAUAUAUAAUAUAUAUAUAUAUAAUAGUAUAUAUAUAUAUAUAUAUAUAUAUAUUGUAUGCUGUGCUAUAUAUUAUAUAUAUAUAUACAUAUAUAUAGAAUAAUACAUAUAAUAUAUAUAAUAUAUAUAUGUAUCUGUAAAUACAUAUAUAUAUAUAUGUAUAUAAUUAGUACAUACAUACAUAUAAUAAUUAUGUAAGUACAUAAUAAUAUAUAUUGUAUAUAUGUAUGUAGCAUACAACAUAUACUAUAUUAUGCUAUGUACAUACACUUCAUAUAUAUAUAUAUAUAUAUAUAUAUAUAAUGUAUGUACAUAUAUAUAUGUAUGUACUAAAAUAUCAAUUAUUAUGUAUUAGUAAAACUGACCUCUCUUUGUAAAUCUGAAAAACUAUCAAAAGCAGUCAAGCAAGCAGCAAUCGGACGUUCUCUCAAAAUAUUCAAAAUUUCUUCUUCAUUAUGUGUUCUUUCUAAAUUUGUUUGAAAAUUUUCAAUUGUCACCUUGUUUUCUGAAAAAUAGAAAUAUCAAAAAUUUAAUAAUUUUAUUUUAACACUAAACAAAUAUUAAAGUGUAAAUAAACUUACGUCUUCAUUUACUUGACAGUACCCUCUUCGCCCGAUAUAUGGACUAUCAACUUCCAAUGCAAUUCCAUGCAUUUUAAUAUAGUUCAGACAUUUCGAAUGACUGCAUUGAAUGCAUCCAACUGAAUCCAUAGAUAGCUCACUAGUAGAUGAAAAUCUAUGAUGAUAGCAGUUCACCAAUUCUUGUUUGGACAACUCAAUAAGCUCACCGUAUCUUCUUGCAUAUUCAGCUUCCACUAGGGUAGUGGACGAAAAUGCAUAGCAGCAUUCUUCAAAUAAUAAAUAAAAAGAAAAAGAAAAGUUUAUAAUCUAGUCAUUAUUCCAAUAAUUACACUAUUGAAUAUACUCACGACAUUCUUGUUGAUCUCCAACCUCAUGACGAAGUAUACCAUGCUGCCGUAAAUCAAAUGAUUCCUAUUAUAUUAACAAUAAAUAUAUAAGAGCGAUAAUAAACAAAUAUAUGUUAUGUUAACAAUUUAAUUAGUACAAUUUAAAUGAGGAAAAUAAUAAAAUUACAGUAUCAUUUAUAAUGACAUAUCUACUUCUAUAUCAUUAUCAUGUCGUUGACUAAUUCAAAAUUGAAAACAAUAAUGUUAAACUAUUUUAUUUUAUUUUAUUUUAAAAUAAUGACUAGACUUUUACUUAUUGCUCAUACACCCUGAAUUUUAUAGGGCACUCCACAUUUGGCCGCCCUUUCGUACGAGUUUUUGUGGUGCCCAACCUUGUGGAAGGGGCACUGGGGAAAGUUUCGAUACUGGAGCUUUUGCCAAAGCGCCCACUGGGCGGCCUGCUCAACCACAUCACAGGACCAAAUAGGCCCAUUGUUUGAUAUCAAACCAGGAAUGUAGUCCAUGCAAUAUGUGGAAUAAUAUUAAUUCAAAUUCUAAUCAUAAAUAUUAACAUUUUAUGAUAAUAAAAAUGUAAUUAUAGAAUAUAUAUAUAUAUAUAUAUAUAUAUUUAAGUAAAUUAGUAUUUUGUAAAAUAUAACUUAGUUCAUUAAUAUGAAAUUUAAAAUAAUGUAAUUUAAUUUUAUUGUCGAUUGCACUAAGAUAAUAUAGAUUUUAGAGUUUAAAUUUUAAAACAAUAAAUCUAGAUUGUAGAGCAGAAUAAAUUUUUACUAUAAAUUUCAAAUUUAGAAAAAUUAAUCUGUGUCAUAGGAUUUUACUAGAAUAAGUUUAUGACUAAGAAUUUAAAUUUAAAUAUAAUAAUAUGCGGCCGGAUUGAAUACAUGGAAAAAUAUAAUUUUGAAAUUGCACCACUCAGUAGUGCAAUGCUUUUAGGCAAACACAAUUUAAUAUAAAUAUUAACCAAUUAGGAAUUAGAUUGUUACUUGUUCUGAAUAAUCGACACAGACAAAAAUCAAUUUUAUAACAAAAUAAUGAAUUAGGUAUCCUACUAUUACUUAUUAGAAAUGAUCGAUAGAGAAAUGAUCUACGAAUUAAUACAGUUAAACCAAAGAAUUUCACAAUCUAAUACUAUGGCGUUGCCUACUACCAUUUUCAAAAAAACGAUAUUAAUUAAAAUUAUUGUUCCACUUUUUACUUGCCUGAAAAUAUUUUUUCCUAUAAUUUGAAAAGAAGAAUUUGGCAAAGCAAAAAAUUUUACGUAUGAUAAUAUGUUAUUACUAAUGUGAGCUCAUUGUAGAAGUUUAAAAAUUUACUGUAUGUGUGUAAUUCAAAAUAAUCCUAUUAGCAUGAGGGGUGUGCCGAAAUUUUACAAGUGAAUAGCCAUAAAAUGGCUCUCAUCAAGAGAAUUAAAAAUGUACUGAAAAGUAAUAACUUCUAUAGUAGUUUAUGGUCAAAAUUAACCAUACUGCAAACAAUUUCAUAUUAAUUUAAUGCGUCAAAAGUUUUUGUGAUGGAUUAGAAAAUUAAUACCAUGUUGGUGCAGGGACGAUACGCAGAGGAAAUCACUUAGCCUUUUUGUUUGGCAAUAAAAAACAGGAACUUCAAGUAUUUGUCUUAGUUGCAGGCAUAACAAACUAAUUUAACUUGAAAGCAUUACAACUUGAAUGCAUUACAUCAAGUAUUUGUGUUGCUUUUUCCCCCCUCCUCGCAUCCAAUUUGCAUGCAUCACAAGCAAAUUUAACAUGAAAGCAUUACAACGUGAAUGCAUCACAACUUCAACUUGCAAACUAUCCAGCAUACAUGGAUAUUGUAUGUGUAUUAUAGUUGUAACAUCCCAUACUUUUGUUCUUUUUACUUACCCUUCUUAAGUUAGAUUUUUCUGUAAAUAUUAAAAGUUGAGGAACUUGGCGAUAUUUUAUAGUAAUUAAUCUCUAGUUUCCUCUCUCCCUUUCCCUGUUGUGUAUGUACUAUAUUUGUAACGCCUAUACUUUUGUUCGUUUUGGGUCUUUUCUUGGAAGUUCGAUUUUCUUUUGUAAAUAUUAAAAAUUGAGAGGUUUAGCGGUAUUUUUUACUCAGCGAAUCGCUAUUUUUCUCUCUCUUUUUUGUUUCGAAUAAAUCCAGUCAUUCCGUCCCGGGGUAUUAUGUAGGCAAUGUCGGGCCGACACGAUCCACGUUAACAGGAUCGAACAGGCUAGGGCUCGGCACAACUUCAAAUCCGUGUUGGACCAUGCCAAACCGUGCUGGGUCGAAGCUACUCCACCCUAGCACGGCCCUCUAGCCUAGAAGGCAUGGGCCAUGAGGGACUACGCCGGUCUCCAAGCCGGCCCUUUAAAGUUGAUAUUGUUUUAUUUUAAAAAAAAGAUAUGUCAAAUUUAAAAAUAUGAAUAAUAAAAAAUUUAUUUUUGUUUAAAUUGAUAUUUUGAUUAAAAAUUUAAAAUUUAUAAAAAUAAUUAUAAAUAACAAAUAUAUAAAUAUUUUUUAAAAAAAUAUAUAAAUUGUUACUUUUUUUUUUUUUCUGAAAAAGAUUUGGUACAAUGGAAAAAAAAUUUGUUUGGUCUACUGAAUCAAAACCACUCCUGCCAAAAUCUGCAGUGGUAAACCUUGGAGAGGAGCUCCUAGGGAUAAGGGUCAAGCCCUUCUCUCGGCACAGCCCAUACAUGUUUUGGGCCGGGUUGUAUCAGACAUCGGGAAAAAAGGUAGAGGCCUAGCAUGGCCUGGAAGUUCGGGCCGGGCAGUGCCGGCAUGGAUUCUACAAACUCUAUGCCCUGCCGAGGUCGGCCCGAGGCAAUGCAGGGCCAGGCGGCCCACUGUUUUACAUUCCUAUUUCCAGCCCUCCCCCCUUCAUGAUUCUUUCUUAUCUUGUGUCCCGCCUCUCAUCGCCGUCAUAUGUGGCCGUUGCCACCACUAUAGCAGCGGCGCUCACUCUCAAUUAGCAUCUUUGGUUUCCGUCAAUGGCACCUAAGUCAUAAUUGUUUUCAUCUUAAAAGAGGUUCUUUCCUCUUCUUUUUGUCCUAAUAUCUAUUCUUGAAAAAAUCCAAUCUUGUAGUGUAUGUUAUUUAAAUAUUUUUAUAUAUUGUUCUCUUAAUGAUUAUAAUCAAAAUUAUUAAAAUUUGAUUUGUAUCAGUUCAAAAUUAAUAUUGAUUGUAUUGUUACUUUAACUUGUAUUUUUAUGAAAAUUUAGUUGUGUAAUUUUUCAUACAUUCUACAUGCUAUUCGGAAUUUCCUCUAGGUGUUCGACAAAAUUUGAUCUCAUCUAAUUACUAUAAUGAAUCGAUCGGACCUGCUAGCGAUAAUAACUCGUUGGACCCAAACUAUCGACGAAAAUGCUUAAACCUAAUUGUUAUUACUAUCUGACGUCGCACUAAUUGGGUAUCAUAGACUCCCUUUGGUCGAGCUCUAACGUCUUCCUCAACCCAAUCAGACGCACAUAGCCCAAGAUCACCGGGCGAUGUGAAACCUGUCUUACUAGCCAUGUCAUUCUCUGGCCAAGGCUUAGUCUGUUAUUUCGACGCUGGCACUGCGGAGACUCGUGUCAAAUUUUGACUGAUGAUUGUCUCUGAUACCAAAUAUAACGACCCGAAUGGAUCCGUAAUAAUAAUAACUUAUUAGACCCAAACCAAAGGUCGAAAAUGUUUAAGCCUAAUUAUUAUUAUUUGUAAUACCCCAGGAAUUAGAAUAAUCCUAUAUAUAAGAUAUAAACCUGUUAAUUCAACUAUAGCAUUUUAGGUAAUAGUUAGAUCCAAGAUGUUAAGAGAGUUAAACGCGCUAAGAUUAAAAUAAUCUUAGGAUGAGUGACCACCUAGGAAGUGGGUAGUCACAAUUAAUAUCAGAGCCAAUUAUUACCUAAAAUGCUAUAGUUGAAUUAACAGGUUUAUAUNUGUGAGAUAAGUUUCAGCUAAGCCAGAUUAUGCAGUGAGAAGAGUGAGGCUCUCUCCUGUUGAUGACUUUUAUAGGUAGAGUGUAGCUCUCCCAAAAGGUCAGCUAAGGCUAGCUCAACGAGUCUCAUAUCGCCUAGUACUUGUAAGUCUAAGGCUGAUGAGAAAGUCGGGACUUCAAAGGGAAGAGAAUGUGACAUCCCAAAAAUUAAAAAAGUCCUAUAUAUAAGAUAUAAUAAGGUUGAAACCUAUUAACCCAGCUAGAGUAAUAAACGAGCCGAACACGAGCUGGCUCACGAGCUGGCCAACGAACAAUAAGUUGAAAAAGAUUAGAUUGAAUAUACAUAAAAAAUAAAUUUAUAAAAUUUUAUCCAUUAGACUUUGAUCUAAUAGUUGAAACUUUAUAUAUAAAUGAGUCUUUUUAUAAUUAAGCUUGCAUUUGUAUUUUUAUUUUGCUAAAAAUUAAAUAAUAAAAAUAUAUAUUAUAUAUAAUUAUUUAUUUAUAUAUAAAAAAUAUAAAUUAAAUAAAUUAUAUAAAUAUAAAAUAUAUGUAUUCGAGCUGUUAUCAAGCCGAACACGAGCGAGCUGACCCCAGCUCGUGUUCCGCUCGUUUAUUAAACAAGCUGAAAAAUUCAGCUAAUGUUCGGCUCGUUUACUAAACGAGCGAUUCGAUCUCAAGCUCAUUUCGAACCGAACACGAACUGGCUCGCGAACAGCGAGCUGGAUUGCCACCCCUAAACCCAGCUAUAGCAUUUUGGGUAAUGGCUAGACCCAAAAAGUUAAGAGUGUUAAACAUGCUAGAACUAAAGUAAUCCUAAGAUGGAUGUCCCUUUGGCAAGUGGGGCGUUACUAUUCGCAUCACAGCUAAUGUGGCCAAAACUCUUAACUCCACUAUAGCAUGUUGCGCGGUGAUUAGACUCAAGGGUUAAGAAGGUUAAGCAUACUAGAACUGGAGUAGUUCUAGGGUGGGUGACCCCCUGUGGUGAGACAAAGUCUCACGUUGCCAAUGAUUGUAAGUUUUUAAGCCCAACUAUAGUAUUUUGGGCGGUGGCUAAGCCCAAGAGAAUAAGAGAGUUAAACAUGCUAGGGCUAAAUUAGUCCUAGGAUAGGUGAUCUCCUGGGAAGCACAGGUGGUAUCAGACCCAAUUACCAACUGAAAGUAUGAGAUGAGUUUCGGUCGAGCUAGAAUAUUUCAGUAGAAAGAGUGAGGCUCCCAUGCUAAUAACUGUUGUAGGUAAAGCACAUCUCUCUACAACAUCAGUUAAGGCUAGUGAGAUAAGUCUCAUAUUGUCUGAUACUUGCGAGUUUGAGUCUAACGAAAACAUCAGGGCUUAAAGGGAAAAGAAUGUGACAAACAGUCAUAUAUAUAAGAUAUAAUAAAGCUAAAAUUCUUAACUCAAUUAUAACAUGUUGGGCGGUGGUAAGGCUCCAGGAUUUAGAAGGUUAAUCAUGUUAGAACUAGAGUAAUUCUAGGAUAGGUGACCCCUCUAGGAAAUGGGGCGAUUGGCUAAGGCUAGCAACAGAAAGUCUCAUGUUGCCAUGUGGUUGUGUAUUUCUAAACGCAGCUAUAAUAUUUUAGUCGGUGGCUAAGCCCAAGAGAUCAAGAGAGUCAAGUGUGCUAAGGCUAGAGUAGUCUUAGGAUGGGUAACCCCCUGGGAAGUGAAACGUCACAGUUGGUAUCAAAGCCAAUUACCAGCCAGCAAUGUGAGAUGAGUUUCAGCUGAGCUAGGUUAUGCAGCGAGGAGAGCGAGGCUCUUAUACUAAUGACUAGUCAUGGGUAAAGUGUGGAUCCCCACAAAGUCAGUAAGGCUAGCGAGACGGGUCUCACAUCGCCUGAUACUUGUGAGUCUAAGCCUGAUUAGGACAUCAAGGCUUCAAAGGGAUGACAGUAUAACACCCUAUGAAUUAGAAUAAUCCUAUACAUAAGAUAUAAUAGGGUUAUAUUAGCCAGGCUAAAGCAUUUUGGAUGAUAGCUAAAUCCAAGUGGACAAAAAAGUUAAGCGUACUAGGGCUAAAGUAAUCCUAGAAUAAGUGACCCCCUGGAAAGUUGGGCGUCAAACCUAAUCACCAACCAAUAUGCUAUAACUAAGUUAAGAGUUUUAGCCCUAAUAUAUCUUAUAUAUAUGCUACUUGAAGUCUAGUUAACCUGAGUGGUCAGUGCUUGCAUACUCGUGUUGAUGUUGACCUUAUACAUCGUAGUUGACCUAAGUGGUCGGUGAUCAUAUACCCGUGUUGUUUUGAUGAUCUAUUGGUCGGUGUUCCCUGAGGGGUUAUGAUUAUUGGCUAUUCGUCGACAGAUGGCUAUUGAUCAUAUUCGCAUCGAUCGCCAUAGCUCGAAAGUAUUUCACAAAUACCAACGAUCUGAUCCACCACAAAAGGGUGUUCUCUUCUAGAAAAAUGGUCGUACUUCCUACUCAUAAGCCCUAUGGGGUGCCUAAUGGGGUUACAUGCCAAAUAGGGCAGGUAUGGCUUGCCUGAGGUCUUUAGACCGACAUAGCAGCAGAUUGUUCAUCCGGUUGACGCAUAUUAGUUACAGUAGCAGUUGUUGCAUUGUACUAUUCAUGUUCUUUCACUUAUGCUAUUGUAGACUCUUCUUCACAUAUACUCGGUUAACAGUGAGUACACUCGCCUUCGUCGAUUUGCGGUACCCACUGGAAAACCUUUCCUUGGUUUCUCACUCCCUAUUUUUACAAGUGAUGUGGGUGGGAGUUAUCAGGACACCACGUGAGGCUGUAGAUGGUGAGCUUGUGAUAGAGGUCCCGACCUACGGUAUAAUUUUUGGAUUGUUCUCAUACUUUAUACAUAUCAUUAGAUAGACAUUGUUGAUAGUUCAGAUUCUAUUCCUUACACAUGAUAAUAGUUAGACAGAUUUGUUGUUCAGUUAAUGUCUAUACUUAUGAGAUUUUGGUUACCCAUGAGAUUUUGGAUACUUGUAGAUUUUGGAAACUCGAGGUCUUGAUUACUUAUGCAUUCUAGAAUUGGACUUCGAAUGAUGGUUUUCUACCCCUUGUGAUAGCGUGUUUUUGGAAACGAUUUUCAAAAUAGUUUUUCGGCUUUUAGUGAAGUUAGAAUUUUAAAAUAAAGUCUUCGUGUGGGAGACGCCUUCCACUGAUAGGAAUGAAUGUGAAAUGAAUGUGGAAUGGUUGUGACUAAGGACCGCUAACUGUUUGAUGUCGAAACUUAUGGAAUGUUGAUCCUUAUUCAUUGUAAAUGCUCGUGUGUGUGAGCAGAUGUCAUGGUUGUCACUUGUACUAUGUGCUAUGCCUAUCGAAGAGACUCUGUCCAUUUGAAUAGAGAAUUUUCUGUAUUAGUGGUGGGUCUGUUACAUCCCUAGAUAAAGGUUAGAAAAAAAUAGCAGUUUUCCACUAACUCUGGUUUACAAAAGGUAGCCUGAUUUCAAAUGGCUUAUUAAAAGGACUCCGAGGCACAACAGAUUAAGGUGGUCUUAGAGUGAAGGUCACAACUACGAUGUCACUCGCGAUUUUUCUUAAAAAUUAAACUGGACCACUGGUUAGGUUGACCUAUAGGGAAACCUAAAGUAUUAGGAACGUGAAUGCGGGGUGUUUGGGCUUGAGUUCUGAUGUGUGUGUCAAGUCGAGUAGAUCGUUUGAUGGUGUUUUUUUGACGUGUAGAUGGCACAUGGUAGGCCCUCUCGACCGAGCCAUGGUGGUAGACACGCAGGUGCUGAGGCAUCUGGUAGUACUCAGGAGUGUACCUCUACUCAUAGAGGUGGUGGCGGAUGGGCACUGGGCGACAUGGUGGAGCUCACACCCGCCAGUUGAAGACUCAGGUGGCAGAUCUUGCACGCCAAUUAGUGGCCCUUGCUAGCUCGGUCGAGCAGCUCUUGCAAUAGCAGACUCCAAAUGCUGCUACUCAGGCCCCACCUUCGGCGCAGGGCAUUAAAGUGACCGUGGACCUUCCUACUGUGUCUGCACCUACCUCGACCACAAUUGUUGCCACUCAUGCCUUACCUGUUAGGCCAAGCACUGAGACAACUGCAGACCCUCCAGCGGUGUCCGCCUUGAUUGUGACCAUAGCCGCGACGAUGACCACGACUACUUCUGCUAGGGGUGCUACCCCUCUGGCAGUGAAAGGUGCCCAUAUCCGGGUGAAGUUGGUGGAGUUCCAAAAGUUCAACUUGCCGAAGUUCGCGAAAAAGACAAAUAAUGUGUGGGCCAUAGAGAGAUAGGUCACCCACAUGGAGAAGCUCUUCCAAGACCUAUAUAUUGAGGAGCAGGACAAGGUCGCCCUCACUGGGGGUGAAGCGGAUGACUGGUGAAGGCCGUAUCGGGAAGGCCAUUUGCCACUAUGUAUCCAUCCUGGAAGAAGUUCCUAGAGCUACUCUACUGCCACUACUUCAAAGAUAGCACCAAGCAGAAUCUUAAGCGCGAGCUCGAGCAGCUCAAGUAGAGGAACCGAACUGUAGCGGAGUGUGAGCGAGACUUCUCUCGCAUUCUUGGGCUGAUCCCCUUAUGGCUCGCGAUGAGUACUACAAAGGCCAGUUGUUCAUCAAAGGGUGAAGCCCAGCUUCAGGAAGCUGCUUUCCUCUUACGGCACACUAACUUUCGACGAUGCUCUAGAUCUGGUCUAGAUGAUCCAAAGCGAGAUGGACAAGAUGCAACUUGAGCGGUGGCUUCUCCUCCAGCAUAAGGCCACCAAAGCAUUCAUGCUCAGUGAUGGAUGUGGAAUGGUUGUGACUAAGGACCACUAGCUGUAUGAUGCGAAAACUUAUGGAAUGUUGAUCCUUAUUCAUUUUAAAUGUUGGUGCGUGUGAGUGGACUUCAUGGUUGUCACUUAUACUAUAUGCUACGCCGUGCAAAUACAAGAAAGACUUUGUUCAAUUAAAUAAAAAAUUUUCUGUAUUUGUGGCGGGUCUGUUACAUCCCCGAAUAAAGGUUAGAAUAAAAGGGCACUUUUCCACUAACUCUGAUUUACAAAAAAAUAGUUUGAUUUUCAAAAUGGCUUAUUAAAGAGACCACCAGGCGUGACAUAUUUGCAAAUAUUUAUAACAACAUUGUUAACCUACAUGAGCCUAUACUAAUUUUCUUGCUUGUGCACUACUGCAAUAAAUAGCUUAGUUCUAUUUUUGAUGAGUCAAAUCUCAUUUUGAAAACUCAAUCAGAAACCGGUAGAUUUUGAUUGUUCAUUUCUUACUUUGUGCUUUUGAUGUUAGUUCAUUUACUAUUUUAGGUGCUAUUGACGCCCUACUUCUCAAAAGGUCACCCAUCCUAGGGCUAUUCUAGUCCUAGCAUACUUAACCCUCUUAACCUUUUGGGUUUAACCACCUCCCCAAAUGUUGUAACUGAAUUAAGAGUUUUAGUCCUAUUAUAUCUUAUAAAUAGGACUGUCCAGGGUCUCACAUUCUCUCCUCCUUAAGCCCUGACAUUCACGUCAAGCUCAAAUUCACAAGUAUCAGGCAAUAUGAUACUUGUCUCUCUAACCUUAACCGACCUUGUGGGAGAGCUGUGUUUUACUUCCAAUAGUCAUCAACAUAAGAGCCUGGCUCUCCCCGCUGUGUAGUCUGGCUCAGUUGAGACUGAUCUCAUACUUCCAGCUGGUAAUUGACUCUAGUACAAACUGUAACAUCCCACUUCCUAGUGGGUCACCCCAUCUUAGAAUUACUCUAGUUCUAACACGCUUAACCUUUUUAACCUUUUGGGUUUAGGUGCCGCCCAAAAUGUUAUAAUCAGGUUAAGAGUUUUAGUCCUAUUGUAGCUUAUAUAUCGGACUACCUAUGGUCUCACAUCUAUUCAUUAGAUUGAUAAUGUGAAUGUAAUCUUCUCCUUCUACAUAUUUUUUUCAACCUUAUAGUUUUAUUUUAGUAUCUUAUAGAAAAUCGAAUAUCGUAAUUUAGAUUCUAGUGAUUGACUCGCCAUACAUUUUUGCCUAGUAAGCUUCAUAACUUAGAAGCAACUUAAGAUAAGCGAUCAGGCACCCGUUAGUUUUUUGAUAUAAUACAAAAAAACGGUCUGAUAAUAAGAAAAUUUCUAUUUUUUAGAUUUUUAAAACUAAGGAUUACGCGUAUUAUUAUAGACUUCUGAAAAAAAAAAAAUUUCAACUUUGACCGACAGGUUCUUAUGAUAAAAGACUUCUAAAAUUUCAUAAUAUCUUAUGUAAAUUAGUGGCUGGAUAAAAAUUUUCAAUUAUAAUAUCUUUUGAUAUUCUGAUACACUAAUAUUGACUAUGUCAAAUACACUAAUAUUGACUAUGUCAAUAUGUAUUCUGUUAUAAAAAGUAGCUUCGUCUUUAUAUUGCACCUCCUAAUGCCUGUAACUAUUAGCGUCUCUAUUUUGUAUUUGCGCUUUCGAGCGCCUCUGAUCUAUAUAUACACCAUCUAGUGCCUCUGUUCUAUAUUUGCACUUAUGUUUGUCUCCGGACCUCGCCAAUAGGUCACUCGAUAUAGGCACCUAAAUGACAAUUAAAAUCAAGCAAUCCAAGUGAAAUGAGCAAAUCAGGAAAUUAGACAGCAUCCUCUGCUAAAAUGCCAAACUAGUUCUCCCAAGAUUGAAUUAAACUGCACCCUCUUGCAAAUAUUCAAAAACAAGAAUCACUCUUAGGUCCCAGUUUAACUUUCUUUACUGAUAUUAAAUUGUCAAAAAGAGAUAAAAUGUACAUCUUCAAGAGGAAAAGAGAAGAAAACCAAAGAGACAGUGAAACUAUUUAGGAAUUACUCAAAAGUGAUCUUGAAGAUUAAUGAGUGAGAGUUAAGUAGGCAGUUGUAGAAAUACACCUGAAAAGGAUCUCUUUCUCACAAAAAUAAAGGCAUGCAAAUUGGUUCAACAAGUAAAAUCAGCACACUGUUAUAUUUCAAGUUUUCAACUGUGUCAUUCGGACAACUAUCCGAUCAGAAAUUAGUAAAAGUCAAUACUGCUGAGAAUAACAGAGCAGUGUAUCUGCCCAGGCCAUAUGUUUUAUUCUCAAAAUUGUUGUUUUCUUACAAAAAACCUUACACAGAGCUAAAUUUGAUUCUUCACAAGACCACCAUUAAAUUCCCAAUUUAAAGUAAAAGAGGCAGCUUCUGUUUGUCAUAAUACUGCAAAGACGAUAAAAUUCUACACAUUCAUAUAGCAUCAAAAGAAGAGAACAGAAACUAAACUGCUAAAGAUCCUAGAUGAUUGCACCAGAAAGUUGGUUAAAAAAAAAGGAGCGAAGCAAAGAAAACUGUUUUCCUGUGUUUUGCUCAACCAAACAGCACUCAAGUAGCGAUGGUCCAGUGUGGAGCAUGUUUACUCAACCUACAGAACAUUUGAGAAGAUAAUGACAUGGUCAUUAAGAUAUUAAAAGAUACAUGUAUUGCUCAUAGGUAAAAAUAUGUAAAGAAACAAGUGUUGCCUAUUACAUUUCAGUAGUUACAGACCGACAUUAAGAUCACAUGGAACAUGCUAUUCAGCAUUACAUCAGGAAUACUCUCAGCAAAUCAGUAAAAGCCCAUUAAACAACAAUCGAUGAUCAGAAAAUUAGCUUAAGAUCUCUUCGUGAAUCCCAUGAAAGCGUUGUCUAAUUUCCUCAUUUGAAGGCAAAGAAAUCACCAAUUGGAAACUUUGGAUUAAAUUUACAACUAAUGGUGGUAGUUGAAUUUUUUCAUGAGACAAAAUUCAGCAACAAUGAGGAUAAAUAGAAACCAAACAAAUAAUAAUCGACCAUGGAUGACACCAAGCUUUAGAAGCACAAUUACAAGAUAAAUGGAAUAAAUGGUUUUAGCAUAUGAAACAUCAUUCUCCUUUCGUGCAACAUCUUGUACGUCACAUGGUUUCCAAGUUACAAGCAACAGUCACCUCCUCAACAAGUUUUUCUGUCUAGUUAGUGUUCCCUGUUCUCAUAUGCAGCAUAAAACCAUGCAAACAGAUGUUUCACGAGAGGGGAUAACAUUAAGAAUUAUACACAACUUUCUUAUAGGAUAGAAUAUAGCAACUCAAAGCAAGAAAUGAUUUUGUAAGGAGGCAAUAGAAGAACCAAAGUACAUAGCAGCUCAAAGAUAUAUCUAAUACACAGCUGAAUACAAAAAUUAAAAGCACCAUUAUCUGAUAGGUUAAGCUUUUGAAGAACAACGGUUGUUUUCACAUUGUUUAACAUGGUAUAAGAGCAAUAGGUCCUGAGUUUGAAUCUCGCCGGGCUCCUUGCAUAAUCACUCAUUUAAUUCAAGUCCACAUCUUGGAGUAUCAAGUAGAAGUGAGAGGAGUGUUGCAUAUAAAAAUUAAAAACAUCAUUCUCUGAUAGUUUAAGCGUUUUCGAGAACAACAGUUGUUUUCAUAUUAUUUAACAAAUAUUUACUUAAUAGUUAACUUAUAUAUAUGACCUUGACUUUUCCAAUAAUUUCAAUAAAACCCUAAAUAUAUAUCAUGCAAGGUAAAUUAUCCGACUUUUCUUCAUAAAAGUCCCACUAACUUUUUUUUCAGAAGAAUUGUUAGUUCGCAAUUUUAAUGGGUUAUUCUCCUUGACUUUAGGUUGAAAAGCACCAAACACAUAAAUUGUCGUAGAAAUUCGAUCAUAUAGUCUUCUCCCACGUAAAUUUUCCUGAAAUGACAGCUCAAUUAACAAGAUCAACAACUAAUUUGUGCAAGUUUUGGACACAGGGCUUUUGAUGAUUAUAUGACAUCAAUUGACUUAUUAAAGGGUUAAUUCAUCCAAUAUAAAGAUGAACCUUUCACCAAUAAUAUAAUUAUUAGGAUGUUGCAUUCUUGUCCAAAACCAAUAUCCUUAUAAUCCAUAUUGCACCAUCUGGGACAAGGAUACCUAUAUUUUGUAAUAUCUAUAUCUGAUCCCCAUUUGCAAGCAAUUGCUUAAACUUCAUCUGACUGAAGUUUUGCUUUUUUAUGUUUAUUCUCCCUAGUCAUAUGCCAGUCCUGCUUUGCUUGUGCUGAUAACCAUGUGUUACCCUUAUUGACCAUACAUGUAGAGUACUAGACCUUGACAAAUAGGCAAAAUUGUAGUCUGGGUCACUGGUCAGCAUGUUCUUAUAGUGCUUGACUGAGCUGGAGACAUUUAGGCGCCAAAUAGACACGAAAACAAACUGAGAAAUUGAAUUCUGCUCAAGUUGUGCUGGCUGGUGCAAUUUUCGGACGCCCAAAAAGCUGUUUAGGGCACCCAAAAUAGGUGAGCAUAGGAACAGCAUCAUUCAGACCCUUUUUUGGACCGCCAAGCAGUGAGGCAGCACCUAGUGUGAGGAUUUGGGAGGUUCCAAGCGACUGAAUCAAGGUUUUGGGUGCCCGAAUUCCUCCAUUUUGGCUAGAAUGGUAUAGUUUGAAGCAUAGAGGACUUUUCGGCAUAUUAUUACAUCCUAAAGUGGAUUCCAGCACUGCAUCUAAGUAGCCUUUCAUCCUUAUCUUCUCUGCCAACCAUUUCUAGAGAGAUAAAGAGAGAGAAGAGAAGAGGAGAUUUUGGGUGGUUGGACGAGCUGAUCAAGCACGUGCGCGAGUAGGAUUUUUUCGGCAUUUCCAUAUGGAGGUUAGCAUUAUAAUGUUAUUAUUACUUUUUUCAUUCGACAUUUUUAGUGGAUUCUUGACAGUAGAUCUUAGGAGAAGAGGUUUUGUUGGGCCUUUGUGCAAAUUGAGAUUUAAAAAUGGUUUAUAUGAGUUUUAGGAGCCGAUUUCGCCAAGGAAAAUUUCAGGCUUAUUGGAGGUGUUGUGGCUGCCGUACGACUAGUAGAGUAGCAGCGGAUCACCUCAAUUCUCCGAUAACUAUUCUGUUUCUUGGAUUCGUGAUCUAGGUGGGUUCUAUGUCACCGAACAACGUAUUUCCUUCUAUGUCUAGUUGCACGUACAUGUAUGUGUAAUAUGCAUAUAAAUAUGUUGGUAGAAAGUUAUGAUAGCAUGGAAUUGAGUAGAGGGAAUUGAUUUAUUGUGUAUACAUGAGUACUAAUCGAUGCUAGGCUAUACAAACAAUAGGUCACGUUACCUUAGCACAUUGGGUUCCUACUAUCGUUGUAUAUUGUCUAUAUAUUAGGUUAGGUCGAGAGAGACCAUUGGACUCAUAUGCUUAGAUUGUGAAUUAUAUACUAAUUAAUUGCAUCUUUAUACACUAAAUAGUUGUUAUGCUGGAAGAUAAGAGAAAAUGACUAGAGAGCUUUUGAGUAAGUGAUUUAGUAGCUGCAGAUCAGCUAAUUCCCAAGUGCUGACAUAUUGCUUCUAUGAUGUUAAGCCAAGAGGGGCCAUUGAACAUGUUUAUGUAUUGAUUAUUUGUAUGAUACAUAUUAUGACUUAUGUGAUAGAAGCUGCGGGUUAGGACAACGGCAGUGAACAGGUUUUCGACACCGAGAGGUAUGUGAUGGAUUUAUUGUACAUAUGAAUUAGUAGACACUCUAUGAUUGUGCUAAGGUCACUAAAUUGCUUACUUCUGAUCUUUUGGACACUGAGAGGUAUGGUACGAGAGUUUUGAUGUUAACCACCGGCAGGUUUGAAGAGAAAGACAUGUUACAACCGAGAGAAAAAAAAAAAAAUCCACCACGAGAGAGACAAAUCCGAAAAAUAGACCAAGUAAUCACAGAUCCGAAAAAUAGACCAAGGAAUCACAGAUCUAGAGGAAAGAGGAAAAGUGAGUCAGAGUUGAACCAGAGAAGAACCGAGUAGUACUUGAGAUCAACCAGGCGACACCAGCAAGCGGCACCAACGAGAUAAGAAGAAACCAGUGACACCAAGGAUGCCUCGGGUGACACCAGUGGCAGUAGGGAUGCACCGAGCGGCACCAGAGAGAACCAGCGACAGCAGGGAUGCACCGGGCGGCACCAGAGAGAACCAGCAGACCGAGCGGCGCCAAAGAGAAUCAACGACAGCAAGGAUGCACUGGGCGGCACCAGAGAGAACCAACGGCAGCAAGGAUAAGAAUAACAAGAGGAAAAACACCUAUGGGGAAUGUGUGAUUUGUGGUGGAAGAUGGUUAUAGAUCAAUAUCCCCAUAUUAGGGUUUUUGGCUCUGAUACCAUGAUAGAAAGGCAAAAGAGCGUACCCUCUUGGGUUCUAUUAAUAAAAUUAUAUAGUACAAAAGAUAAGUCUACUAUAGUAACAAUGCCUACUAUAGUAACAAUACAACUAGGAUUACAUACCAUAUAAUCCUAUAUCAUACCAUAUAAUCCUACUCUAAAUAUGUUGUAAUAUACAAUAUCCAAACAUAGUAUAAGAUACUAAAUAUGUCGUAACAGGCAGUGGCGGCGGCAGCAACCCAAUAGAAGGAAGGUUCACUGCUAUAUAUAUAGACAGAGAGAGAAGGAGAGACCAAGGGAGGAGCCUCGCUGAAAUGGGGUCACCGGCAAGGUACGGAGGGAGUGGCCGUGGCUGCACAGGGAGAGUGCUAGGGUUUAGGUUUAGAAAUAUAUCUAUAUAAAUAUAUAUACAGACGCAUAUACGUACACUAUAUAUAUACGCAUAUAUAUAUCCUCUUGUGUAAAAAUCACAACUUACUCCUCUGCCAGCCCCCUUUUGCACAUAACUCCAUACCACAGCCCAAAUUGCACAUAAAAUUUCAUAGUAUUUCACAUAAAAUUUUGAAAUUCUAGCAAAAAGAUCCUCCAUUUGGUUCUCUCUCAAAACUUCUAAUAAGUGCCAUCUUGCACAAAACAUUUGAAAUUUCGUGAGACUUCAGUCCAUGCGUAUGCGUCUAGUUUCACAUGAGUCCUUCCGUUCGUGAAAAUUCCAACAUUUCUCACAUAAAAUGAUAAGCCCUUCACACUUUGCCCCUUUAUCCAUUUUGCAAAGAUUGCAAUUUAAUCCCUCAUAUUCACAGUUUCAUACCCAAAACUCAUCGAUAGGUGUGUUUUGCUCAUAAGUUCCUCCACCUCAAAAAUUCGGUUACUCAAAAUACGAAAUGUUGUGUUUUUUAAAUAAAAACUCCAUUUCAAUUAUUUUGCUCGCAUCUUUUUUCAUCUCCGAUCAUUCACCCUAUCACGCAAAAUUUCACCGAGAUCCCUCACAGGACUGACAGCACCAACAAGCCAUAUAAGUGACAAUUUUCGUUUUGUAGAAAAUUGCUCUAAAUUGCAUUAUAGUACGCCAUCGUUAGGAAAUUUGCUAUUACAUACUUCGGGUUCUAUAGUUGUGCUUACGUGAUGGUAGCUAGAGUUGUGUGAUUCAUGUACAGUGAUGUUUUAUAGUAUCAGUUUUAUAUAUGGCUCUGAUACAGGAUUAGAUAAUUAGUUGUGGACUCUAGGAAUUACUAGUUAUAGAAACUAGGGUUGCUUUACUAUUACUUCUGUUGGUUGGACGCUUCGUAUGUGCAGGAUCUAUGUAAAUACGGCGGUCUGUUAACAUACCCGUGGGUUUCUGCUGUGAAACUGAGGCAUGAUAAUGCAACAUAUAAACGAUGUUAUGCGCGAACGGCACACCAGCAUGUCCUAUGCAUGUGGCACGACAAUCCUUAUUAAUAAGUAUCAAAAUAAAUAGGAAAUGCUCAGGUAACUUCAAAACUAAUCAAACAAAUUUGUAAACCAUACAAACAGAUAAAUAAACAUAUAUCUUUGACUAACCAGCAACUGGCUUAAGCCUGCAAAAGGAAACUCGAAUGUCGUGGCGUAUUCCAUAAAAAACCUUCGCUUGGAAUGUUUUUGGACUGCUUCCACCAUCAGUUGCUUGGAAAGUGAUGUUGUACCAGUAUCCAGCUGCAACAAUACACGUCGUCUUUUCUAUCUUCACAAAUUCAUAACUUGUCGCCUAUGUCAUAAAAGAGUGUCAUAAAGGAAAUUCCAAAAGCAAUUCCACCAAGAAAAAAGGAAAGUAAAAGAAAUAAAUAAUAGGAAAAAAAUACAAAACAGAAUAUAGACUUACAUUUUCCUUAUUAAACUGUUCGAUUGCUGAUUUGGUACAUCUGAUAAGACCUUCAUCCUCGAAAUUCGUUAAAGCAGUAAGACCAAACUCAAAAGUGUCUGGAGAUGGAUCAACAUCAAAUCCCUAUAAAAUGUAUAUAACAAACAUUAGGAAGGAAAAAUUAUUUUGAAUCUUUGAAUCCUAAAAUGAAGAUGAUAGUUGUUAAAUACCUCGCUUUCCUUGAUUUGUUUAUAGUACCUCGCCCAUUCUUCACGAGUCCUUCUACGUUUACCAUCUGGCCAGACAUAAUCAUCAUCUUCACCAGACGUAUACUCAUAAACCCUCUGUUCUUCCUCUUGCUUUUUCUCUUCCUGCACCUCACUCUCGUCAUCCUUUCUCUCUUCCUUCACCUCGUCACGUGCAUUGUACGAUCUCAAUUUCUUCUUCUCUUUCAGUGGUUCCUCAAGUAAUGGUCUCUUAGCAUUCCGACUGCAUAACACAAUAAAGCAUAUCAAUUUACAAUUUGAUAGAGAAUCAAGAUAUGCAUUAAAAAAAUUUUAAUUUCUAUCAAAACGAGUACAACUUCAAAAUAAACUAUUUCACAUUUGAAUGAAAUACCUUUGUUAAAGUAUGGUUAUUUUUUUAUUUCCAUUCGUAUUUCUUUUGAGUCAUAAUAUACAGAGAAUGAAGCUAUACUACUUUAACAGUAAACAAUAAUAUUUACUAUCUAAUUUCUAAUACUUAGGGUUUAGUAGCGGUAGGUAGAAGAGUAUUGAUCUAAGGGCUCGAAAAUCGAUACAGACACAUAUAUAUAUAAAUAUACAUUAUACAUAUACAUAUACAUACACACAUAUAUACAUAUAUAUAUAUAUAUAUAUAUAUAUAUAUAUAUAUAUAUAUAUAUAUAUAUAUAUGUAUGUUAAUAGAGUUAUAUGUAUAUUUAUGUAUAUUGAUAGAGUUCGCUAGGGUGCUUCCAAUAGAACUAAUGUGAUGCCCCACGUCCCAAGAGGUCACCCAUUCUAGGACUACUCCAGCCCUAGUUCUUAACCUCUUGGGCCACAGCCCAAAAUUCAAUAACCGGAUUAAGAGUUUUAGUCCUAUUAUAUCUUAUAUAUUGGACUAUUUGGGGUCUCACAUUCUCUCCCCCUCUAAGCCCUGACGUUCUCGUAAGACUCAAACUCACAAGCAGCAGGCAAUGUGAGACUCGUCUCGCUGGUCUUAACCGACUUUGUAGGGGAACUACAUUCAACCCACAACAGUCAUCAGCAUGAGAGCCUCGAUCUCCCCACUGUAUAACCUGGCUCAAUUGAGACUCACCUCACACUUCCGGUUGGUAAUUGGCUCUGAUAUCAACUGUGGCGCCCCACUUCCCAGGGGGUCACCCAUCCUAGAAUUACUCUAACCCUAGAACGCUUAACUCUCUUAACCUCUUGGGCCUAGCCACCAUCCAAAAUGCUAUAGCCGGGUUAAGAGUUUUUGUCCUAUUAUAUUUUAUAUGUAGAACUACCUGGGGUCUCACAACCAAGCACUUGGUGCUAUCAUUCCACUAUUAGAUCGAUCCCUUUGACGAAUUCUACCCUUUAGAUCAUGCCACUCCACCAACCAUCAACUAAACCCUAGGGGACCAUUAUCAUCUUAACCCUACAAAUCUUUAUCCAAGGCUGAACAGCACCAAUGACUGUGCUAUUAGAAGCAUUCUAGCCUAGCGCUCUCUCUCUCUCUCUCUAAAAUACUAUCGGUAACAAACGGGCUCUGUUGCUUGCUAUUAAUGAUGAAGCUUCCAAAUGGACAAUCGAUACCGUUGAACAUGAUUGUGACCACUGGAAGUAUCUAAAAACCAAAUUUCAAGUGGACACAAAAAUAAACUGCUAAAAGAAAAUAUCUUUCAAAAAGUGAUGAUAGAAUUCUUAUAAUCAAGAUCUAGAGUAUAGAUCUUAUUUUAAAUAGUUUAAACAAUUUAUUAAAUAAAUUUAAUUGAUUUAAAUUUUUUUACACCAUUAAACGAGCAAACGCCUCAUAUCAACCAUCAAAAGUACAAAUUUUGGAACCUUAUGAUCAUUUAGUCAACGAUGUCAAAAACAUUUGAACUUUGAUUUCUAGAUACUUCAAAUGGUAUAGAUCAUAUUUAACAGUGCUGAUCGUCGAUUCGGAAGCUCCAUCAUCGAAAACAAAACCGAAAGCAACAAAGCCCAUUUGCUAUUGAUAUUAUUCUAGCCGAAGUCUAUAUAUAAGUAUAUAUAGUUACAUACAUACAUACAUACAUACAUACAUACAUAUAUAUAUAAUUAUGCUACUGUACUAUCGAUAGUACCAAACGAUUGGUGCUAUCGAGUUUUCGGCCCUUGGAUGAAGAGAUGUGCGGUUAGGAUAAUAGUGGUCCCCGAUAAGAAUGAUAGUGGUCCCCUAGCGUUGAGUGGGUGAUUGGUUGAAUAGUAUGAUCUAACAGGUUGAAGUGGUCAAAAGAGUAGAUCUGGCGGUAGAAAACUCCCUAGCACUAAAUGCUUGGUACCAUCGAUAGUGUCGUAGCCGAACCAUAUAUGUAGUGUAGAGCUACUAUACUUUCGGAAAUAUAAAGGAGUAAGUGCUUAUGACUUUUUAGAUCUCGAAUCAAAGACUAUAUUGUUGGGAUAACAAUGGUCCCUCUUGGGUUUAGUGGUCCUCCUAGGGGGAAUAAUAUUCAUCCAAGGGUUAGAAAUGAUCAAAAGGAUUAAUCCAAAGGUAAAAACUUGGAAACACUAAUUCCUUUAUGCUUCCAGAAUAUAUAUAUAUAUAUAUAUAUAUAUAUAUAUAUAUAUAUAUAUAUAUAUAUAUAUAGCACCAAGUUGUUGGCACUUUUGGGUUUUAGGCCCUUGGAUUAAGGAUAGUAGGGUUAGUAUGAUAGUGUUUCUCCGAGGGUAUAGUAGUUGUUGGUGGAGUAAUAUGAUCUAAGGAUAGAAAUGAUCAAAGGAGCAGAUCUAAUGGUGGAAAAACUGGUAGCACAAAGUGUUUGAUGCUAUUAGAAGCACCCAAUCGGACUCCCUCUCUCCCUCCCUCUUUAUAUGUAGAACUGGGCUUGAAUUCUUCUAACUGCUCUAAGUCAUUUGUGCUUAUGGGUUUUCGACCCUCAGUGAAGGGUUGUCUAGUUAGGAUGGUAGCGGUCUCCAAGUCAUUGGUGCUUAGUGGUGGUUGGUAGAAUAGCAUGAUCAAAAGGACAAAAAUGGUCAAAGGGGCAAAUCUAAUGGUGGAGAAGCUCGUAGCACAAAAUGCUUGGUUAGGUAUCCCUAUCGAUAGUAUGGAAGCCUUACUACUAAGUUAUUUUCGAUGAUAGGACAUCCAAAUUAAUGAUCAGUUUCAUUAGAUAUGAGCUACACUAUUGGAUUUUUUUUAUCAACAAUAUUUAACAAGUGACCGAAAGAUCUGAAAAUUGACAAUUUCAAUUGCAGCCGAUUCAUUUGUGAGUUAACAAUGUAGAAUACUCAAAAUCCAGUGAAAUUUUGAUGGACGAUUCUUUUCAAUGUUUAGAGAAAGAUCAGUACAUCUGAUUUGAUAUGCAAGCCUUUUAUCAUUGUCUAUUAUGAGAUUUUUACUUUUAACUGUUCAUUUGGAGACUAUUCGUUUUAAAUGUAUAUGAUAUUGAUAAAUCAGGAAAAUUGGUUUCUAGAUAAUUCCAACAAAUUAUGUAUAACGAAACCAAUCAUCCCUUCAGAUGUCCCAUCAUUUAAUAUAGAGGUCUUCACGGUACGGAUAGUAUUCUAGCCUAAUUCUAUAUAUAUAUAGAUAUAUAUACGUACAUACGUACAUACAUACAUACAUAUAUAUAUAUAUAUACAAGUAUGGAUACAUAUAUACAUAUGUAUACAAAUACAUAUACAUUUCAUGUCAAAAUGGGAGGUCCGCCAUCAAAAUAACUAGAAAAAAUUAAUGAAGUUGUUUUUUCAUAGAAUCAGAACAAUGGGUUAUGAGGUCGAACUUACUCUGAAACGUUAAAUAUGUUACCAAAUAUUAAAAGAAAGCACUAAACACAGUCCACAUUUAUGAACAGCAACAAUAAAAAUGAAGUGCUAAAACAAAGUGAUCAUAAUAGAGGUGAAAACGGUCAAAUACGGUCCAAUAUUUGAUGAAACCAUAUCUACGUCCAUAUUUUAUAUCGAUAAGAUUUGGAUGCGCAUAUGUGUUAGCCGAUAAUUUUUCAUUACCAUAACAGCUAACUGCAGAUUUAGAUACGAUCAAAUAUCUCGUCAGAUUUGAAUAUAGAAUGAGUUUAUAUUUCGAUAUUACUCGGGUGAUGUUAUUCGGAUAAUAAUAUACAUUAAUAUACACAUAUAAAUAUGAAUUAAAAUUAGCAACAAUGCAAAUAAAAUUCUACAUCUUGUUCAAACUUUUAUGUGCCUAUAUUUUAUUCAAUAAAAUCUAAGAUUAACAAACAUAAAUACAACGUUAAUAUGAAAUUUAUAAUAAAAUGAAAAAAAUUCAAUAUCACAUUUCGCCACAAAAUAUAUUAACAUCACCCUUAUCUCCCAGCAAAAAGCAAUCAAACUCUACCUUAUCUCCCCACAAAUAGCAAUUAAGCUACUUUUAUCUCCCAAAAAAGGCAAUUAAGCCCUCCUUUAUCUUUCUACAUAUAUUAACAAUUAAGUAGAGAACUUUUUGUUUAUCAAAUCAAAGAAAAGGGAAUUCUAUUUGAUUAGAUAAGCAAAAGUUCUAGAUUGCUUGAUAUGCCCAUACCUUAUUCAAACUUUAUACGUCCAUAACUUUUUUUUGAUUUGACGAAUAAAAGUUCUAGAUUUCUUGAUUGCUAAUAUGCGUGGGAAGAUAAGAGAGGGCUUAAAUUCAAUCUCAAAUACAAAAUCAAAAUUUAAGCUCGGGUGAAGAGUCACACGAUAACAAUUCAAAAUCAAGUUCAAAGUCAAAAUUUAAAACUAUAUCUAAAUUCAAAUAUCAAACUAUUACUAAAAUAAAAACUCAAAACAUGAAUAUCUAAAUUUAAAUCUACAUUUCCAAUCCAAAUUUACAGUUAUAAUUUAAUCUAAACUUCAAUCUGAGAUUCUGAAUAUGCACUUAAAUUUAAAUAAUUGUUAUAAAAUUCAAAGAAUAACUUAGGGUGCAGGAAUCAAACUCUACACCUCUCGCAUGUAAGAAAGCUCUAUACCAUCUAAGCUACACCACCCUCUAAUUUAUCCUCCCACAGCAUAUGAAUUUAUAACAUAUAUUAAUUUUCGGAUAAUCUGAAUUCGAAUGCAAGUUUGUAAUUUAUAAUAUAUCCCUAUCCGAAUUUGAACUUGAAAAUAUGUUAAACAUAGCAUUUGAAUAUGAAUCUGAAUUCGACCAGAUGCACGAUUUUGACACUCGUAUUCGCAUCUGAUCAAAGCCAGUGUCAAAUUCGAUCGAAGUUUAUCCUAACCACAUUCACUCCUAGGUGAGAGAAGGCCAACUACACAACGACAUCCCGAUUGAUAGAUACUUCAUGUUCGAGUUUUAUUCACAGUAGUUCCAAUUUCCUCUUUGUCGUCAUAUUAAAGCAUAUUUACUAGACCAAGAGGUGUGACCUAGAAAUUUAUUGUUAUUGUCCCUUGCAACAUGCAUGACGUAUAAUCUGAAGGACAUGAUACCCAGGUUCUACAAUUCUAAUUGGAGUUUUGGUUCCGAAAUGCAAACAUAAGUACUGCUAAGAAUAAAAUCUGUUGAUUUUGCGCAAAAUCUGGAUUAGAAAGUAGGUCAGUGGCACUAGCGAGUUGAAUACAAUUGCAUAUUUGAGUUGUAACUUGUAAAUACAAUUCAUUUCGAUCAAACUAUACAUACCAAACAAUACCAAACUUUCAUACAUAAAAGCUCACCCUAGUCACCUAUUAGGACUCAGUAUAAUAAUUGAUGAAGUUUGAAAAUAAAACUGGUCUCAAUCAAAAUAUAAACCACAUAUACACCAAACAUCAUGCAUGGAAACGCAUCCUAAUCAAUCAAAGUCGGUAGAAUAUUGAGGAAUAUUACCUUCGCCAACGUAAGAAAAUCCUCCAGGCAUCAAUCUCCAUAAGAAUAGCGAGGAAUAGCGAGGAGCAGAGGAAGCUAUCCAGACGCUCUAAUAGACAGACGGUGAGACGAUGAGAAGGAAGGCGGCUGGGUUACCGGUCUGCGGGAGGCAAGAAACUUGAGGCUCAAGCUUCGGACCGAUGCGAAUGGGAGACGGCAAAAUUAUACAUUCCAUCUUUAAAUUUAAUUUAAAAUUUAGAUAGAGAUAUAUUAGAAUAAUUUUGAAUUUGGAGUUGGGAUAUUUGAAAAAUAAUAUAAUAUAUUAGUUUAUAUAUUUUAAGAAAAUAAAAGGGUUUUUUUUGCAAAUGCCCCCUGAAAAAAUUUUAUUUUAAAAAUAACCCCGUCAAAAUUUAAUUUGCAAAAAUGGCCCUGACCCUGCCACGCAGGCGCCACGUCAGCGCCACGCGUGUAGGGCUGGACCAGUGUUAAGUUGAACACGGUAAAUCAUUCACCGUGUUCAAACACGAUUUUUUAGGGAUUUCAACGGGCCGGGCCGGGCCGGUUUGGAUCUCCGAACCCGGCGGGUUUUAAAAAUCCAUACCCAUAUAACUUUAAUAUAUGGAUAUGGGUAUGGAUUUUUAAAACCCGCAGGACUCGGAUUCGUGUUCGGGUUUUAAUUUGAUUUUCAGAUUCGAUUUCGGGUUUUUAAAAAUCCGAUUCAAACCCGACCCGUUGACAUCCCUAAAAGAGAAGAAAAAAAAUAUAAAUAUGAAAUAUGAUGAAUCAUUCACCGUGUUUGAACACGGUGAAUGGUUCNAAUAAUAUAUAUAAAGAGAGAGAAUGACUAUUGUGCUAUUAGGAACAUAGUAGCCCUUAUGUUAUUAAUUUUUUAACCAUCUAUUAAUUUGGGUGAGAGAAAGAAGAGAAAUUAAGGAGCAAUUGGGAGUCUUAAUUUCUCUUCUUAUCCAAACCGUUAGGAGCACAAGGGUUGCUGUGCUUCUAAUGGUACAGCAGCCCCACUUAACAAAUAUAUAUAUAAUUUAGCUGGAAUACUAUUGUCAGUAUUUGGUGGACCUUUUUACUAUUUACUUUUUAAUAUUUUGAUAAAAAAUUAUAGCGUUAGGAUGAUAAUAGUCCCUUGAGGUUGAGUCGUAGUGCCCCUAGAGUUUAAUAGUAGUACAUGAAAUAAUAUUGAUUUAAUGAUACAAAUAAUCAGAAAAGUAAAUCUAACGGUUAAAAGGUGGAUAGUAAAAGAGCCGAAUUCCAACUCAACUCACUCCCUCUCUAUGUAUACUAGUGGAGACCCGCGCUUCGCGGCGGGAAAUCUACGUAAUUUUUAAAAUAUUUUAAACAAUAUUUUUAAUGUUUUAAUUUUUAAAUCUAAUUUAAAAUUUUAAACAUAAAAAAAUUAAAUAUAAAAAUUAUAUAUAGUAAAUAAAUAUAUAUUUAUAAAUAAAAUUAGAUAUAUACAAAUUAGAUUUAAAAUUUAAAAUUUAAAAUUUAAAGUUGUUAAAUUCUCUCUCUCUCUCUUUCUCUUUCUCCUCUGAUUCCUCUCUCUCUUUCUCUCUCUCCCUCUCUCUCUCUCUCUCUNNNNNNNNNNNNNNNNNNNNNNNNNNNNNNNNNNNNNNNNNNNNNNNNNNNNNNNNNNNNNNNNNNNNNNNNNNNNNNNNNNNNNNNNNNNNNNNNNNNNNNNNNNNCCCCCCGUCGGUGGACGCCCGUGCGCCCGCCCCGCUGCCGCGCCCGUGCCCCGGAGCCCCCUCUGCUACCGCCCGCGCGCCCCCCGAUGUAAAACAUAAGUCAAAAGUUAUUGGAUUUAGAGAAGUAAAACAUAAGUCAAAAGUUACUUGUGCUGAAAUUGGAAUGAAAACAGAAGAUUUAUAAUUUUCUGUUGGAAACGGGACAAAUAAAUUAGCAGAAAAUUUACAGUGUCAGAAAAUUAUGAAAACUAGAGAAUAUGUCAGAAUUAUUUUUAUGAGGCUAGAUUUAAAGUUUUAUGUCAUUCUGACACCCGGAAGGUGAAAAAUAAAAUCCGACAGUUAUCUGAUAAAGAUUACAGUUCAGUAUAGCUUUUAGUGACCAAAUGGAGUUGAAACUGAAAGAUUAAAAUUUUUUUCUUUAAGUAAAACCGAAUAUGACUGUCAAAUUUGAGCUCAAACGGAUAUUCAGAGGGUUCCGGCGAAAGAUAUCAGAUUUCGAACUGCCUGAAGUGAAUAGUGUUUGAGAGAGAUAAUUAUAAAGAAGCUUUUGCUUAUUCUUCCUCUCCAUCAGCCGACCACCACCACCACCUCACAAGCACACAUGGAGGGAGAGAGAGAAACCUUCAUUUCUCUCUAGAUUUCUCUCUCAUCUCUCUAGAUCUCUCUCUAGAAAUUUGAGGGUUGGUAGAGAAGAUGCUUGCGAACGCGUUGGGAGCGACGGAUCGAGCUUUCCUGCGCCCGUUGGAGCGACGUGCUUUCGUCACGGCGUUCACAUUUUGGUAAGCUUUUGGGAUUUGGCUUAAUCCUUAACUCUAAGUGUUCUAGUAGACUCUAAUGAACAUUAUUAGCAUGUUGCUCUAUUUAAUUUGGAUUAUUUUGAGGUUAAUUCAUGAUACGCUUAGAAAAUGGGAUUUUGCUAUGUAUAAGGGUUUGAUCUAAUUUGACCCUAUGUAAACCUAAUUGCUAGGUAAACGAACGCGUUGGCGAAAUCGGUUCGGCGAUUCGUCGAGCCGUUGUAAAGAUAUUAAAGAAACGGACGUUUAGGCUUCGUUUCUGCCUAGAGGGCCGAGCCGACAUCGUAAAAUCAUGAAAACGGAUUGGAGCACCGUGGCACAUAGCCAAAGACCUUUAAUUUUCGGAUCGUGGAUUGGAGGCCGUUCGGGUGGUCGCGCGAGAGUUCGGGCUGAACCGGGUCACGGGUGCCGCGGGAGGCCGAUUGCAAGUGACUACAAGCAAUCGGAACGUGUUAAGAGGUGGGUUGUGCUUACCGAAGCGAUUAGGUCGCUUUCAUGCCAAAGUAUAGUGUGUUUCACUAUUGAUGCAUGGUGAUAGUAAAAAUGCUAAGUAAGAAUGCAUGCUAAAGAUGCUAAUAAAUGAAUGCAAGUGAUAGAUGCUAAGUAAUGCAUGUGAUAUGUGCCAAGUAAUGAUCAUAUAAGAUGUAUGCUAAGGAAUGCAUGUUGACAUAAUGAAAAAUACUAAAAGAAUGCGUAUUGACAUAAUGUAAGAACACUAAGCCAAUGCAUGUUGACAUAUUAUAGAAAUAUUAGAUGAAGCAUGAGUUAAAUGUUAGAGGCAUGUAUGAGAUGCAUGUUAGAUAAACAUAUGAACUAGAUGCAUGAGCUAGAUGAUAUAUAAGUGCAUGAUUGAAAUGCUAAUAAAGAAUGUAUGCAUGAUUCCUAAUGUGAGAAUAUGUUAGAAUGACAUAAAAGUUGAACUUGAGUCAAUGAACACUAAGUAAAGAACUCGACAAGUGUCAUAUGUAAAGAAUCCUAAAUAUAAAUAACUAGGAUGAUGAGUGGCAUUGAACCUAGUGUCGUUGAACAUAGGUUAUUCACGAGUGGCAUGUCAAGUAUGAUUCCUAGGUGUGGACAACUAGGAAAACAAGAACAUGAGUGGCAUUGAACCUAGAGUCAAGUAAACCUAGGUUGUGAACGUAGUGACAUGGAAUCUAGAGUCAAAUGAACCUAGGUGAUAAAGAAUAAUGAACCUAGGCUAUGAAAAUAAUGACAUUGAACCUAAUGUAUGAACUUAGGUUGAGUAAAGGCGUGGACCUAGAUAGGUCGAUACUUUAGGGUGAGACCAACCCUUGAGAUAUGUAAAGUGAAUUCCGGAAUCCCUGCUGCUAGUGCAGCGGCUGCGAGUGCAGCAUACGAGAUCCAUAGUUCUUGGCCGCAGGUGCAUGUGGCAAGUUCCUCUCCCACCGGAAGAACUUCAAGGCUUGUGAUUGAGCAAGAACUAUGAGCGCUAGGGUGCAUGUGGCAUGUUUCUCUCCCUAUCGAGGAUCUCGGCUGCGGGUGUAUGCGGCAUGUUCCUCUCCCACCGGGGGAUCCCUGACCACGGGUGUACGCAGCUCUGGGCGACCCGUUGGGCGAUGUGGUUUGUGAUUGAGGGCUGAGGUGCAUGUGUGAGUUCCUUCACCUCGAGCCGGACAGAGCGCGGACUAUCCGCAGUUGAUUGACUCAAGACCGAGUCGGAUGGCAAAGUUGGCUAAGGUAAAGUAACCUUAGGAAAGAAAGGCUAAUGUGUAUAAUAUUACUAAGGUGUGAGUACCCUUAGUAAAGCGUAAAGAAUAAAGAAUGAAGAAUCAAGAAUAAGAAAAGGCUAAUGCUAAAGAAUGACAAGUAAUAAAGAAUAAAGAAGGGUUAAUGCUAAAGAAUAGCUAGUAAAGUAAAGAAUGAGUAAAAGUAAAGAAUGGAUAAGAAUAAAGUGUAGAAGCAAUUAAUCUACUAUAUGAGUUGCAUAAUUUGCAUAUUGCAUGUUGUGAGGCAAAAGCAUGGUAAUGUUAGUUGCAUGAUUUAUGAUUUCAUAUCUAUCUAUUGGACUAACAUGUUGUUUGCCUCCUUUGACCUGAUGGUCGAGCUCUUCCCUUGGGUGGCCGUACCCACUGGGAACCAUGGAGUUUUUUCUCACCCCACGUUGUUUUGGGGUGUUACAGGUUCACACGUGAGCGGCGCGGCGGCGCGAGGUAAGGGCAUAGCUCCGUAGAUAGCGCCCUACCCAGAGACAAGAGAUAGUGGUACCCCAAGUCGGCAUAGCCUAGGGGUAGUGGAAAAUGAAAGAACAAGAUGUAUCAAACUUGUGAUAAAGUUGUAAUAACUAUGUUAAAGUUAAAUUGUAUUUGGAAGUAGAAAUCAAGUAAUCAAAUGUGAUGUAAUCUAAUAAUACAAAAAUAUAAUAUGUGAGAUGAAUGCUUGUAAUAGCAAGUAGAUUUAUGUUUUUGACACUUCCUUAUGCAAUCUUUGGUUGAAAUGUGUUCCUGGUUGGAACUUCGUACAUUGUAUUGAUUGCGACGCCUUGAACGUACAGGGGAGACUCUGUCCGCGGUACAGGGGAAAUCCUAUCAGUUCGGCAGUCUGUUGGCGUGCCCGAAUACGACCAAAAAGGCGGGCUCGGGGCAUGACAUUGUAAGUCAUCCAUUUGAUGUGCCAUGCAAUCAAUUUGCAUGAUAUACUCUAACACUUUUUUGAUUGUUAUGUAUUCUACUAAGCUUGAUAUUUGACUUCUUGGAUUCUUCUUCUGAUUUUGAUGUCUGAACUGUGGUUUUCUACUAGUCCUAUUUCUUUUCUUCUCUGGCUAUAGUAGUUAUACCAAGGUAGCCUGUGAUGCUGGUCUGAGGCUCAGGGUGCUGUCCUAAUUAGUGGAACAAUAAUAUUCUCUAAUAAGACCUUGGUACAUUCCCAUAAUACUGCAGCAUGUAUCCAUGUGGCUUGAUCUAGUGUUGUUGGAAUGGCUAAUGUGGAAUAUCUUGCGUACAAGCUAUUUGAUGAAAGCCUUAGCUGCUUUACCUCUUGUAAUUGCUUCAGAACAACUUCCAAUCAAUGCUUGCAACUUGUUUGUAGAUUUGCCCAGCUAUUCUACCACUUGUUGGCCUCAGAUUUGCCUUGUUCCCUUUCUUACUCCUUACUGCACUCUCGCUCACUUGGUGUUUGAUGAAAUUCCAGCAGCUUAUGGUACUCAAUUUUCUUACUUCUGUAGGAUCUACCUGCUGUGACUACUGCUGUAGGUUGCCUGGUUAGAGAUCUAGCAGGUUGGGAAGCUGUUCGCGCACUCCUACCUGCGGUUCUAGGCUCCAAUUGGGCCUGCAGUGGGAUCCUUUGUCGGAAUCCAACUAAAGUCAGUUCCCGUAGCUCGAAUGCUUUGUUGCGUUGCUAAUUCGACGAUCCAAGGGAUCAGAUUCAGUAGUGCGACUACACUGCACCUAAUCCUGGGAUCGAACCGCUCUGAUACCAAAUUGUAAUAUCCCGGACGAUUCGAAGCCACUGAUGAUGAGAUUGCUCUGAGGCUUGGUCGGCGAUGAGGAUGAUGGAUAUAUUAGGAUUGGAGAAAUAGAGAUAAUUGAGUGAGAGAAGGAAAGAAAAAGAGGAAAUAUAGAGAAGAAAGAGAGAUCAGAGUAGUGGUUAAGAGAGGAAAGUAAAUUCGGAAGAUGAAGAGGAAGAAUAAGGAUAAUUGGGGAGAAAGAAAGAGUUAAUUUAUUUUUUUCAUGCCUCCAUUAGUUACAUCCUGCUUUUUAUAUUCUCCUCUAUAUUGUUGUCACACCCCGAGAUCCCUUUUUAUAAAGUGGUCCGGGGGGGACCACCACGGCUCCUCUCUUCUCGAGAAUCCAUACAUCCCUUAUCAGUGUAUGGACAGCUAUCUUUCGAGCACAGGUUUAGGUUCGGCCUCAAUGGGAAAAUGGAGCACCUAACAACGCAUCUUCACAGACCAAGAACUACGAGAUCGCCCCUUUCAGCUCUUGUUAUUCCCAAUAAGAUUGCCUAAAGCACGCCCUGCUCGUUCCGCUCGCAACAAUCCGAUUAAUUCUCCAGGCGAAAAAACAUUAGACAUUCCAUCAAGAAGGCUAAUUUGAAGCUAAUGGAUAAGCGAAAAAUACCCUAUAUUUUUUUUUAAAACCUUGACCCAAGGGGAUGACAGACCAGUCACAAAUACAGAGAAUCCGUUGUCCACAUGGAUAGAGUAUUCCUUGUAUUUGUACGGCAUCGCAUAUAGUACAUGUCACAACCAUAUCCAUUCACAACUAUACAUUCACAACUAUACAUUCACAAGAUUCACAAUAUUUCACAUCUAUCAGUUGAAAGUGUUUCCUACCCAGAAACUCAUUUUGAAACACUAAAAUUACGAAAAGCCGAAAAAUCUUUUUAAAACUGUUUUCCACACGAAAACUUUUCAUUUUUGAAAAAGAGCUACCACGAGGGGUAGAAAACCAUUUCUUUUUUUACAUAAAUCCAUACGAUGUUUCCAAUAUAGUUUUAUUUAAGAUUCCAACAACGUCAUAGUCAAAAUAAGACUGAGGCAAAACCAAACUGAACUACAAUAAAUUAAGUAUUCAACAAAGGGAAAAGAGUAAGUCUAGAACCAAAGAUGUCAUCAGGGCGGAACCUCUAUCGCUCGCUAGCUACGCACCUCACGCCUCAUCCAGACUUGUACCUCCAAGAUCACCUGAAAUUAGGGGGGGUAAGAAACCAACAAAGGUCUUCCAUUAGGUACCACAAGCCGACGAGGGCAAGUGUACUCACUAGUAACCAAAAGUACAACUAUGAAACAUAAUACAGUAGCAAUGUAAAAUAGGAAAAAAAAUACAUAUGCAACUACUGCUACUGUAAAUAAAAUGCAUCAACUAGACAACAGUCCCAAAGUACCCAAUCCAAAUCCGUCGUGUCGGUCUAAAGACUUCAAGCAAGUCCCACGUCUGCUCUAAUAGACAUAAACCCUAGUAUAAGCUCCUGAGCUCACGGGUUGGCAUUCCCAACCACUUUUCUGGAAAACGAACAUCGUUGCGGUAGCGAAACUGCUGGUGUACGUGAAAUGCUGACGAGCAAGUAGCGAUCGAUGCAAAUAUGCUCAAUAGCUGUCGGCAAGUAGCCAACAAUCGAACCCCUCAAGUUAUACCAAGAGAAUAAUCAUCAAACAACAAGAGCCUCGAAAAUUGACCAACUAGGUCACAACUGAUGUCACAUCAUGCACAAGUAUAGUCAACUACCGCUCUAUUUCUAGAUCACGAUCAGCAAGUAUAGGAAAUGACUAAGUAGAGCAAUAAGAAUUAGGGUCACAUGGUGUCAGGCUCAACAAUAGUGAAUAAUGCAAGUAGUAUAGAAAGAGAGGGUGGAGGGAACAUCACCGAGCGUGAACCACUAGAUUGACUUCGGAUCGAAGUACCUACUUGUAUCUCUGUCGCAUCUGUCUUCAAGUUGUGCAAGAUUGCCGACCGGACGUACGAACAAGGUCAGAGUCCAACCCAUUGACUCAUUAACAAUACUCACAAUCCCCAAAAUUUACCACGGAAUCGGUUUCCUAAAACAAAUCUCCGUAACUCGCUGGAAGUCCCGAAAAUCACAUAGGGACGCCGCCGGGACCACGAAGUGUCCCGAAAUGUACCGACUCCAGUCACGAGUCACCUGCUGCAUCAAACACACCAUUUUGGGUGUCCUGGUAGCAAACACCAAAUCUUACAUCAAAACAGUUAUCGUCGAAUAAUCUUUCCAACUCGGGUUCUCGGAAGUGUCAAAUUCGACACUAGAACCCUCCACCGCACACCAGUCGUCUCUGAACACUCGAGACGAAGCAGAUGACAAGACUACAAGGUUCAGCGGAGAAAACACGAGCAUUCUAACACCGUUGGGUGAAUUCCGAACUGGAACCACGUUUCACCGACGAAUUUCGCCGAAAAACACAAAAAAGGAAGAUUCCAUCUUCGUAAAAGGUUCCGAGGCUUGCACGACCAGUCCAAAUGUCACACCCCGGAUUACCACGUUUUUUCGGGCACGCCAAUAGACCAGCCGUAUAUCCAGAAAUUUUUUGAGUAUACGAAGCGAUAGCUGUACCUUUAAACAAAUCAUAGCUACAACCAGAUAGUAAAGAGCUGCUAAACUGAAAUAUAUAAAUAACAUAAAGGGGUUCCUGUACAUACAAAAGUCCGCAACCCAACUCGCUCCAGUAAGUACAACGACAACAUAACAAUAUGUACAAAGAAAGCCCCAAUACUACCUCUGGAUGGUACUCCUCUAGCACGGCGACAAGACUGGUAGGGAUCUAGCUCGCGACUCCCUUCCCACGAUCCGAAUCCGCAACAGUAGCAGCCGCAGACGAAGGCUCUGCAAAAAGGGUCAACAACUGGGUGUGAGAAUUACUGCAAAACAUAGUAGUCCUCAGUAAGUAACGCCACCGACCUCAACGGCUCACCAACUAAGUCUACAGAAAUAUGCCCAAGGGAUAGUAAGGAAAGCUGGACAGAACUCUAUAGCUGCAUGCCACUAUACUAUCGCUAAUCAACACAAUCUAUCUGUAGAUAUACAUAUGCAGCAUACUGACCAAAUUUCACUAGGGCUGCCCAAACGGACCCACCCUGCCUGUAACCAAACUACACCGUACACCACCCACGGGAAUGGCCGGUCUAACUAAACGGUCCAAAACAAGACGGCUGCGACAUAAACGCAAGUAAAAGCCUCACUCCGGAGCGGCACUCGUAGGCGUGAUCCAACCGAGUAUGCAAGCGUGUCUCUGCCGAGCUCAAUCAGGCUCUCACAGGCUGUAGUCAAUGUAAAUGGAUCUAACUGGUCUAACAACCAAAGUUCACGUGCCCUUGGCACAGUCUGAUGCAAAUCUGGGUCCACCAUCAACCACGACGGCAACCGACAGUACGAAACAGUCUGCACACAACUGUAAAACGAGCUCGGCCUCCCAGCACGAGCGUAAACUCAUCCUACACUAAUCUGGGUAUCCACCUCGCACUAACAGCGGUGAUACAAAUUAAUAAUAGCUCCUAAAGUUAAAUCUGGUAACUUUUCAGAAACUAACAGUAUAGGUUUACUGGUUUUCUCCUAAGUCAAUUCCAAGUUCAACAUGUAAAGAGGUUCAGAAAUUAAAGCUCCAAAUUCAGAUUCCAUAAAAGCUAUGCAAAUUGAUGAACUGAGCUACUAAACAUGAUACUACACAUAAAACAUACAUGCUGACGAAUCUCCAACUUAGGAGGAAAUCCGACGAUUUCGGUAAACAUCAACCCACCUCGAGCUCUCGUCCAACAACGGCGAGAAAUCGACAAGAGGGAACCCACGCACUCGCCCAACCUCCAAUAGCGCAACCGCGACACCCACGCGCCCAAACGGUCCAUCGGAGCAAUGUCGAAGCCAAACAAGUUCGAUCCACGACUCCCCGACGAAAGGCGCACACCAGCUAGAGAGAGAGAGGGAAAGAAGAAGAACCCUGCUCUUUGAAGCUCACUACACAUAUAUAAAGGCUGAGGAUAAGGUUGGGUUGAAUGCCACAUCAAAGGACCAGAAUACCCCUUACCAACUCACUUUUCCAGCUGGAGUACCGGUACUCAGCUUGAAUACCGGUACUCGAGCCCUCAGCCCGCAGUCUUGCGCGUUGGGUACCGGUACUAGCCCGAUGUAGUAUUGGUACCUGAGCUCAAUACCGGUACCCCUCAACGGUACUGGUACUCAGCAUUAGCCUCGCGCAAAACCGAGAGCACCUAGUUCUGAGAUUUUACUGGGGUACCGUUACUUCUCUCCAGGUACCGGUACUCAAUAUUGAAAUCCUGCUCUUUGCAUAUUUCAGUGUCAGAACUUCACUCUCGCAUCGCGUUGAGUCCGUUUUGCGUCUAUUUCGCGCCAAAACGACUCCUGCUUAUCCCAACACUCUCUAGAUGUGUCGACAAGCCUCAGAUACUGAAAUCACACAGGCAGCUGAACCUCAGGGACACUACACUAGAGGUUGCACACAACAUGAAUAUACAGCCCACAGUGAAACAAUUGCAUAAACACUCCUAACCUUCACAAUAAUUACAAUAUAUUUAUGCAUAUUGAGGAGAUUAGAGCAGUUACCUCAAUCCGAGUGCUUCGAGGCCAACCGAGGGUACCAAUAGAAAGAUCUCGUCGAGACGAAGGUCGUGCUCACUAUCCGAAGCACCACAAGCCUCUGUGGAGUGCGUGGGAGCUAGGGAUGUUAGUGGAUCGGAUUCGGGGCAGGUUUUUAAAAACUUGAACCCGAACCCGACUACCAAAUCCGAAACCCAAACUCGAUGGAUUUAAAAAUCCAUAUUCAACCCGAACCCAACCAAAAAUCUAAAACCUGAACCCGAACCCGAAAACCCAAACCCGAAUCCGAAACAAACCCAAAUCCGACCAAAACCCGAAACCCGAUUCUAAACCCGAAAAUCCAAACCCGAAAAUAAUAUUUACCAAAUUUCGAAACAUAUUAUACAAGAAACUAAAAUUUCAAAAUACAUAUUCAAAUACAAUAUUAAACAUUCAUGCUAUAUAAUAGCGAUAUCCAAAUAUGAAAUGUACAAACUCAAAUAAUUAAAAACAACAAUACAAUUUUCAUAUGUCUAAUAUAAAUGCACAAUUUCUAAAUAGAGCACAACAACCUACAAGAACUAAAAGACUAAACUUAAAAAAUAAAGAAAAAAAGACAUAUAUGAAGAAUCAAAAAAACCCACAUCAAAGAAGCAACUUUAAUUUUCAUUUUUUUAAAAAAAAAUCCUCACCUUUUUUUCUCUUAGGUUUGAGGUUGUGGUUCUUGGAGAAAGCAAUAAGCCAAAAUACCUUCUUGGAGAAGAAUGAUCAAGAGACUACAAAAGUCUACAACGGCUUCUGUAGUUCUCUUUCAAAGUUUUAACUAUUAGGGUUUGGAGAUGGAGAGGGUUUCGGAAAAAGGAAGGUUUUGAAGUAGUUCUCUUUUGAGGUUUUAACUAUUAAGGUUUGGAGAUGGAGAGGGCUUGGAAAAUGAGAAGUUUUUGAUUUUUGUAUAUUAGGGUUUGGGUUAUAAAAAUAUAUGUAUUUUGGUUUAGAUUAUAAAAGUGUAAGUAAUUUUUUGGCCUUUAGAUUUAGAUCUAAUGGUUUGAAUUUUUUUAUAUAUUAUAUCAUAUUAAAUUUGUUCGGGUUUGGGUCGGGUUUGGGUCCGGGUCAGGUUCAGGUUUGGGUUCGGGUUCAGGUUUUUUAAAAAUAUCCAUACUUGAACCCGAAUCCGUCGAAUUUUUUUUUUUUAUAUCCAUACUUGAAUCCAUAUCCAUUUACAUUGGAUAAAAUCCACUCUGUUCAGGUUUGGAUUCGAAUAAAAUUUAGGUAUCCGUAUCCAAUUACAUCCCUAGUGGGAGCAAGCCGAGCUUCAAUGAAGAAUGUGUCCCAGGAGAGACGAAGGCGAAACUGAUAAUCCAGGCCUCGUCGAACACAAAUGUGGUGAGCACUAUGAUCAACACUACCCAGGGGUGACUGUGCUCACCUCCGGAGGGUUAGAAUAGCCUCGGGUCGCCAGAACAGCAAAUGCGAACCAAAAGAAGCCCUAACCGAGCUUGCUAGGGCAGAUAGGGCAAAGCUCGGCCGGCGGCGGUUAGGUGGCGAGCGCGUCGAUCAUAGGGGGGUGCGGCCGACGGGGGAAGGUCGACGGUCAUGCUAGCCGGCGGUGGAAGGUAGCAACGGCAGCUCGAAAGCAAGCUAAGCCCGCACAGCUUCAAAUCGGGCUCGACUUCCUUUCGAGCAAAGGAGAUGGCUGGAGCAGUUUAGGGAGGGGCACGAGCUUUCUCUGGAACUGAGAGGAAGAGAAGGAGAUAGGGGGCAGCGACGGCGCAGCUCAGUGCAGCCAUACGAACCUCAGCUAGCAGCAAACUUGCACCAGCCACGGCGGCAGCGCUCGAGGGCGGCUGCAGCCUGCAGGUGACCUCGCCGGGGGUCUGGGGUGGCACCGGUGAGGGGCCCAAGAGGGAGGGAUCACCUUGCCUUUCUCUCGGGCAGAGAAAGAGAGGAGGGUGGACGUGUUGGAGGAGAAAAAGCGGUGGUGAGGGUGCUAGCAGCGUUUGGUCAGCCGAAGCACGGUCGCUAAAGGCCGGAAGGCGCCCGGCGCACGCAAAGGAGGGAGGGGAGGCAGCUGGUCUCUGUUUGGAGGAGAUAGGAGCUAGGGUUAGGGUUGGGUGGAGGAGAAACCCUAUUCCCACAAAUAAUUGUGAGGACUGAGAUUUUUUCCCUAUAUAUGUUGGACAUCUUCUUAAAUGUUAUCGUGUGUAUUUUAACUUUCUGCUUGCCCACUAAAUUUCAACGAAAAAGGAUUUAAAAUAAAUUUUACGCAAUUAUUACUUUUCACUUAAAGUGAAUAGUAACCCGCAUUUUCAGUGAUGACCAAAGAGAGAGGUGGGCUUUAGAUGCGAAUCGGACUCCAUUUAGGGUGAUCCGUAGCUCAUUUUUGAUAGUCCGAAUGUGCCGAAACUAAUGGCCUUGACGGAUUUUAUAUUCAAUGCACGAUUUUUUAGAAAAUUAGGUUUUAUCACAUAGAGGGCAUUUAUUCUGCAUUGAACUUGCUUUUUCGAAGAGGUUAAUGCUCCGUUUUGCGUGAAAACUCGCGGGCAGGGACCUUUCUACGAGAGAAACAUAAUAGAGAGGAACUUGAAUUCGAACUUCAAGAGUUGGGGGACUUUGGAGAGAUUAUCCUUUAAGAAUAGUGGUUUAUAGGUUUAGAUUAAGGAUUUUGGGGAUUUUGAGAACCCCAAACCCUUGCCCCCAAGCCUCAUCUCCUUCUUGUCCAUCUGAAAGGUCGGCCACCACCGCAGUGGCUGCCGCUGGCCACCGGAGAAGGAGAAAAGGACAGUUCUUCUUCUUUUUCUCCCCCCUCUCUCUCUUGAUGUGUGAUAUGAGAGGGGAGCUCGAAUCACUUCGUGAUCCUGCCGCCUGCCACCGGGACCACCACCGCCAACCACUUGGACCUCGGCGACCAUCCUCGAGGCUUUCCUGGCGCCGCCGUGCCCUGGGGUGCCACCGUGCCCUGGGCUGAGCUCCCAGAGCAUGUGCGGUCGUGGGGUGAGACCUGAUCACCGCCUCCAUGCCGCGCCACCAUGAGACAACACCGGAGGUCCUCGGGGGUCCGCUGGCACCGCUCAUAACCGUCCCGAUCUGUCACUGCAAAGAUUAGUGAUGCCCUAGCCGCAUGUAAAAAUCUCAGUCUUUUCGAUCCGACAGUGCCAUCGCGUUCAGCACGACGGGGGCAUCAAAACUACGAUUUCGUUUCAUCCGAUUUGCUUGCCGAUUUGCGACAAAAUCCGACCUCUCUCCAACUAAUCCAUAUAUCACACAUAGGCCUUGGUGGAAACCCGAAAUCCAUUAAUUCAAACUCGUAUUUGAAUUCCCUACCACCAGUAGGUACUUGAAACAUCUCUCNUAUAUUCAUUUAGUUGUGGUUGUAUCCUGUUUGUACUGUUGUACUUGUGCGACGCCGUGCAAAUACAGGGGAGACUCUGUCCGUGUGAAUAGUGGAAUCCCUGUAUUUGUGGCGGGUCUGGCAUACUCUGGGGUCAGGUUUUUUUUUUAAAAAAAAAAAAAAUUCAGACGCUUUUCCACUAUCUUUUAAACUCAAAGGGACCCCGGGGCGUGACACCGCAGCUGUGUGGAGAGCUCUGUCGUUGUUCCGCGCCGCCAUUUCAUGGCCUCCUGCCGCCUCGGGCCUCCUUUGUCGCCUCUCUCCAGCCUCUGCGACCCACUUCCGCUACCCCGUGGCACCCCUGACCGCCGCCCCCGCCGUUGCUGCCUUGUGGCACCCCCGAUCGCCGCCGCCACCAUUGAGCUCCACGAGCCCAAGCUCGUGCCAUGCGGGCCGCACAACUUGAGGAGUCACUGCCGCUGCACUCUGCCGCCGGCAAAGGGGAGCACAGGGCUUGUAACACACUGGACUUUAGCAAAUUGCAAGGUUCGAGUGUUGAGCUGUGUUCUGAGUUUUUUUAGAUAUUAUGGAGGGUCAUCGACCGUGUUCCGACCUUUGGCUCGUAUUCCGAGAAUUGAGGUAUUUAAAGUAGCUUUAAGGUCACCAAAGUGGAGAACUUAGGCUGCUCUCAGGUUGCUUUCUGCAGGAAAGUGUACCGAUACACCUUGAUGGUUGUAACGGAACAGAAAGUGUACCGGUUAUACCUUGAUGGUUGUACCGGUACAAAUGGGGAUAUUCUGUCAACCCGAGGCUCGAGUUUGCGUGCAUAGUGGUUUGUACCGGUAUAUUUUUCCGUGUACCGGUACACAGUGUAAACUGUAGUCUGGCAGUUUUUGAGAGAUCUUUUCGCUUUUGUCGCAAUACCUUAAAUACACCCCCACCCCUUGGACAGGGGUUGUAUGCUGCGACAGAGAAGGGGGAAGGGUAGGUUUCCACUCCUUUUCCUUGAAUUUUUAGCUCAUUUUUACUUGAGUAUUUUGAGGUUGAUCUCUCCCUUUUGCUCUAUUUUGCAUCUUGGUGACCCUUUCACCAUUGGAGAGGCUUUGGAGCUUGGAUUGGAGCCUUUUGGAGGAAAGAUUUCUAACCCUAGCUCAUUCCUAGCUUGGAUUGGAGCUUCUUGAGAGGUUAGCAUCUUAUAUCUUCUCUUUAGAUCUUCUUUUGGUAUAAUUUUGUGUAGAAACCCUAGAAUGUGAAAUCUAGGGUUUUAUUUGGGGUUUCUUGAUUUGAGGCUUUUGGAACCUAAUUGAUGAGUGUAGAACUCUCCUUUAUGUUGGAUUUGAAGAUCCAUUGGGUUGAUUUGGGCUUUGGUCAAGUGUAGCUUGGUCAAAGGUAAUUUUCACCUCUUUUCUAUGUGAUUUUUGGUGAAAUUAGUUUGAUAUUCGUUCGAGACUUUUAACCCUUUUGGAAUUUCUUUUAGGGUGCUAGAAGUUUGGGGGACAACUUCGUUCGGCGAAACGAAAGAGUUCGGAGUGCUUCCGGUGGGUUUCACCUCACCGAAAUGGGUGAAUUCCCCCUAUGUCUAUCUUUCUAUUUCAAGACAUAAUUAGUUACUUAAUCAUGUUCAAAAUGACAUGUUGGAAUUUAUGAGAACUUAAUACAUACAUGUUAUGCAUAGAAAAUUUGAUGCUCUAUAUAGUAGAGGCAUACUUGUGGACUUAGGCAUAAAAUGAUACUUCAUGAGGAUUUCUCUUUUAUGCAACCUUAAUGAGCAUGUUAGAUUGUGAAUGUAACAAUUGUUCCACGAAAAUAAGACUUAGAUGGAAACAUACUCUUGCAUAUUGAAUCAUGGUAAAAUGAUAGAGUACCUAGUACACAUGUGUUGCAUGUAGAAUUUAUACCCUAUAUAGUAGGGGCACUUUGUGAAUUAGCAUUCUACAAGACGCGUAAUGCAUGAUGAAAUCGUACUUGUUGUAGGCAAGUAGUUGUGACAUUGUGACAUAAUACAUGUAAGUUGAACAAGAAGCUAAGUUGGGACAUUUAUUCUAGUUGAAUAUUUGCAUGUGACCUUAUUGAAUGAAAUGAAAGCACUCGCAUGAUUGUUAUUACUCCAUAAAGUGGAGGCAUGGGUAGAAAAUAUAUGUGUAUGACUUGCAUCAUAAGCAUCGUAAAUAAUUGCGGUAACUAUGCAUACACCAUAAGAAAGUAACUUCCUUAGCUAUAGUGGAAUAGACUAUGUGUGAACUCUCAUUGAGACUUGGACAAUAGUGAACUAUCCUAGAUAGGAUAAUGGCAAGGGUUGUGUGCAUAUGAACUAUUGAUUGUUACUUGACAUAGUAAACGUGAACGUCAUGUAGUGACAUUUGGGUUAGUAAAUGACAAACCUUAACACUUGAUACUAUAUUGGGACCUUUGGGGUCGUGCUACAUAUUCCAUGUUUUAGAUAUGAUGACCGAGAACUGGAGACUAUUGAUCAUGCUUGCUUGCCAUUGUGCUCAUUCGCACAUGCUUGUGAGGGUCGCUUCCCACAAGCGGGCACUCCGGAGAUAGCCUACGCGACACAAGCUCACCCAUGCGGGUUGGGCGCCGAAAUGGGAUGCCGUGGGGGAGGCUCAUUCUUAGAGUGAGGAUGUUGACUACCACGGGGCCAUUUUUGGCAUGGUACAAGCUGGACUACACACGUGUAGAUCCAUGACGAGAAUUGAACUAUGAUACCUAAAGUGAAAUGAGAAAAUUACUACUAGAAAGUGCAUCCUAGUUGGAUUUGUGGACAUACUUGAUAGUGCAUAAUGUGAACUCAUGUUAGUCACUCUUAGCAUCGACAUUCUAGUGGUAGUAUAUUAUACCUUUGUUGAUUGGCAUAUUGUAUGGUUAGAAUAGUAAAGAAAAGUAUCAUCACUCAUCGUAGCAUUAUGAACAUAAUGGACAUGCAUGUAAACUAGUAAUGACAUAUCGUUGAUUGUACACGUAAUGGGACAUUAGCAUACAAUUGAUAUGCAUGUAAAUCGACAUUGACAUAUAGUUGAUCAGAUGACAAUAGAACAUCACUUACAUGAUAGUAAUCAUUUAGUAGAAGCAUGACUAUUACAUGAACAUGUUUAAAUACUACUUUUCAUAAUUGCAUAUUAACUUACCCUAUAACAUGCUUAUGUUAGCCUAGUGGAGCAUUUCGUCGAGGUCCGCGAAUUGCCCACUGGGAACUAUUUUUAAUAGUUCUCACGACCUCUAUUUUGUUGAUGUUUUCAAAGCCAUCUGCAUUGGGAGUGGCUAGGGAUCGAGGCAAGGGGUUAGUGGCUAGCUAGAGCCCUACGGAGUUUCUUUAGUUGGACCCGUGUCAUCUUUUCUUUUUGUACCUUUGGAAAAGAUGUAUUAUGUUUUGUACUAGAGAUGUUGCUAGUCUUUUGGUUUUAGUAGCAUACCUCUUGUAUCUAAUUUGUGUAUCUCUUUAUGUUAGAACUUUAGUAAUUUUAUUAUACUCGUUCUGAUAGCCUUGUUAGGACUUCUAUGUUCAUCCUUGUUAGUAGACGCCUUGUGUGUAUUGUGUUUGUUGGUGUACACGGCGGGUCUACGCACGCGCCGGCGAGCUCCUGCUCGGCCCGGGGGGUGACAGAGCUCCUCUCCCCUUCCGCACUCCAUCCCCACUAGCGCAGGCGCCGCCGGGUCGCAGGCAAUCGGCCGGAGCCCCUACUCCCUGUUCGAGCUUUAUUUAGGGCCGGUUUGACCCGGUUGGCAUUUCCCGGUCAUCCUACACUUCCCAAUCAAUCCGAAUGUGAGCAUGGCGAUCCCCUCGACUUACUGAACACAGUGCUCACCUCCAUUGCUGCCGGCGACCCUUCGUCACUGAGUUUCAGCUUUCCGGCUUUUGAAAGCAUGCCAUUAGAGAGGUUUUUCUACAGUUUUGAUUUUUGAAGCCAUCCGACCGUCAAUCACGCUCCGGACAGUAAGCACGAGGAUCUUUGCAUUGAGACAAGUCAAAUCGACUGGUUAGAUUGAUUCGCUGCGCAGCGAAUCAGGGUAACGAGCUCGAAACUCAUGUUUUAUGCAUUAUUUGUAAAGUGGUUGUUGCUUUGUUGGGUUAAUUGCAAAUAGUAUGCAAUGGGGACCCCGCGCACAGCCUCAUUAUAGUACACUGAACUGGUGCAAACUGCCAAGUUCGAGUGUGGGAAUGGUGUUUGGAAUUAUUCCACGUAUUUUAAAGAGCUAUAGAGAGAUUUCGGUAAGUUAAUGAAGUGAUUAAAAGGUUGGAUGUACAAAAGUGCAUUACUAUUGCCAAUUCUGCAACCCUGCAUAUUGUACCGGUACAAAUAUGAAUCUGUACCGGUACCAAUAGCAUCACCAGCAGUAGCUGCAUGGCAGUAGACCUAUUUUAGUCUUUUCUUCUCCCAAUCUUAUCUCUAAACCCCUGCAUGACCCUUGCAACUCCUCUAAGGUUGCUGAAGUUCUGAAAAAGCAGGGUGAGCUGCUUCUCUUACUCUCUCUAGGGUUUUGAAAUCUAGUUGAGUGGAAUCAAGGGAAUUGAGCUUAAUAUCCUCUCCUUUAUUAUAGCUGGGUGAUAUAGGAGGCUUGGAGCUAGCUUUUGAAGGAUGGAAGAGGUGUUUUGGUAGUAUUCUUCAAGUAUCCUACAGAGGAUUGCUGAGAGAGAGCUUUUGAAAGGUAAUUAGUUCAACUUCUCCCUAGUUUGAGUAGUAGUAUGGGAUUUUGAGUGUUUUGAUCCCUUUGCUGUCAGCCGAGUUGGAAGGAGGUUCCAGCAGCUAGAGAAGAGCUCCUUUGAUGUAAUUCUUCUGCUUUAGUCCAAGGAAGAGCUGGAUCAAAGCCUUAAGAAGGUAAUUAAAUGAUUAAUUACCCUUUAUUGAGACUAUACAAGGUUUAUUAGUGAAGGGUGAUGCUGAUUUUGGAUCUAUUGUUAACAGCAGCUACGAAUGCCAUUCUGAGCUGAUUAGUCAACCCUGGUGAGCUGGUUUGAGAGUGUUUCAAGCAUCAGGGAGUGAGAUUCCAAGUUAAGAAGCUGAACAAAUGAGAUUUUAACCUAUAUUAAAUAGUUUUAUAAGAGUAUUAAGGUUGUUUUAAGGCUAAUUCACAGUAGGUUUGCGACAGAUCGUUGGAUUGUUCUCGGCUGACAUUUGGGAGUUUUUGGAGGUUAAACUUGGUGCAGUAACCUGAACCGAAAUGGGGAUUCAAGCUAUAGUAUUGUACAAGGUGAGAUUUCGCCAAAAUUAGAUAUUUUGGUAAUAGUUCAAUGCAGUUUUUAUAGUUAGUUCACAGCAGGUUUGGCAACCACCUCGAGCUGAAUAUGGGGACUUCGUGGGGCUGAAUUGAGAUGAUCUAGGAGUGCUUCCCCCUUGGAUUGAUGCAGGUUUGGGCUUUAGUCUAAACCUAGGUGAGAACUUAAUCCAUAUUAUCGGAUUAUGAGAGGUUCUAUUAUAGGUGUGCAAAUUCAGCUCUUAGUUGAUUUCUGGUUUAUUGUUAGGAGACUUGGAGACUUCGAAUUCUUGCAGUUGCAACGUGAACAAGAGUCGUCGACUAGUAGGUGGGUUUGACCUCACCAGAAUAAGUGAAUUUCCCCUAUGUUCUACAUGAUACUAUAGAAUUAAUAGUUGUGUGCAAUUAUGUGAACAUGUACUAGAUAAAGAGUAUUGAAUGCCACAAAUACGCUGGUUUUGUUGAAUUGAAUGAAACCUCUAUGAAGUAAGAAAGCAUGCAUAAAUGUUUUAAUGUUCAGUUCUAAUGCAUAGAUAUUGGAUAAUCUUAUUAUGCCUCUAUAAAGUAGCAAACGAGGACAUUCACCUGUGAUUUGACUUCUAGUACCAUUGUACUGACAAGUUUGCAAGGGCAUAUGUAAACUAGCAUCAUUUUAUGUGUUUAUUAAUCUAGUGGAUACAAACAUUACUCAUUAUAUUGAGAUUCUGACCUAUAGGUCGAGAGCGAAAACUUUACAUGCUUGAGACAUGAUGACCAAGAACUGUGAGACUAUGGAUUAUGCUUGCUUAUCAUUGUGCUCAUUCGCACAUGCUUGUGAGGGUCGCUCCUCACAAGUCGGCAUUCCGGAGUUGGCCUAUGCGACAGAUUGCUCGCCGUGCAGGAUUGGGUGCCGAAGUGGAUUGCCGUGGGGAGUGCAUACUACCACGGGGCCAUUAGGCACGGCGCAAGCAGGACUACCCUGUGUAGGUCCUUAUGAAUUAAACAUUGUUACUAAAUGACAUCAAUAGAUGACCACCACUACAUAGUGUAUAGUUAGAUAAAGACAUGACAUGUUUAAGUUAAAGUAAUGACUUUACUUGUUUCUAAUUAGUGAUACAUUUGAAAGUACAACUACAUGUUCAUCGCUAAUUAUCAUUGCCAUAUCUAUGAUGUGAUAACUGUUCUUACUGUCCAAUUAGUACAUCAUGAACCUAAUGGUGUAAUUCGCUGAGGCUGGCGGCUUACCUACUAGGAACUAUUGUUUAAUAGUUCUCACGCCCUCUUUGUUGUUGUUUUUACAGAGCCAUCCACGACGGGAGAGGCUAGGGAUUGCGACAAGGGAGUCACGUCUAGCUAGGCAUAGCGUGGAGUCCUGCUAGGUGAUCACCUCGCUAAUAUGCGAUGCUGAUGAGGAUGAUGUGUACCCCUGUGUAGAGAGACUACCUGUAACGCACUGGACCUUUGCAAAUUGCGAGGUUCGAGUGAUUGGUCGUGCUCUGAGCCUUUCCAGAUUUCUGGUAGGUCGUUGACUGUGUUCCGACCUAUGGCACAUGUCCCGAGGAGUGUGGUACGAAGCCUUGCACCAAAAUCCAAAAAUUUGGAUUUUGGUCAGCUCUCGGAUUGGCUGUCUGGCGGGCUUGUACCGGUACNCAAGAGCUGAGGUCAGUAAUUGCCCACUGGGAACUAUAAAUUAUAGUUCUCACGCCCUCUUUUUCUCGAUGUUUUUCAGAGCCUUCCACUCAGGGUGAGGCCAGAGAUCGCGGAAAGGGCAUCGCCUCGGGCUAGCGCGCUUACCGAGGGACCGUUCGAUAGGUGGUCUACCUCUCGUGUUUUCUUUUUGUGAAAGGUUGAGAGAUGUACCUGCAUAUGUAUAGAGACCACCAUUUUUGUACUACUUAUGACUAGCUUUAUUUCUUUACCUUGGUAUAGAUGAUAGAACUUUACUUGCUCUGAUAUCAUUAGUUGCUCGUUAUUUCAUUUCUUGUAUUUGUUCUAUCUCUUGCUUUUACUUCCGCUUUUGUUGUAAACGCCUUAUAUGUGUAGACAUAUGGCGGGUCUGGGCACGCUACCGGGAGGGCCUCCGCCGGUCCCGGGGCGUGACACUACCACUUAUGUUUAUAUAGUAUUUGGGCGACUCGGUGGUGUACAUGUUUGUGUAGAGUGAUGUAUUUACAGUUUUGGGUUUCGAUCUCUUGUUAAGUUUUAUGGGAUUUAUAUUUACUCUCUUCUAGUUAGUAGUACUAUUGAUAUAGACUUUGUUCUGAUAUCAUGUUAGAACCUCUUUAUGAUCGUUACUUCGCUGACAUGAUCCUUGUAGACGUCUUAUAUAUUGCAGGUAUAUGACGGGUCUGUGCAUGUAUCGGGUAUGCUUCCGCUGGUACCUAGGCGUGACACUCGUACAGCAUGUAAUCACUGUUGGUGACCUCUUUACUAAUCGUCAAAGGUCCGGGAGCCUUUGCGAGGUGGAAAUGGGGUCCCACGGUGUCGUUUGGCGAAAAUUCGCUGAUCGAACGCGGUUUAUGUUGCAAUUUUUGCAUGUUGGUCAUGUGAAUGCCCUGGAGACCUCGCCAAGCCUUGUUGGCUGAUUGCUAUCGCCAUCUUCGAAGUCCGAAUGUAGUGGAUGAGUGGAAGAGGGGUUUCGGUGCGUUUUUCGACGAAAUCACCGAUAGAACGUGAGUUCGUGUCGUGAUGAGUUUUCGGCUCUACGUGGUCACCCCGGGAAUCAUCGCCUAGCCUCGUUGGCUGGCCGCCAGGGUUGCCCCGUGUGUUCGAAGGUGGUAGGUGAGCGGCGGAGGCUUCCGUUGCCAAAGUGGACACUUUUGGAAGCCCAAAGCAAAUUGGUCGACUGACAAUGAUUGAGUUGACAUUGGUGGUUGUGUUCACUGCCUGGACACUCAAAUGGAUGUGUUUCAGGGCAGCGUGUCACGGGGUUAACUUUUUCGUUCGCAAAGCCCGUGCGGCGUUCGCCUUCCUGCUCGAAGAUGGGCAUGCCUUCUCAAGUCCUUAACACGGACGAGUCUCCCAAACUUAACAGCGGAAUAUCAAUUCAAGCAUUUUGCCAAACUUGCUGCUCUGCGAGACUUAUAGCCCGACCAUUCGCCUGUAAUUGAACCCCUCGUCGGACUCCUCGAGUUCCCAACAAGCAACCCCAAUACUGAGGUUGGACACCAAGCAAGGUUUAUAUUCUUCACCAUUGUGUCUCAUGCGCCUGACAGCAUCCACGGCCAUACCGCCUACGCGACCUGCUCGCUCGGUCCAGCGACAUACAUCUGAAAAGCCACCAAAGUGUGUGCCACAAGCUCGCCUGUCUCCCAAUUCCAGCGACAUAGCGCGACACUCCGCACGUCCAUACUUCGCACCUCCGUGCUUCGCAUACGACCCGUACGGCACUCGUGUCCCAACACUCCUGGCAAGAAAGCCAACAAGCCCACAUCGUGCUUCUCGACAGUCCCUACGACCCUCGCUUUGCCAUGGCGCUCCGCGCCCUUGAUUCCUAUAGGUUCGCCACAUAAGGCCCCAUACAAACGAGCCGGCCUUGCUCCGUAUUGCUAGCCAUCUGGCUCCUCCAUGGCUCGACCACACCUCGCCUUCGACACCAUUGGUCCAGUCUCUCAAGGUUCACUAUACGAAUACCGAUACUGCUUGCCUCAUUGGGUUUCGCCCCUCUCGAGUCUCAUAGGCAUUGCGCCCCACGAGUUCUCAUUCGGCGUGCCUCCCUUUAACGAUCCUAUGGAGUUAUGUCUCCUUAGACCUUCGCGGGCACUGCGCCCCGCGAAUCCCCGCUCAGCACACUUGCCUUCGCGAGCCUUGCCCUUUACGGAGGGCCAUCCAUCGCAAGACUGUCCCUCAUCCGCUCAUACGCUCCCCUACAUAGAUCCAAGGCGACAUAAGGUAGUGCAAGCGAACCUAGGAGGAAAGCCUCCCGGUAGUCCCUGCUCCAUAAUGUCGUCGACCUCUAUUCUACGACAUUACCCUAGGCCCGUGACCCUUCAACCAUCUAGUACUCGGUCACACGGAACGCUAGGCUUGGCUACUCCGCUAGCCAAGGGACGACCCAUGUCCUAUGGAUUGGCGAGGGAGUCGGGGCCACUCACGAAGUGUCCACCCCUCCUCUAUAUACCAUGCAAGGCAUCCACCCCUUUGGCACCCCGGGGGUACAAAGGUGCUCACCGAGGGGUACGUUUUGAAACCCUGCAUGCGGUACCAAAUUCUUUGCCAUGGCACGGGCCAUUGUUAGGAAAUUUCCUUCGUAGACUUGACAACGACUCCAACUUGACGGGACACCUCAACUCCGCAACUCCAUAGCUUUGUCAACUCAAGUGCCUACCAAAUGUGGCCCCCAAGGACGUCACGGUCGAGCCCCAGCGAUCGACCCGUGACAUUCUCCCCUACGUGAACCAUCGACGUCCUCGUCGAUGCUCCACCAUUUCCUUCAAACUCCGUUGCUAGCAGUACUACUCUUCCAGACUAGAGCCACCCACGGCCUUGGCAUCUCAUGCCACACUGACCUGCCAUCGAGUUCGUCCGCUCAACAACGCUUCUAUAAAGCCUAUCGUCCUCCUCGACGAAACGCCUCACACAAGUAUUCUGUCCCACAUUGAGUUAGAGCUUUCCAGCCGUGGCGCCUCGCUCGCACCACACUAACUCCUUCAUGGAACUAGAAUUCAAAAUUCAUUAUCCAUCGGAUUGCAAGAUUGUACUGACACUCCUCUAUAACUUGGUUCUCUCCAUCGGAGCUACUCAGCCUCAACGCCCACUUCGCACUGACUUAACCAAAGUUCCUCGAGUCCAGUAGCCAACCUUAUAACUCCUUCUCAUGGAAGUAGUCCUCCGACUAGUGUCCUCUUCUGGGAUUCAAGUCUCAUGGGUACUAGUGCCAUUCUUGUGCCCUCCCCGCAAACAACGUUUGCCACACCAAUGCCUCCACAAUCGCACAACGUCCAGCUCCCCCAUGGUCUCACCAAGCCUUCAAGUCUUUUCGUCGGGACAAACCGGCCUCGACUAUUUUCCACUUUACUGACUUUACCACGGACUCUUGUCAUGCCUCCUGACUGCUUUGCAUUUCGGCUACUUGCUGAUGUACGACACCUUUAGCCUUUGUCCCACAAGUCGUCAAGCCCCACUUCAUUAGGCUCUCCCAGAAUUCCACUUUGAUUCGCAAUCAAAGUCUUCAGCCAAGUUCGAGCCCACCUGGCGCCUUUGUCUUUGUUCGCUCGCAACAUGCCAUAUCCCAACUCUAAGGAAACCACCCUCAUGAUGAUCGCUGAACGAAACUCAAUUCACUCUCUGCUUAGUCUGAAUCGCAAGUCUGAUUGCCACGGUAAUGCCGCAACUCUGCGGGCACCGCCCCUACAGAACUCCGAUACUUCGACCGCCUCGCAGUUGUGAACUAUCUAUACUCCAACCAACACCAUGGGUCUUGCUCCUCUGAGCAAGCGCACCAGCGAGCCUGCUGUGCGAAGAAUCCGCUGGAUGUGCAUGUCCUCCGCAACACACAUGCGCACUCUGCCAAGCUGUAGAACUCAUCGAAUGUGCAUGUCCUACGCGACACGCACGCGCACUCCGCCAAGUCGCAGAACGCCCGGAGUGUGCAUGUCCUUCGCGACACGCACGCGCACUCUGCCAAGCUGGAAAACUCACCGAAUGUGCAUGUCCUCUGCGACACGUACGCGCGCUCCGCCAAACUACAGAACUCACCGAAUGUGCAUGUCCUCCGUGACACGCACGCGCACUCCGCCAAGCCGCAGAACACCCCGAGUGUGCAUGUCCUCCGUGACAUGUAUGCGCACUUCGCCAAGCCGCAGAACGCCCCGAGUGUGCAUGUCCUCCGACUUCCGCUUGACAGAAUGACUUGCACCUUGAUUGGGCGCUGGCUGUUCCAACGCCGUAUGAGACUUGACAGUCUCUCUACUGCUCAGGCCCUCCUCCUCGAGGUCCUGAGCCUUCCCGCGUUUUACCUCCUCGCAAAGCUGCAGGGCUGUCAUAGUCGAACUCCCAUUGCGCCUCUUUGCGUCCCCUGUAUCACGAUGCUCUCCCCUACGUUUGGCCUAGCUCACCUUUGGUAGUUUGCCAUGGUCACUCUCACUCUGCUUGGCUAGUGCCUUCCUCGUCUUGAGGUCCUCGAUCUUCUUGACCUGGGCACCAAUGUCCUGAAGUAGCACAUCUCGCACAUCCCGCUCGUCGUUGCAAACGGCAAAAGUCACCUUGAACUGCUCCUCCAUUCUUGUCGUAACAUCCUUCUGUCGCCCCGCACGGUACUUCAAGGAUGCGGGACUCCUUCACGAGUGCCUGCGACUCCUUGCUCCCUUCCUACUUGGUCUGUAUCGAAGGCUCAGCAGUUACGUCGAUGACGGCAGUGUCUGAUGACGACAUGGUUCCUCCUCAAACCGGCUCUGAUACCAAUUGUCACGGGGUUAACUUUUUCGUUCGCAAAGCCCGUGCGGUGCCCGCCUUCCUGCUCGAAGAUGGGCAAGCCUUUUCAAGUCCUUAAUACGGACGAGUCUCCCAAACUUAAUAACGGAAUACCAAUUUAAGCAUUUUGCCAAGCUUGCUCCUCUGCGAGACUUAUAGCCCGACCAUUCGCCUGUAAUCAAACCCCUUGUCGGACUCCUCGAGUUCCCAACAAGCAACCCCAAUACUGAGGUUAGCCACCAAGCAAGGUUUAUAUUCUUCACCACUGUGCCUCAUGCGCCUGACAGCAUCCAUGGCCAUACCGCCUAUGCGGUCUGCUCGCUCGGUCCAACGACAUACAUCUGAAAAGCCACCCAAGUGUGUGCCACAAGUUCGCCUGUCUCCCAAUGCCAGCAACAUAGCGCGACACCCCGCACGUCCAUGCUCCGCACCUCCGUGCUUCGCAUACGACCCGUACUGCACUCGUGUCCAAACGCUCCUGGCAAGAAAGCCAACAAGCCCACACCGUGCUUCUCGAUAGUCCCUACGACCCUUGCUUUGCCAUAGCGCUCUGCGCCCUUGAUUUCCAUAGGUUCGCCACAUAAGGCCCCAUACAAACGAGCCAGCCUCGCUCUGCAUUGCUAGCCAUCUGGCUCCUCCAUGGCUCGACCACACCUGGCCUUCAACACCAUUGGUCCAGUCUCUCAAGGUUCACUAUAUGGAUACCGAUACUGCUUGCCUUAUUCGAUUUCGCCCCUCUCGAGUCUCAUAGGCAUCGCGCCCCACGAGUUCUCCUUUGGCGUGCCUCUCUUUAGCGAUCCUAUGGAGUUCUGUCUCCUUAGACCUUUGUGGGCACUACGCCCCGUGAAUCCCCGCUCAGCAUACUUGCCUUUGCGAGCCUUGCCCUCUAUGGCGGGCCAUCCGUCGCAAGACUAUCCCUCAUCCGCUCGUACGCUCCCCUAUAGAGAUCCAAGACGGCAUAAGGUAGUGCAAGCGAACCUAGGAGGAAAGCCUCCCGGUAGUCCCCGCUCCAUAAUGUCAUCGACCUCUAUUCUCCGACAUUACCCUAGGCCCGUGACUCUUCAACCAUCUAGCACUUGGUCACAUGGAACGCUAGGCUUAGCUACUCUGCUAGCCAAGGGACAACCUAUGUCUUAUGGGUCGGCGAGGGAGUCGGGGCCACUCACAAAGUGUCCACCCUUCCUCUAUAUACCAUGCAAGGCAUCCACCCCUUUGGCACCCCGGCGGUACAAAAGUGCUCACCGAGGGGUAUAUUUUGAAACCUCGCAUGCGGUACCAAAUUUCUUGCCAUGGCACUGGCCAUUGCUAGAGAAUUGUCUCCAUAGACUUGACAGCGACUCCAACCUGACGGAACGCCUCAACUCUGCAACUCCAUAGCUUCGUCAACUCAAGUGCCUACCAAAUGUGGCCCCCAAGGACGUCACGGUCGAGCCCCAGCAAUCGACCGGUGACAAGCGGGUGACUCACGGCAUGAGUCGGUGUGUUUCGAAAAGUUUCAUGGGUCCCGGUGGCAUCCCAAUGGAUUUUUGGGAUUCUUGACGAGUUUCGGGAAUCGAUUUUGCGAAAUCGAUUCCGCGAAUGGUUUUGGGUUUGUGAGCAUUGUAUUUUGAGUCACGUGGAUCAAAUUUUGACUCGGUGGACCUAUCGUAGGUCCAGUCGACAUCCCUCGUCUCGUAGGAGCUAGCUGCGGUAACGGACAUAGGUGGGUACUUCGAUCCGAAAUCGGUUUAGUGGUGCACGCUUCGUGAUGUUCCCUUCAUCUCUAUCCUUUAUUGUUUACAUAUACUUGUCUAUCCAGUACUCGAGCUUUUCACAACAUGACUUCGACCUUGCUCUAUUUAGUGUAUUCUCCCUUGCAUUCAUGACUUAAAGUAGAACAGUAGUGAUAUUGAUAUAUACUUUCUAGUUGACCUGAGUGGUCGGUGCCUGUAUACACCUUGUGACAUGGACAUCAUACCUACUAGUUUACCUGAGUAGUUGGUACUUGCAUACACUUGAGAGGAUGCUGAGUUGUUCCAUCAUAGUUGACCUGAGUGGUCGGUACCUGCGUUCCCUUACAGUUCGUUGAUCUAUUUAUCGGUGUGCCCUAAGGGGCGAUGAUUGUCGGCUAUUCACUGAUAGUUGGGUACUGAUCAUAUUCGCAUCGAUCGCCACUGCUCGAUAGCAUUUCACAAACACCAACGGUCUAAUACACCGCGGGAGGGUGUUCUUUUCCGGAAAAGUGGUUGGUUGCCAACCCAUGAGCCCAUGAGCUUAUGCUUGGAUUAUAUGCCAUUUAGAGCGGCAUGGCACUUGCCUGAGGUUCUUAGAUCGACACAACGGCAUAGAUUGGGUACAUUUAGACAUUUCGUCCGAUUUACGUAUAUAGCUACAGCAGUGGUUGUUGCAUGCUUACUUACAGUUCUUUUGUUCUUUACACUUACAUUGCUAUUGUAGGCCUUUAUUUACCUAUACUUGGUUACCAAUGAGUACACUUGGCUUCGUCGGCUUGUGGUACCCACUGGAAGGGGAGACGUGUUUACAUGUUCUCAUCCCCCACUUUUUUUCAGGUGACGCGGAUGAGAUUGGUUGGGACGCAGCGUGAGGACGUAGCUAGUGGGCGGUCAUAGAGGUCUCGAUCUAUGGUAUAUGUUCUGGAUUACUUCAUACAUAGUAUUAGACAUAUAUGUGAUAGUAUAGUUCACCCCUACACCUGUUAGUAGAUGAUACGUGUGGAUCAGUUGAUACGUUUUACUUGCGGGUUUUUGGUUGAUGUAUUUAUGAGUUUUGGAUAUUCAUGGUUUUUGAAUUUUCGUGGCUUUUAAACACUUGUGGUUUUGGACUCAAUUUUCGAAUGUUGGUUUUUCACCCCUUGCUCGUGGUAGCAUUUUCAAAAUAAAGGCUCCCGUGUGGGGAAUGAUUUCAAAUGGUUUUCUUGUGGCCUUUCGAAAGUUAGAAUUUCAAAUAAAGUCUUCGUGUGGGAGACAUUUGGAACUAAAAGGAUAUAUGUGAAUGAAUGUGAAUAGAUGUGACUAAGGAUCGUUAGCUAUAUGAUGUGGAAUUAAUGAUCCUUGUACAUCUUGUAUCGUUGCGUGUGCGAGUGGAAAUCUGGUUGUUAAUUGUAUAUGUUCUACGCAGCACAAAUACAGGAGAGAUUCUAUCCGUUUGUUUUGGAAAUUUUCUAUAUUUCUGGCGAUUCUGUUAUGUCCCUGGGUCAAGGUAAAAAAAAAAAAGAAGGGCAGUUUUUCGCUAACUCUGAUUUAUAAAAAUAGCCCGAUUUAAAUUGGAUUUCAAAAAGGGACCCUAGGGCUUGACAAUAACAAGGUGUCGUUUUGCAUAAGUCCUCCAAACACCCAUAUUUCUUAUUGGGCCCCUCAUAGCAUGUGUAAAACACACAUACGCACCUCCAUGUGCGAUUUCGUGCGAUUCGGUAUAUAAAAUAUAGGGGGUUUCGCAAAAUUUUCAUUUGGCCCAUUUUGACCCCUUCUCGGUAAUCGCGCUAUUACAGGAGAUCCGUCUGUCGAAUUUGCAAACAAACUGCGCCAGCGCAUCCUGCACUGCCGAACUAUGGAAACCACGAUUUUGUUGCACCAAAUUCUGUUAAGUCUUUUGUGUUGGCAAGUUUCGUGAAGUGAGUCGGAGUCUUGAAGGAUCGGUGCGUAUUGUCGAAGAUCAAAGAAUCCAAGAUUUCAAAGAUAGCGGAAUUAGAAGAAAGCGGAAUUAACUCACUGUGUGAAUCAUGAUGCCCAAGUAAGCUUUUAAUUCAUGUUAUGGUGAUUCAUGCUUAGUUGUAGGCAUUAGAAUCAUAAUACCAAAGUUUACUGGAUUAGAAAGUGCGUUGGUACUUUGUAAAACCCGAAAUCGUAAAAAAAUUGGGUCUUUGCAAAGUGUACCGGUACAGCAUCAGAAGUGUAUCAGUACACAUUCUGUUCCGGUACAGCAAGCAACAUUGUCACCGGUUACAGCAUUACACAGGUUUUUCUCUUCCGUUAUCGUGUAACCGGUAACAGCUUAAAGUGUACCAGUACACAAUGUAAUUUUCGGAAAAACUUUCUAAUCCGACUCCAAUUGAUUCUAAAGUCUAUGAAUAAGCUAUUGGGGUUCUCUAACAUAUCAAGCAUCACGAAAAUACAUGUCUGAGAAACCCUAGAGGCUCGGAUUUCAUCUAAAACCUAUUUUCUACAUAUUAGCUUCUUUUAGGUCAAAUCGAGAUAUUGGAAUUUCAUAUCUAUAUGUCGAUUUGAUCUUCGCUUUGCUUGGAGUUCUCUUCCCGAUUUUCAUCGAUACUCUAAGCGAAGGAUCACCAUACACAUGAUGUUCUUCAUGACGGCGACGUGGAUUCGGCGUGAUUGACGGCGGUUCGUGGAUUCGGAUCAUGAGCUUCGUGGAUUCGGAGUGGAGGCGUUUCGUGGAUUCGGAACAUGGCGUUCGUGGAUUCGAACGUGAGGGCGUCGACAACCCGGAGGAUUGCGCAAGAUUCAUAGGAGGUUAAGAGAGGUCGAGUCCGUGGAGUUGGUAAUCACCUUGUAAUCUUUUCUCUUAGUGAAUUAUUUUUUCGCGUGUUGGUCCCGUAGGUUUUUUACUCCAAGUUGGAAUUUUCCCACGUAAAUCUCGGUGUGAUUUUUAUUUUUCGUAUUUAUUUUUAUCGUAUUGAGAUUUGUGAUUUUUGGCUUUUACACCUAUUCACCCCCCCUCUAGGUGUUAGAUACAAUUUAGAUAGAUUCUUGGGCUCCUUUAAAACUUUCAAUUGGUAUCAGAGCAGGAUCUAGAUAGCUUGAUAUCUAAUGGCCGAAGGCGGUAACAUUAAUCGACCACCACUCUUCGAUGGCACGAAUUAUGCCUAUUGAAAAGUUUAUAUGAGAGCUUUUCUAAUCGCAAUCGAUGAGCGGGUGUGGAAAGCUAUUGAAUUCGGUUGGUAGCAUCCUACCGAAGUCGUUGAUAAUGCUACCAUUCCUAAACCACGGAACAAGUGACCGAAAGAUGAAAACGAGUCAUCUUCGUUUAACGGUAAAGGAAUUAAUACUUUAUUCAACGCUUUAUCGCAAAUGGAGUUUACUCGUGUUUCGGCAUGCGAAACGGUAAAGAAAAUUUGGGAUACUCUACAAGUUAUGCAUGAAGGAAAAAGCUUAGUAAAGGUUCAAAAAUUACAAAUGCUAACAAGCAAAUUUGACUCAAUUUUCAUGGAAGAAAACGAGACUUUUACCGAGUACUAUACUCGACUUCAAGACAUUGUUAAUACAUGCGCGAACUUGAGAGAGAAAAUCUCGGAUGCUAAAGUUGUUAGAAAGAUUCUUCGCACUCUUUCGAAAUGCUUUCGGGCAAAAGUUGCCGCGAUCGAAACUAUAAAGCAUCCAGACGAGAUGAAAGUCGAAGAGUUAGUAGGUGUGUUGCAAACUUAUGAGAUGACUUUUCCUACUAAUCAAUCUUCUUUCAAGUCUUUUUCUAAAAGCACGGGGGUUGCACUCAAAUCAACAAAGAAAGAAGAAGACAACUCGGAUUCCAACGAAGAUAUUUCGCUCGUCGAUUUCGAACAUCAAUUAGCGCUCCUAACGAAGAAGUUCCGACGGAAUUUUCGAAAGAGCAAAUCGAACAAACCUUCAUCUUCGAAGCUUACAUCCUCUUCUAAGCAUUCUUCUAAUUUAAAAUCUAACAAUAAAAAACUUGCAAAGUCUUCGAAUGAAAAAUAUGAGUUUGAAGGGGAAAUCCAAUGCUACAAAUGUAAAGGCUACGGUCACAUUGCAAUGGAUUGUCCUUCUAAGAAGACUUAUAGACAAAAGGCUUUGCAAGCAAAAACUUGGGAUGAUUCUACUUCGAGUGAAUCAUCUUCAAGUGACGAAGAAAAGAAUGAUCAUAUUGCUUUACUUGCUAAUAAUUCUUUGCCUUCGUCUAAUGUUAUGUGCUUAUCCUCAAUUGUUUCUAAUUCUAGUAUUUCUCCUUCCGUGCAAUGUACUUCGAGCGAUAUCGGUGAAAGCGAGGAGGAAUCAAACGACGAGGAUAUAGCGGAAGCAUACAAUGAACUUCUUAUUGAUUCGAAAAAGAUGACCAAGCUCAAUAAGAUGUUGAGGCGUCAUUUAUUGGACAUUGAAGAGGAGAACAAAAAUUUGAAGACCAUGAAUAGUGCUCUCGAGGAGGAAAGGGAAUCAAAUUUGAAAGAUCGUUCAAUCCUCCAAGAGAAGCUUGAUGAAGUGGAAUCAACGAUCAAAUCUUAUAAAGACAAGAUUGGAUUUUUGGAGCAACAAUUCGAGGAAUCGCACACUUCCAACAAGUCAUUGACCAAUCAAGUUCGUCAACUUCAAUCCGACAUACAAAAAUUCUCUACCGGUUCAAAGAAAUUAGAUCAUAUGCUCAAAUUGGGUCAAACGAGCAAGUUGGGUCUCGGAUAUGAAAGAACAUGUGUUGAGACGGUUUCAAAAUCAACUUCUAAAGUCUCAACAACUUCGAAAGAGAAGCUGUGUCAUAAAUGUGGCAUCAAAGGACACAUUAAAAAGAAUUGCUCAAAUAAGGAAAAGAAGAAUCAAUCGGCAAUGUCUAAACCUCAAUCGGCAUCAUCUACAACUCAACUUUCCCCACGGAAUCAAAAGAAAAAUCAAUUGAGUCGAGUACCUCGAGGGAAUCGGACUUCUAAGCCGCGACGUCAAGUUUGACCAUACCCACAAGCAAACCGGAGUUUAAAGGUUCAACCGAAGUUUCAAGCAACGAAUCAACCACCGGUUGAUCUAAUGUCAAAACAAGCCAUGCCGAACGUCAACAAGCCGAGACAACACAAAAUCCGACAAGUUUGGAUUCGGAAAGGUGAUAUCUUUUCUUACUCUUCAUCUUACUUUGUUUUUACUGUUAUGUAAUACUUUGAUUGGUGCUUGUUGCAUAUUUUUUAUUCAUUGCAUUACAUGAUGAUUUUCAUGUGUAAAAUUUGUUUUUAAAAUUGAUUUGAGGAAAGAUGUUUGGAAAUUUUAAAAUUUUUCUUUGAGAAAGGAGAUGAUUGAAAAUCUUUAUUUUGGGGAGAUUAAUUCAUCUUGGUUGUGAGUGUUGAAUAUGAUAGAUGGAUAUUCACUAAUCGACUAAAAUUUUGUCAAAAUUACUUUCAACUGUGUGAUUGUCUAAUUUAGGGGGAGUUUGAAAUUAUUUUUAAAAAAAAAAGAAAAAAGGAGAAAAGAUACUUCUAUGUUUAAAAGAUGUGAAAGAGUUACAUCCUAAAAGGAGUGUGAAAACUACCACCACAUGUAAGAAAGAGCUACCACCCCGGUCGUCCGGCAAGUGUGUGAAGCUACCACAUGGAGAUUAAUUGAAAAGCCGAAAAGGUUAGAAAAAAAAAAUUAAAUAUUUUAGAAUUUUCGGAGUUAUAAAGUAAUAGGAUGAAAAGAUGCUCAAAGAGCCACUCCCGGUGCCAUAUUAGUUAAAUUUCUAUUUUGAACGAGUUGCGACAAAUUGGUGUCAAUUCUGUUGAAUUUCUAAAAAUCAUUUUUCAUCAACUUACAUCUUGAUGGGUUUGAAACAUUAGGUUAUCUUGAUUUCAAAUUUUUGAUGUUUCGAUGUAUUUUGACCUCGUAUAAUAUUUUAUUGUCAUCAUAAUGAUUUUUGGAGUACAAUUUUUAAUUUUUAUAAAAUCAAUUUUAUUUUGACAGAUUUUUGAUAAAAAUAUUUAAAAUUUUCGAAAUCUGUGAAAGUGUACCGGUACAAAAAAACCUUGUACCGGUACAAAACACUGUAUACCGCGGUAUUAUAUCGGUUACAGCAUUCGUUUUUCCCCCAAACUCUUUCAAAAUCCCUCAUUUCUCUCACUAAAAAUCCCAGGUGGUCUUUCUCCUUCAGAUUCACGUAUUUCCCCCCUAGAUUUGUAAGUAUUUUGCUUAGAUUUGAAGAUCUUAUCCCGGUUUUGCUAUUUUUUCAAAAAAUUUCGAGUUGAAGCAUGAUCUGCAUUUUGAUUUGUUUUUGAUGUAAUUUUUUGCUGUGAAUCAGUAUUUGGACAUAUAAUCUUGCUUCUAGAACACUUAGAUCAAGUUAUAACGCUGUAUUUUUUGCUGAUCUAUGAUCUGUACCUCAAUAUACAUGAAAUUUCGAAAUUUUUGAUAAAAUGUCAUUUUUUAUUAAAGUUUUUGCAUGAUCUGGUUAGAAAUAGCGUUAGUAUGCAUUCUAAUAUUAUUAGAAUUUUUUUCGCUAUUUUUACAGAUUUUUUCAAGAUUUUGUUCAUGCAAGGUUGAUUUUUGUAUAGAAAAAAUGGCGUUUUCGUUCGUGUUGCUAAUUUUGGUGCUGAUGGCCGCUGGUCGUGGUCGUGGACGUGGCCGCGGGCGUCGAGCGACGUCCAAAAGGACUCGUACUGCAGGCGAGUCACCCGGGUCUUAUCCGGAUUACCAGGCAAGUUCGCUUGAGGAAGCUGAAGAACCUAUUGCUCGUCCUGACAAGGGCAAAGGCAUCGCUGGAGAAUCCUCGCGUGGAGGUGGUUCUCGUGCAAGAGAUACAUGAUCAAAGCAUGCCGCGGAUGUUCUACAGGAGCGGCGGCGGACGUUUUCGAGUAGGUCAUGUAUUGCUGACCGCUAUGUCAACUUCCAUGACCUAAUCCAAGAAGUUCCAAAUUUUGGUCGCUUACUACAGAGGGUCCCCAUUGAGCCAGUUGGACGUGUUCCAGCUCGAUCUCCUUUUUGUGUGGAACUCAUUCGGGAGUUCUACAUGAAUGGGAAGGUGUGUUCUGAGGAUGAAGAGACCGGGACUUAUCUUCUUAAGACAUAUGCACGUGGGGAGAGGGUUCUAGUCACUCCACACACGAUUGGAGAGUUGUUGGGCAUGCAUGUUGACACGACAGGACUUCAUCAUACUGCUGGGAUUUAUCAGUCUUCGUCUCACUGGGAGACAGUUGUUCGUGCGAUCUGCAAGGAUGGAGUACGAACAAAUCAUGCAUACGUGGAAUCCAAGGAUUUGCGUCCCGAGUAUCAUUUACUCUCCUUGGUGAUGAGCUACAAUGUUCAAUCUACAAUUGGAACAAAAAGGAUUCGGUGGGAUCGUCUGGUGCUUCUAUAUCUCCUUGGAUAUCCUGAGCAAGCGGACGGGUUAAACAUCAAUAUUCCCUUUCUGAUGUGGCAAAGAAUGACACAUGUUAUACAAUCUCCAGUUUGACGUGAUUUACUUCCGUUUCCAUUGUUGAUCAUGAGGAUUCUGCAAGAAUACGGAGUUGACGUGUCGUGUGAGAAGUACGACACUGGACUUGGACCGAUUGAUGCUGUAACUUGGGCCAAGUCAGUCAGCACUCUGAGGACGUUUCAGCAAACAAAAGGAUCGUCACGUGCAGCUUCCAAUUCCGCACCUCCACCUCGAGCAGAGCGUGAGGGAUAUUCUAGUUCAGGGGGAGUGAUUACUGUAGAAUCACUUCACCAUGAGGUGCACUCUUUAAAGAAGAAAGUGACAGAUCUUGCUAAAAAGGUGGAGGUGGGAAUGAAGAGAAUUAUGGAAAAACUAGGGUGUAGGCAUGAUGAUAUAUUUUCUACUCAGCCUACGUACACCACUUACACGAGGUCUACGUCGAGACACCCACUCAUUCCACCAUCCAGUGGUGCUCCUGAGGCUGGGGGAUCUGGAGCUGGAGCAGGAGACGAUGAUGAUGAUGAUGAUGAUGACGAGGACACUGAGUGACUUCUUCCUCGAGCUCUGUUUUUCUACUUUGCUUUUUAGGACGAUGUUUAGUUAGUUGUACUGGUUGUUUUACUUUGUUUUUGCAUUUAUUGUCUUUAGGCUUGUAACUAUGACAUGACUACUCUUAUGCUUUUUAGUAUGCUUUUUCUAUUUAUUUGCUUUAUCUUUGGCAAUUUUUGACAAAAAAGGGGAGAGCAAUGAUGAACAAGUAUUGAUCGUAGCAAAGGAGAAGAUGGAAUAAAGAACAAAGGAGAAGAAGGUAUAAAGAACAAAAGGGGAGAAUGAGUGAAAUUUCGAGGAGAAGAAGCAAUGAAAAUUUGAGAACAAUGAAUGUAAGAAUGUCCAAUGGUCCCAACUUUCUAUAUCAUUUUGGAUAAGUUGUUUUGCAGGAAAUCAAGACUUCAAGACUCCUAGUUGCGUCUAAGUCAUAGAGUCUGUUUUAGGAGUUUUUGAUGUACUUUUGAGUUUAGUUUUUGAUGUACUUUUGAGUUUCAAAUUGUAUUUGGAUCACAUGCGAGGAGUUCGAUGUUUUGGUGAUGAUAUUGAACUUCAUUUUUCUUUAAGAUGUAAUUUUUGAGUUGUUAUGAGUUUUGUCAUGAAAUUGCCAAGGGGGAGAUUGUUAAGUCUUUUGUGUUGGCAAGUUUUAUGAAGUGAGUCGGAGUCUUGAAGGAUCGGUGCGUAUUGUCGAAGAUCAAAGAAUCCAAGAUUUCAAAGAUAGCGGAAUUAGAAGAAAGCGGAAUUAACUCACUAUGUGAAUCACGAUGCCCAGGUAUGCUUUUAAUUCAUGUUAUGGUGAUUUAUGCUUAGUUGUAGGCAUUAGAAUCAUAAUACCAAAGUUUACUGGAUUAGAAAGUACAUUGGUACUUUGCAAAACCCGAAAUCGUAAAAAAAUUGGGCCUUUGCAAAGUGUACCGGUACAGCAUAAGAAGUGUACCGGUACACAUUCUGUUCCGGUACAGCAAGCAACUUUGUCACCGGUUACAGCAUUACGCAGGUUUUUCUCUUUCGUCAUCGUGUAACCGGUAACAGCUUAAAGUGUACCGGUACACAAUGUAAUUUUUGAAAAAAACUUUCUAAUCCGACUCCAAUUGAUUCUAAAGUCUAUAAAUAAGUUAUUGGGGUUCUCUAACAGAUCAAGCAUCACGAAAAUACAUGUCUGAGAAACCCUAGAGGCUCGGAUUUCAUCUAAAACCUAUUUUCUACAUAUUUGCCUCUUUUAGGUCAAAUCGAGAUAUUGGAAAUUCAUAUCUAUAUGUGGAUUUGAUCUUCGCUUCGCUUGGAGUUCUCUUCCUGGUUUUCAUCGAUACUCUAAGUGAAGGAUCACCAUACACAUGAUGUUCUUCAUGACGGCGACGUGGAUUCGACGUGAUUGACGGCGGUUCGUGAGUUUGGAUCGUGAGCUUUGUGGAUUCGGAGUGGAGGUGUUUCGUGGAUUCGAAACGUGGCGUUCGUGGAUUCGAACGUGAGGGUAUGGACAACCCGGAGGAUUGCGCGAGAUUCAUAGGAGGUUAAGAGAGGUCGAGUCCGUGGAGUCGGUAAUCACCUUGUAAUCUUUUCUCUUAGUGAAUUAUUUUUUCGCGUGUUGGUCCCGCGGGUUUUUUACUCCAAGUUGGAGUUUUCCCACGUAAAUCUCGGUGUGAUUUUUAUUUUCCGCAUUUAUUUUUAUCGCAUUGAAAUUUGUGGUUUUUGGCUUUUACACCUAUUCACCCCCUCUAGGUGUUAGAUACAAUCUAGAUAGAUCCUUGGGCUCCUUUAAAACUUUCAAAUUCGAUCGUAGAUUCGCGACGAAAUCCAUCCUUUCAGUCUCCACAAAAACACUAUAUAUAUAUAUAUCAAAUUUAAAUUUAUUUUCAAAUUCAAAUUUGAAUUCUCAUAUUUUAAAAGUCUCAGAUAUUACAAUUGUACUAAAAUGCAAAUUACAGAAAGUAGUAGAUUAAAGUGUAAAGAGUAAUAAAAUGGUUUGUAGACCAAGUGGGCCUCAAUCUGUUGAGUAGUUGGGCUCAUGGGCUGGGCUUUGAGGCUUUCCUAGUUGCCUGAUGCCUAGCGGGGCAGGUCCGCUUCUCUGACCACCCGAUCCACUAAGUAUCUCUAGAUACCUCUUUGCCCACUUCAUAGAUCCUGUGACCUGUCAGUCCUCUCCAUCCUCUCGAGCAACUCCCAACUCGCCAUGAAUGGAGCUGAGAUCCCAUUCUUGCUAUUUUAUUCACUCUACCUACUAGUAAUCUACUUACUAAACCUGUGCUAUCUUUUCUCUCAUUCUUAGGUUAUUACAUACUCCUAUAUAUAGGGAAUAAAAAGAAGCCCAAACCAAAUAAGUUUCGAGUAAGAAUGGUGGAAUGUAUAGGAGGUGAUUAUGUAAUCUAAGAGAAAGUGGUCAAAGCACUUCUUGUAUGGCAACAACUGUUUGAUAAUUACAUGGCCUAAAUACAAGAAUAAUCUUAUAAAGAGAAGAAGAUUGCCAUGAUAGUGGUCUUAUUUCGAAUACAAAAUCACUAUUUUUAACUUUAUCCUUUCAUAUUUUCAGCUAAGUUUAUUUAUAAAAAAAAAAUAGCAAAAUGAAUAUCAAUGCUGCUGUUCUAUUUGAUGCCAUGUGGUUCGAACUCUUGUGUUAUAUCUCCAUUCGGCUUGAUAUAUAUUCCUCUCAAAAUAUUAAUGAAUUAAUACUUAUACCUUUUUUGUUAUAUCUCUAGUCGGCUUGAUAUGCAUUCCUCUCAAAAACUCAAUCGUGAUAUAUGUGAAAAAAUUCCUUUUUUUUUUUUUGUAAUAUCUCUCUUCGGCUAAAAAAUCAAUCGUGAUAUAUGCGAAAAGAUAUUCCUUCUUUCUUGUUAUAUCUCUAUUCGGCUAAAAAAUCAAUCGUGAUAUAUGAAAAGCUUCCUCUAGAAAAACCACCGAUAUUUUCGGGUUUUCUAUGAAAGGAGACGAGGCUUCUGUAGGAUCUAGAAGCAUAUCUAAGAAUAUACAAGUAAAUCCGAUUCAAUUCUGGUUUAUGGAUAUGUUGGCUAUUCAUUUUGUAAAUUUUUUCUACCCUAUUAUUCCGACCCUAUCAGAAAUAACAAAUUAAAAUGCUUAGUUUAAUUUAGAGCCCUAAAUGUCAAACGAAUGUAACUUUCUCAGGUUAGUAGUACCAGUUUCGCCGUACUAGAUAUUAUUGUACUGGGGAUUGAGAUGUUGGAUUCAAUUGUUAGCCCCCAGAAGAGUCGAAAUUAAGAGUUACGUAUAUACAGGAUAAGAGAGCGAAGAGAAGGUCGUUGUUGAGUUCCAAAAUCCACGACGAGGUUCACUUCCUCUUCUUCUUUUCUCGCUCUUCUCUUUCUCUAAGUUCUUAAAAAAAGAAAAUUAUUUUGGGCUGGGCCUAAAAGUACCUGAAUCCAAUUCACUUUGGUUUUUGACUUGGUCGACAUCAGUGAACUAAUCUGAGGUAAGCUAGACAAGAUUUACACCUACAUUAUUAGGUUGGAAUUUUCAUCUCCAAUUAUGCAAAUGUGACGUAGAAUUUUAGUCGUCCCAGCUGCACUCUUAACAACGCAGAGGUCCGUGCUUCAGAGUUAUUGCAGAGGUUGGAACUUCAUAAAAAGACAAGAAUAAUUACGUCUAUCCGGCACUCGAAGAAAUUUUAGUAGAAUAUGUCAUAUAUUUCAUCCUUGUGAAUGAUGGAUCAAGUUGUUAUUUUCGUACAUUUAUUAUGAUUCUUAUGAUGAUUAUUAAUUGUUAUACGCAUCAUUGAGCACGUUGUUUUGAUAUCCAGCUAGGAUUAUAUAUACUUCCAAGUUUAGGGUCCUUGUCCUUUUUGGGGAGUAAUGCGUCUCCAUUAAUUAUCGGUUUCCAAAUUGAAUAGUUCGAUGCAGCUUUUGAGCCUGGCCGUUUGGUUGCGUAUAGUUGUAAUUGUACAACAGUAAUAACUAUAUGUAUGUACUUAACUCUAAUUGCUUCAGGAGGAGGGUCAACUGCAGCAUUUGAAACUAUGUCUAAAUUGGCCGCAGUUUUAACUGUAGCAGAUGGAAAAAAUAAUUUUUAACAAAAAAACUCAAUUAUCUUUUUUUUUUUUAUAUUUGAGAUAACCUCACAAUCAUAUAUAUAUAUAUAACUAUUAUAUAUAUAUAUAUAUAUAUUAUAUAUAUGAUAUAUAUUUAUGAGUACGAAUCGCUUUCGUACUCAUAAGUUGUUGUUCGCAUGAUAGAACUUGUCGAAUCCGCACGAUCCAUACUGUUAAAAUUAUCUAGAGAAUUUAAAAAACUUUCGAGAAUCAAUUUAUAAUUUUCAAUAUCAUUUAACUCUAAGAUCAAAAGCUCACAAAAUGACAAUUUUAACGGCCGGGUAUUGCAGUAUUUGCUAGUUAUAAACAGUGAAAAAGAAUCCAGAAAUAGGUUGAAUUUGUGAUAGAAGAAUCUAGUCGACUACGUAAAUAUAAGAUCAAUAACUGGCGAUCUUAAAUUGAGGAUCGAGUCGAUCCAUUUUAAGAUGUCAUUCGAUUUUAAACAUAUUCAUUUAUAUACCCGCUUGAUGGACUUUUAUAAUGAUUUUAAAAAAUUCACGAAAUUUAUUCUAGAGUUUCAAAAUACUCUACAUCAUUUUUACGGGGGGAUCUCGAUUCGAAAAGCCCGAACAUCUCAAAAACAACUUAUGAGUAUGAAGAGCCCUCGAUACUCAUAGAGAUAUAGUUAGCCUCUCAUAUAUAUUAUAAGAUAUAAUAUAUAUAUAUAUAAUAUAUAUAUAUAUAUAUAUAAUAAAAAUUUUAAAAAUCAUUUAUCAACUGUAUACACCAAACAAAUGUUAUAGUUGCAAGCAUCUACUACACUGGUUUACCUUUACCAUCCUAACCACAAUGAUUUCAUAUAGUUACAACAAUGAUUUCCAACUGUAUUGUAUUUGUAAUUAUGUUAACCAAACGGGCCCUUAAUGCCAAACUCGUUUUCUCUUUUCACGUUCUAAAUAAAUCGAGAAUUAAUUUUUUGUUUGGGUAAAUUGCUAUUUGGUCUUUAAACAUAAGGUGGGUACACUUUUAUCUGCAAAUUAUUUGUUAUAACUUCUUGCAUUCAAACUUUCAGAAUGAGUUACAUCAAAUUAUGAUAAUUUUAUUAAUGACUAAAUCUUAAUAGAUUAUAAUUGUAUAUGAUGUUAUAUAUAUAUUAUUGAUUAUUAAUGGAUGUGCGCAUUUCAAUUAGGUUGGAUAAAUAACUCAAAUAUCGAUAGUUCAGAUAAUUCUCUCAAUUUUCAUGAAAAAUAAUACCUUCCAGUAAAUAAUGUUUUUAAACAUAUUAUGAAAAAUACUCCUAGGGUUUGGUUUGAUAGAAAUUAUAGUUUAAGUUUUUUUAUUCGGCUGCUUGAUAUGCUUGAAUGAUUUUUUUUUUUUUUUUUUUUUGUCCUCUGGAAAACAACUUAAUUUACCAACUAUUUUUGUACGCACUGUAGUGUUACCGUGUAAAGCUGGAUAAGGUAGGUUGUGGCCAAACAUCACCUUAUCAAUUAGGACCAUAACAAAUGAUUAGUGUUGACAAAAUAAGGAAACGCCAAGUACAUACAUUUUUUAAUAUCAACAUAUAUUGAAUAGGAGAAUCUCAUUGAUCUUAUAUUUUUAUUAAGGGUGGUUAAAAACUGGUUCAGGAAUGUAUCAUAUCUUUCUCUUCUUCACAUUAAACCGCCUAAUCAAGUGUGGGAACGCGAAUCUAUGAUUGGAGAACACAACAAUUGAAUUGCCAACUAUGAAAUAAGUGUAGCAAUCCCACCUACUAACAAUAAUUAUUUUUUAAAAAAUUUUUAUCACUAUUUUUUAUGAAAUUUUAUUUUUAACCGUUCAUUUUGAUCUUGUUCCAUUGUGUCCAAAGCAUUUUAAAAGCGUUCAGUAGUAAUUUAUUCAAUAUAAUUUUUUUAUAUAAUUAGAAAAUAAAUUUUUUUUUUAAUGUAAUUAGAAGGUAGGAGUUUGAUUUUUGCUAUUUCUAAAGGUCUUCAAAUUUAUGAUUUGGAUUGCAUAUUUUACUUAAUAGAUGAAUUUAUUUUAUUCUGAAAAAAAAAUAAUAAUGCAGAAUAUGGUUUCACUUCUAAAUAUUUGAUAACCCUCUUCAUCUACCAUGCAAAUACCACCUACUUUUUGAAUAAAUUAAAGAGAUGUCAAAUAACAUAUUUAUGCACCCAAAAACUAAUUCUAAUUAUUUAUGUAAUAUUAGAAGAAGUAUGUAUAGAGGUUUGUCGUGUGUACCGCAGAUAUUUUAUCUCAUUGAAAAAGGAAUCAGGUGGAACUCCUGAACCCUAAUUGGUGUUUCAGUGCUUCGAUUGGUCACAUAAAUAAUUAAACAAAAAAUUUAAUGUUUAUAUAUACAUAGAUUCAAACCACCAGUCAACCAAGAUAUCAAUCGGCGUUACUUAUUAAAUUAACUUAACGACAUAACAAGCGUAGUUACAUAACAAACAAUAGUCAACAAGAAAAUGGUUUUGCCACCUCCCUUGUUUUAUAUUUAUAUAUAGAGAGAGAGAAAGAGUUGGGCUGCUAUACUAUCGGUAACACGAAAGUUUUCGUGUUAUCAAGUUGUUUUCAACGAUACGACUUCCAAAUCAAUUAUUUGUUCCAUUAGACUUAAUCAUUUAUCAAGCGAUCGAAAGGGUUCAAAAUCAACGGUUGAAAAUAAAAAUCUCACAAAAAUUGGUGAUAUAGCAUUAAAAUUUUCGAUCUGAGACAUUGAUCUUGCUGCAAAUAGUAUAAAAAAUUUUCUAUCAAAAUUUCAUAUGAUUUAAAUACUUCUACACCGUUAAACUUGCAAACGAUAUACAUCAGCCAUUAAAAAUUGUUGAUUUUAAACCUUUUCGAUCACUAGGUAAAUGAUAUCGAAAAAUCGCAAAAUUUAUUUUCUAGAUACUUCAAAUAUGCUAGAUCAAGUCUAACGGAGCCGAUCGUCGAUUUGAAAACUGUAUCAUCGAAAACGGCUUAGGAGCACGGAGGCCUCCGUGCUCCUAAUAGCACACAAGACCUACUCUCUCUCUCUCUCUCUCUCUCUCUCUCUCUCUCUCUCUCUAUAUAUAUAUAUAUAGAGAGAGAGAGAGAGAGAGAGCAGGGCUGCUGUGCUCUCAGGAGCACGGAGGCCUCCGUGCUCCUGAGCCGUUUUCGAUGAUGGAAUUUUCGAAUCGACGAUCGGCUCCGUUAGACUUGAUCUAGCGCAUUUGAAGUUUCUAGAAAAUAAAUUUUGCGAUUUUUCGAUAUCAUUUAUCUAGUGAUCGAAAAGGUUUAAAAUCAAUAAUUUUUAAUGGCUGAUGUAUAUCGUUUGCAAGUUUAACAGUGUAGAAAUUUUUAAAUCAUAUGAAAUUUUGAUAGAAAAUAUUUUAUAUUAUAUAAAACAAGAUCAAUAACUUUGAUCUAAAAUUUUAAUGUCAUAUCAUCAUAUUUUGUAAGAUUUUUAUUUUCACAUUGAUUUUGAGCCCCUUCGAUCACUAGGCAAAUGAUAUCGAAAAAUCGCAAAAUUUAUUUUCUAGGUGCUUCAAAUACUCUAGAUCAAGUCUAACGGAGCCGAUCGUCGAUUCGAAAGUCCCAACAUCGAAAACAAAUUGGAGGCACGGAGGCCUCCGUGCUUCCAUAAGCAUACUAGCCGCACUAGUGUAGUCAACAAUUUUUAAUCAACAAUUUUUAAUGGCUGAUGUAUAUCGUUUGCAAGUUUAACAGUGUAGAAGUAUUCAAAUCAUAUGAAAUUUUGAUAGAAAAUUUUUUAUACUAUUUACAGCAAGAUCAAAGUCUCUGAUCGAAAAUAUUAAUGCUAUAUCACCACUUUUUGUAAGAUUUUUAUUUUCAACCGUUGGUUUUGAACUAUAUAUACACACACACAGAUGUUAUGGAACAAAUAUGAGAGCAUGGCUAAAGAUUAGGAACUGAUGAUGAAACUAGCCCUCCAAGAUAAGGAUCUCAUUAUAACCAAAAAAAAUAUAAAAAAAAAGGACAAAAUAAAAAAUAAAAAAAACUGACAAAGGUUGGUGAUUAAUAGUGCAAUUAAACAAAAAAAUAUAUAUAUAAAAAAACUUAUCUUGCACAUAUAGUUUCCACAGGUAAUUAAGAUGUCUCUAUCUUGUGCCUAACCUGUAUAUUACUAGCCCCACUUUAAUUGCUGUACCCUCAAGUUACGUAAAAGAUCUAGAUGUACAAGAAAUAGUUAUCAUCUGAAUUUGAAUAUAAAAAAAAUAAAAAAAACGGUUGCGACACCUAAUGGGACUUAAUAAUUCUAAUUUCGUUACUUAAAUUAAUAAUAUCAUAUGUCCGUUUUACUGUGCUCUUUUAGAAUUAAUAGAAUUUUCAAAACUUCCUAAUAAAAUAUAUAAUAAAAAAUUAUAUAACUUGGAAUAAUAUUUUGUAAUUAAUUAGUGAUAUUAAUUAACUUAUAAGAAAAUUUGUGAUAAAUUUUGAGAAAAUUAACAUAAAUUAAAAAAUAAAUGGUUAUAUAUAUAUAUAUAUAUAUAUAUAAAAUAAUAAAAUUUUAAAAAUUAUUUCUCAAUUGUAUAAAACCAAACAAAUUAUUUAUAGUUGCAACGCUUUCUACUACAUCCAACCAAACAUGAUUCAUAUAGUUACAACAAUAUUUCCAACUGUAUUGUAUUUGUAAUUAUAUUUAACCAAACGGGCCCUUAAUGCAACUCGUUUCUCUUUUCAGUCUUCUAAAUAAAUGGAGAAUAUUUUUUUUUGGGUAAAUUGCAUAUUUGGUCUUUAAACUAUAAGGUGGGUAACACUUUUAUCUGCAAACUUUCAUUUGUUAUAACUUCUGAUUCAAACUUUCAGAAUAGUUACAUCAAAUUAUAUAAUUCAAUUUAAUUGACUAAAUAUUAAUACAUUAUUAAUAUAGAAAUGAUGUUGUAAUAUUACGAUAAUGAUGUGCGAAUUUCAAUAGGUUGGAUAAAUAACUCAAAAUUAUCGAUAGUUCAGAUAAAUUCUCUCAAUUUUCAUGAAAAUAAUACCUUCCAGUAAAUUAUGUUUUAAACAUAUUAGAAAAAUCACCUACUUUGGUUUUGAUAGAAAUUAUGUUUAAGUUUUUUUUAUUCGCUGCUUGAUAUGCUUGAGUUUUUUUUUUUUUUUUUUUUUUUUUUUUAUAAACAUGUAAACAUUGCCUUGCUGUAAUUAUGUAUCAUACUUGAUUUUGAAUUUUCCAAAUUAAGUGAUAUGUGGUUAACGUACUCUUUAUUGUUAUCAUCAAUGCUCCAUUUGAGUAUACUUCACUUGGGUGUGUCACAUACUAUUUCUGUAAUGAUAUCACUGCUAUUCAAAAUUUUCCAUUUANNNNNNNNNNNNNNNNNNNNNNNNNAAGAGAGAGAGAGAGGAGAAGUCUAUGUGUGCUAUUAGGAGCACGAGGCCUCCGUGCCUCCUAAGCCGUUUUUUCGAUGAUGGAGCUUCCGAAUCGACGAUCGGUUCAUUAGAUUUAAUCUAGCCGUAUUUGAUAGAUCUAAGAAAAUAAUUUUAUGAAGAUUUUCGAUAAUCAUUUAAUCAAGCGAUCUAAAAAGGUUCAAAAUACAGUUGAUAAAUAAAAAUCUCACAAAAGUGAUGAUAUAUGCAUUAAAAUUUUCGAUCAAGACAUGAUCCUUGCUGUAAUAAUAGUAUAAAAAUUUCUUAUCGAAAGUUCAUAUAGAUUCAAAUACUUCUACAUUCGUUAAACUUGCAAACGAACUACAUCAGCACAUUGAAAAUUGUUGAUUUUAAACACUUUCGAUCACUAGGUAAAAAUAUCGGAAAAUCGCAAAAUUUAUUUUUGUCACGAUACCUCAAAUAAGCUAGAUCAAGUAACGACGCCGAUACGCGAUAUCGAAAAACUGUUCAUCGAAAACGGGUUAGGAGCCACGAUAGCCAUCCGUGUCUCCUAAAGCCGUUUCAAUGAUGGAGCUUUUGAAUCGACGAUCGCUUCCGUUAGACUGAUCGCGCUAACAUAUUUGAAUAUUCUAGAAUAUAGUUUUUUGCGAUUUCGAUAUCAUUUAUCUAGCGAUCGACAAGGGUUCAAAUCACGUUGAAAAAAAAAUCUCACAAAAAGUGGUGAUAUAGCAUUUAAAUUUUCUGGAUCAAGAGACAUUGUAUUGCUGUAAUAGAACUAAAUGAAAAAAUUUUUCUAUCAAAAUUCACUAUGAUUUGAAUACUUCUAAUACACGAUAAACUUAACAAACCAUAUAACAAUUAGCCAUUAAAAUUGUUAGAUUUUAAACCCUUUCGACUCGCAUAGAUAAAUGAUAUCGAAAAAAGUCGCAAAAAAUAUUUCUAGAUACUUCAAUAAGCUAGAAUCAAUCUAACGAACCGAUCUCGAUUGCGGAAGCUCCAUCAUCGAAAACGACUUAAGCAACGGAGCCUCCCGGCUCCUAAUAGCACCACAAGAUCUACUUCCGAAUCGACGAUACGUUACGUUAAGACUGAUCUUAGCCGUAUUUAAUAAUCUAGAAAAUAUUUUUGCGAUUUUUCGAUAAUCAUUUAGCCAGCGAUCGAAAGAGUUUAAAUGCAAAACAAUUUUUUAAUAGGUGAUGUAUAUCCGUUUGCAAGUUUAACGGUGUAGAAGUAUAUUCAAAUCAUAUAAUUUAUAGAAAAUUUUAUUAUUACUUUCUACACAAGAAAUCAAUAAUCUCUGAUCGAAAUUUUAAAUGCUAUAUUACGACUUUUUUGUGAGAUUUAUUUAUUUUCAACCUUGUUUUGAACUAUAUAUACACAGUGCAGCCACAGAUGUUAUGGACAACAAUAUGAAGAGCAUGCACUAAAUGGUUAGGAACUGGAUGAGAAACUAGCCCGCCAAGAAUAAGGAUCUCAUAUAACAAAAAAAAUAUAAAUAAAAGAGGACGAAAAUAAAAUUAAAAAAAACUGGACAAAGGUUGUGAUAAUAUGCAAUUAAACAAACAAAUAUAUAUAAAUAAAUAAAAAAUUAUCUUGCACAUAUAGUUAUCCACAGGUAAUUAAGAAUGUCUCUAUCUUUGCCUAACGCAGUAUAUACUAACCUCGCACUUUAAUGCCUGUACCCUCAAUUUACGUAAAAGAUCUAAGUAUGUACAAGAAAUAGUUUAAUCAUCUGCAAUUGAAUAUUAAACAAAAAAAAAAAAAUGUUGCGAUCACCUAAUGGAACUUAAUAUUCUAUUUCGUUACUUAAAUUAAUAAUACAUCAUAUGUCCGUUUUACAUGUUGCUCUUUUAGAUAUUAAUAGAAUUUUCAAACUGUCCUAAUAAUUAAUAUAUAAUAAAAAAUUAUAUAACCUGGAAUAAUUUUUGUAAAUAAUUAGUGAUAUUAAUAACUAUAAGAAAAUCUUUGUGAAUAAAUUUUGAGAAAAUUAACCAAAAUUAAAAAUAAAAUUGGUUAAAUAUUAUUCGUUAUUAUAUAUAUAUACUAUAUAUAUAUAUAUAUAUAUAUAUAUAUAUAUAUAUAUUAUAUAUAGAGUGAGCUAUAUGCUAUCUGAAGCACGGAGCCUUCGUGCUUCCAGCCUUUUCGAUGUUGGCAGACUUUCGAAUCGUCGAUCGUUACCGUUUAAACUUGAUCUAGAGUAUGUGAGUACCUAGAAAUAAAAUUUUUAUUAUUUUUCGAUAUCAUUUUGCCUGUGAAGCGAAUGGCUGCAAAAUCAAUAUGUCAAUGCCGUAGUGACCGUGUUUGGCAAAGUUACGGUGUAAGAAAUAAUCUAAAUCACGUAAAAUUGAUAGAAAAUUCUUAUACUAAUAUAAAACAAAUGCAAUAUCUUUGAUUUAAAAUUUUAAUGUCAUAAGAUUUAUUUUUUAAACAUUUUUUUUUUAUAAUUUUUUAUUUUCAGGCCGUUAAUUUAUGAGCCCCUUCGUUCACAUAGGCAAUGAUAUCGUAAGAAUCAAUAAAAUUUAAUUUCUUAGUACUCCAAAUACUCAAGACUCAAGUUUAAACGGAGCCGAUCGGCGAUUCGAAAGUCGCAACAUCGAAAACGAGAUGGAAUGAACGGAAGGCCCGUGCUUCUAUAGACAUAGUAGCCUCCCUUCUCCAUCUCUUCUAUAUAUUAUAUAAUAUAUAAGUGGCUAGAAUACUUUUAACAAGUAUCACUCAAUGAUAUUAUUUUUUAAAUUUAUGAUUAUAAAAGUUUGGAUCAAACACUUAUUAAAACUCACCUACCAAAAAAAUCACCACUACCACACCAAUCAUCAUCAACCUCACAAUCUCUAGCCAUCCAAGCAAGAAAAACACACAAUAUAAACCCAAGGAUACUUUAUACCAAGUAUUACAUAAACUCUUAGCCUAAUAUAUAGUACUGAUCUUUGUGCUGAAGAGAGUCCCGUCUUCUACUUUGUUUUUGAUGUUCGCAAAAAACUUUAUCGACGAUCGCUCCGUUUAGAGUAUAUUUAAGAGUAUUGAAAGUACGCUAGAAAAUAAAUUUUGCGAUUUUUCGAUAUCAUUGGAAAAUAUAAAUAAUUUACGCCCGUGGUGAGACGAAACGUGCAAAAACGGUAAAAAAAUAUCUAAUCAAAUACACUCCUAUUGAAACUCUAUACCAUAAAAAACAGAUCAAAGUAAUUUCGAUCUAAGAAAUUAAUAGCAUAUCAUGCAUACUUUGUAAGUUUUUAUUUUUAGCGUUAAUUUAUAGAAGGCAUAAAAAAUCGAAAAAUCAAAAAAAAAUAAUAUUAAAAUAAAUCAAUGUCUAACGGAACCGAAACGUACGAUUCGAAAAUCCGAACAUGAAACAAAGGAAUUCACCCCCAACGCAGAGCCGCUCAGUGCUUCCAAUAAGCAUCCAUAGCUGGCACUCAUAAAAUUAUAUAUAUAUAGUAUAUAUAAGAGAGAAAGGGAGAAAGAGAGAGAGAGAGAGAGAGAGAGUAGGUCGGAGGCCUCCAUGCUCCUAAACAGUUUUUGAUGAUGGAAUUUAUGAAUCGACGAUCGGCUCCGUUAGACUUGAUCCAGCGUAUUUGAAAUAUUUAGAAACUGAUUUUUGCAGUUUUUCGAUAUUAUUUACUUAGCAAUCAAAAGGAUUUAAUAUUAACGACUGAAAAUUAAAAUCCUAUAAAAAGUGGUGAUAUUGCACUAAAAUUUUUCAAUCAGAGAUAUUGAUCCUAUUGUUGAUAGUGUAAAAAAUUUUGUAUCAAAAUUUUAUUUGAUUUGAAUAUAUUUACGCUGUUAAACUUGAGAACGCCAGACAUCAACCAUUAAAAUUUAUUGAUUUUGAACCUUUUCGAUCAGUAAGUAAAUAAUAUCAAAAAAUCGUAAAAAUUAUUUUGUAAAAACUUCAAAUACGUUAGAUCAGCUCUAAUGGAGCGGAUCGUCGAUUCGGAAAUUCCGUAAUCGAAAAUUGUUCAGGAGCACGGAGGCUUAAUUCAUAAUUAGUAACCUAAGCUGGAUCAAAUUUUAAUCACAACUUGGAUUGACAUAAAUUUUGUAUCCCAAAAUUAUCGUCAUACAGAAAAAAAAAAAAAAAGCUCACCAACUCAACAGAAUUUUGAUUUUUUAUUCAUUUAAAUUAAUUAAAUAAAAGUCAAAUAAUACAUGAUCGCACAUGUCAACUUCACAAGAAGUACAUGAUCCUGCAUGACAUUCACAAUUUAAGACAAGGACACAAACAUUUAUUUGAUAUCGAGGAAGCGGGGAAAUCAAAUUGCUUAUUUUAUAUAUAUAUAUAUAAUAUAUAUAUAUAAAGUAUAUAUAUAUAUCUAUGAGUGAGGCUACUAUGCUAUGUACACGGAAGGCAUAUAUAUUAAUAUAUAUAUAUUAAAUAUAUAUAUAUACUAUAUACUAUAUAUUAAUAAUAUAGUGAGCUACUAUGCUAUCGAAAGUACGGGAGCCUUCCUGCUUCAAGUUCGUUUUUCAGAUGUUGCGACCUCGAAUCGUCAGAUCGGCUCCAUUAAAACUGAUCUGAAUUUGAAGUACUAGAAAAUUACAAUUUUAUAUUUUACGAUCAUUCAUUUCUAGUGAACGAAGAAGGCUUCAAAAUCAACCGUUGAAAAUAAAAAUCUAUGAAAUUGUAAUAAUAUGGAAAUUAAAAAUUUAAACAUAAGAUAAUCUGAUUAUUGUUGUAUAUAUGUAAAUAAGAAAUUUUUCUAUUCAAAAUUCCCGGUGAUUUGAAUUUCUAAAACUGUAAAACUUGCAAAGGCCAAAGCACUUCCUACGCCAUGUGAACAUUGUGUUGAUUUGAGGCAUUCGACACUAGUCAAAUGAAUCUUAAAAAUUAAUAAAAUUUUUUUUCUAGUACCCCAAAAUAUUGCUCUAGAUCACUUUAACGGAGCCGAUAACCAAUUCGAGAGCUCGGCAACAUCGAAAACGAGUAGAAGCUACGGAAGACUCCACGUGCUUCCGAUAGAUAGUACCCUCCACUAUAUAUACUAUUAUAUCUAUAAUAAUAUAUAGUCAUAUAUAUAUUAUAAUAUAUUAUAUAUAGUAAUAUAUAUAUAAUAUAAUAUAUAUUAUAUAUACUCCAAAUCGGACUGUUAUUAAUAAAUUAGUCUAAAUAAAGUUCUUUUUCUUUUUUUUUCUUUGGUCAAUUUGCAUAAAAAAUCCACUAUUUUGGGUUUUGUAAAAUCGGCCACAUUUAGUUUUUUGUAGAUUUUCGUCCGCCUUUUUAGUAACUGACCGUAAAUACCCCUAUUUAUUUUCUCUUCCUCGCGCUCUUCUCUCUCUCUUUCGUUUUCUCGUCUUUUUUUCUCCUUGCGAAAAAAAACGGAAGAAAGCUAAGCGGAAACAGUCCGCACUCGCCUCACCUCUAUGCUCUCGCCCUUCGCUCUGCCGCCCAUCNNNNNNNNNNNNNNNNNNNNNNNNNCAUGGAGGAGAAGUAGGCGAAUGGCUCCCCAUGUUAAGCAGUUUUGAUGGAUUAAUGAUUAUCGGGAACGGAUCGGUCCGUUAGACUUGAAGUACGGCGUAUCUUGAACAUGCAUUUAUAGAAACUGAUUUUCUGCAGUUUUUCGAUAUUAUCUUACUGGCAAUUCAAAGGACUUUAAAUAUUUAACGGGCUGAUUAAAAAUCCUAAAAAGUGGUGUACUUUACUAAAAUUUAAGUCAACCAGAGUAUGAUCUAAUUGUGAUAGUGUAAAAAAUUUUGGUAUUAAAAUUUCAUAUUGAUUUGAUAAUUUACGCUGUUUAAAACUAGAAAACGCCAAGACAUCAAAACCAUUAAUUUAUCUGAUUUUGAACUUUUAGAUCAAUAAGUAAUAUAUCAAUAAAGAAAAGAUUUUGUACUUCAAUACGUUAGAUCAGCUCUACGAGGGAUCGACGAUUCGGGAAACUUACGUAUCGAAAAAUGGUCGAGGAGCACGGAGCUUAAUUCAUAAUUAGUAACCUAUAGCUGUUAUCAAAUUUUAAUAUCAACUUGGAUUGACAUUAAAUUUUGGUAUUUCCAAAAUUAUCGUCAUACAGAAAAAAAAAGUUCACCAAAGACUCAACAGAGAAUUUUGAUUUUUAUUCUUUCAAUUAAUUAAAUAAAUAAUAAUACAUGAUCGCACCAUGUGAACUUCACAAGAAGUAGAUGAUCAGUGUCAUGGAAUUCACAUUUAUAAGGACAAGAACAAACAUUUAGUUGUAUCGAGGUAAGCAGGGGAAAUCAAUUGCUUAUUUAUAUAUAUAUAUAUUAUAUAUAUAUAUAUAAUAUACGAUAUAUAUAUAUGAGUGAGGCUACUAAUGCUAUCGCAAGCACAAGGCAUACUAUAUAUAUAUAUAUAUAUACUAUAUAUAUAAUAUAAUAUAUUAUAUAUAUAUAUAUACGAGAUGCGGCUACUAUGCUAUCGAAAGUACGGAGCCUUCCGUGCUUAUCAGUUCGUUUCUAUGUCUUCGACUUUCGAAUCGAUCGAAUCGGCUCCAUUAAUGAUCUAGAGUAUUUGAGUAUCAUAGAAAAUAAUUUUAUAUUUUACGAUUUCAUGUUGCCUAGUGAACGAGAGGCUCUAAAAUAUCAGAACGGCUGGGAAAAUAAAAAUCUUAGAAGAAAAUGUUAAUAAUGUAUGACAUUAAAUUUUUAAAUCAAAGAUAUUGAUAUGUUUUAUAUAGUAUUAAAGAUUUUCUAAUCAAAAUUUCACUGUGAUUUGAAUAUUUCUCACUUGUAAAACUUGCAAACGACUCACUAGGCGCAUUGAAAUUUGUUGAUUUUGGCCCAUGUGCUCACUAGGCAAAAUGAUGAUAUCUAAAAUAAUAAAAUUUAAUUUUCUAGGUAUACUCCAAAUACUCUAGAUCAAAGUUUAACGAGCCGCAUCACAAUUCGGAGUCGCAACAUCGGAAACGAGCUAGAACACGGGAAGGCUCCGUGCUUCAGAUAGCCAUAGUUAGCCUCACUCUAUUAUAUAUAUAUUAUAUAUAUACGUAUAUUAUAGUAUUAGGUUUAUAUAUAUAUAUAUAUAUAUAUAUAUAUAAUUUUACUAUAAUAUGUCAAAUCGACUUCGAUUUAUUAAUAUUAUCUAAAUAAAGGUUCUUUUUCUGUUUUUUUGUUCUUGCCAUUUGCAUAAAAAUCCAUAUUUUGGUUUUUUGCUAAAAUCGGGCACAUUUAGUUUUUGUAUGAUUCGUGUCCGCCAUUUAGUACAACUGACAAAUAUACCUUAUUACUUUUCUGCUUUCCUCUUUCUCUUUCUCUUCGUUUUUCUCGUUCUUUUUUUUCUCGCGCGAAAAAAUAACGAAGGCAGAGGCGAAGGCGGAAAUCGCGUCGCCUCGCCUCUCACCCUCAUGGCUCUCGCCCAUCGCCUCGCCCUCGCCCUCGCCCACGCCACCCUUCAACCUUUCCAUCGCCUCCGCCCGUCACGGCGCGCCGCGACCUUUUUUUUUUUUCUUUUUUUCUUUUCUUUUCUUCUCUGACUUCAUCGACCGUCUCAACGACGGACGUCUCUCUCUCAAUUCGUUUCCCUGCCCUUCUCAGUUCUGCUUCUCUCCCUCUUAUAUUGCGCUCUCCAGACGACGAGUGCCAUCUCGCGGCGGCGACAGCCGACACGGUGGAGGUCACUGCCGCUCUGCAGCCCUAAGCGGAGAGGUCCUUAUGUCACGCCCGGAUUACACGUUCGGCAGGCCGCCGAAUCAAAUCACCUUAUGCAAAAAAUAUUUUCCUGUAUCGAAGCGAAGCUAGUACCUGUAUAAAACAUAAAUAUACAAAAGUAGUAUAGAGCUUAGCUAAGAAUAGUAAAGUAAAAAACCGAGUUCCAUUACUUACACUGAAACCCGAGUACAAAGCUACUCGCGCCGAUGGCGAUUUAAAAGUCUGUUGUACAUGAACCCAAACCAAAAACAUCUACCUGCCGUAGAUGUGCCUCAUAGCUUGCUCUCAGGGUAGGGGGCUAACUCGUUGACGCCUUGACCUAGCUCCUGACCAACAACACGCAGCCAGCGAGACGGAAGACUCUGCAAAAACGGGUAACAACGUCGUGGAACGUACUUAGAACAGUAGUCCUAGUGUGGUGCCGCUCAACAUUAUGGUCCACCACUAAGUCUAAGAAGAGUAACAAGGGCUAGCCGGAAAAGCGGCGAAAGAAAUCUACCGCCUACACACGGCGUACACUAGCAUGAUCUACACUAACCAACUGUUAGUAAAGUCACACACUAUCAAUCUCACUAGGGACUGUGAAACACGCGUCCCGAGUCCUGUCGGAUCGAACCCGUAACCUACUCCAGGAGUAGCUGGUGGAGAAAACUCUCUAGGGACUGUGAAUACACCCAUCCCGUCUAAUUAGGUGACACCGUAGCUCGAGAGUAACCGGCGGAGAAGACUCUUUAAAGACUGUGAAUACACCCGUCUCGUCUACUAGACUACACCGUAUCUCAAGAGUAACCGGCAGAGAAAACUCUCUAAAGACUGUGAAUACACCCGUCUCGCCUAAUUAGACUACACCAUAUCACAAGAGUAGUCGGUUCCAGAAAAGGUCCAACAGGACGGCUAAGACUCCAUUCACGUCACAACCUCACCAAAGGUAGGGAAAAGCGUCACUCACUAUCUCACCCGGGCUGCCCAAAACGGACCCACCCUGCCUGUAUCUAGCUGCGCCGUACACCACCCCGAGGGUAGCCGGCUCAAGAACUGUCCAACAGAAACUGCGACACUCAUCGCACUGAAACCUCAUUCCGGAAUGGCAUUCGUGGGCGCGACCCAACGAGUUUACAAGUAUCUCUGUCAAUUUCAUACCGCUCUCACAGGCUAAGUAAAGUAACCGACUCUAACUGGUCUAACAACCAACAGGUAACGUGCCCUCGGCACAAUCUAACGCCAAAAAGGCGAUACGAGUCCACCGUCAACUUCGACGGCACCCAACGGUCCGGAACAGCCUGAACGCUACUGUAAAAAUACACUCGGCAUUCCAGCAUGAGCGUAACUAAAAACUAAACUACCUGGAAUACUCACUAUGAGGAUACUGCAACAGUAUAAAAUAAUACAACGGCCCCUAGGCUAAAUCAGGUAGUUUAACAUAUGCCAGAUCCCGAACGCUGGUUUUCUCCUAAGUUUAAUUCUAAGUCCAACAUGUAUAUUUAUAGUUACAAGUCAUGCCCUCAAGCUAAUUUUAUUCAUUAUACAAUCGACGAAAUUGAGCUACUACAUGAUUUACAAAAAUAGGAAAUCAUACAUGUCGACUACUAUAAUACUUAGGAAUAAACCGAUGUAACCCACCUCGAUCGCUAAUCUCUGGCAGCACGGAACUCCCCUCGGCUGCGAAACAACCUGCCGAAACGUCCGAAAACCUCCCAAGGCCCGAAGUCAAGCUCCCGCUAAACUCUACACGGAGAAUCCGACAAUAAACAUUAAUUCUGCCUCCAAAAACAGAAACAGAGAAGAGCGAAAUUCCAACCUAGCAAACCUUUACCAAAUCCAGCAAGUAAGGGCUUCGUGGAUUCCUCUCGAAGUCCCGAAUCCAAAUAACCAAGUCCCGUCGAAACCCGACGCUCCUACGCCGAGUACGAACUGAAAUACCGACGGUCGACGCUGGAAAUUCUGCAAAUCAGCACCAAGCUCGAAAUGAUAAUAUUUGAAGCAAUGCAACGGAACACUCACCUCAAAGGCUAAUCGGACAUCGACGCGGCGUCGAGAACGGCGAAAACACACCCUCGCCUAGCUUCCUCGCAGCGCUACGAUCCCAACCGUACCCUCGAACGUCUUCGCGACGCGUCGUCGGCGUCGAAUCCGAGCUCCUCGGCUACCUCUACCCGUGCUCUCCGCCAUGCACGUAAUUAACUAGAGAGAACAAAAAAAAUGCACACCCUCUGUUAAUUUGAAGGGAUAAACAUGAAAACGGUGGUGGCAUCCUUAUCCAAAAAAAAUGACCACUAUGCCCCUAGACCAACUCAAAAUGAAGGGUAUUACAUCCUCCCCCACUAUAAAAAGUUUCGUCCUCGAAACUUAAAACAUACUUCAAACCUGAGUCUCGAACAAGUAGGGAUAGGACUCCCGCAUCACCAUCUUCGGCUCCGAGGUCGCCUCCCGUUCCUUGUGAUUGCUCCACUGCACUUUCACAUACGGGAUGACCCGGUUGCACAAUUCUUUCGUCUCCCGAGCAAGAAUCCGCAACAGUCGUUCCUCGUAUCUCAGAUCCUCGCCAAUCUCUAGUGGAGUAAAGUCAAUCACGUGAGAGGGAUCGAAAACAUAUCUCCUUAACGCCGAGACGUGGAACACAUCAUGAAUCCCAACAAGUCGGGGUGGUAGAGCAAUCCUGUAGGCUACUGGUCCAACUCGCUCCAAUACCUCGAAAGGGCCAACGAAACGUGGACUGAGCUUUCCACGCACUCCAAAUCGGCGAAUCCCUCUGGACGGUGAGACUUUGAGAAAAACAUAAUCUCCAACCUAAAACUCUAAGUCUCGUCUCCUGGUAUCAAUGUAGCUCCUCUGGCGGCUCUGAGUUGUCAAAAGGUGUCUGUCACGCCCCGGGGCCGAUUUUAAAAGCCUUUUNNNNNNNNNNNNNNNNNNNNNNNNNNNNNNNNNNNNNNNNNNNNNNNNNNNNNNNNNNNNNNNNNNNNNNNNNNNNNNNNNNNNNNNNNNNNNNNNNNNNGAGUUCCUAUAUUUGCACGGUAGUCGAAUCAUAUACACAGUAACCAGGUACAACAAACAGAUGUAUCUUAAAGUAAUUAUACAUUCAUACAUUCACCAUUCCAUAACAGUUUUACAAUCAAGGUUUUAAACAGAUCCAAAAAAAUCUUUUGAAAAUGUUCUACACAGAAAAUUUUAGUUCUUUUAAAAGUGCUACACGAGCGGGUAGAAAACUUUUAUUUUACAAAUAUCCAGUACAUCCACAUUUCAAAUGUAAUAAAAUUUACAUGAACCACAAUAAACUUAACUAAACUAUUAUAUCAACGAAAUACCAAUGGAUAAUAACUAAAUGAAAUAACAGUGGCGUCGGAAGACUUACGACGCUCGUACGUGCCUCACGUCUCGUCUCAAUCUCAUCGCCCGCGAUACGUGAAAAAAUUGGGGGGAGAGUAGAGAAAUGGUAACAUUGUUCCCUCCCAAGUUGAGUAGAAGCGAGAAGGCGAGGAGUACUACCGGAUCGAAAGAGCUAACAACAGUAACGGGUCUCAGUAGAAAAGUACCGUAGCAAAAUAUGGAUGAAAGAGACAUAUAUAUGAAAGCAGUACAACUACCCGCUAAUGUAACAUGAAAAUGCAAGCAUACAGAGGAUACAAAAUAUAGUAGCAGAAACUGUAAAGAAAGAACUAAAUGAGUAUAUAUGAAACAACGCUACUUAUAGCUAUAUGCGUCACGGACGAAGAAAGUCAAACUGUUACCCAUCUAACCGCCGUGUCGGUUAAGGACCUAGGCAAAAGCACUAUUUGCUCAAACCUGGAUUGUAACCCUAAGCACAAUGAGACACCGCUGGAUAAGGGUCGGUCAAAUGUCGACACUUUUUCGGAAAGAACACCUCCUGGCGGGGCAUUCACAACCCGCUGGGUGUCGUGAAUGCACUGGCUGUGGCGAUCAAUGCGGAUAUGAUCAAUUAGCCAACUGGUCGGCGACCAUGCCGACAAUCAUGCCCCUUAUGGGCAUACGCGUUGUAGGUCAUCAAGUAAUAACUGUGAACGACGAGAUAGGUCAAUGUACGAAUAGUAACGAACGACCAAACAGAUCCAGUGAAACACAGGAGAACGACAACCAGGUCACAAGUCAUAGUAAAAUUGAUGCAAUCUACUCAUAUCCCUAUAAGAGAUAUACACACUAGAAACCCAGGCCAGCGCUAAAUCACGAUAUGUAUCUUGUAAAUAUUGCUCGAUGUAUUAAAUGUCACGAACCAGAACAGACCCGAUAGGUCACAAUGGUGUAUUCGAUAUUAGUCCUGAAUACCGUCCUUAGCAGCAUCGACAAUCUUACCUCAGGGUACACCGACUAGAAGGUCUCGACGACAUGAGUCAAGAAAAUAGACAACCACUACAUAUGCAAACAACCCGACAACCCACUAGUUAAUGCACAAGCGACAAGCCAUAUAUGUGCCAACAAGGCGACAAACGUAGUCAACAGGAUAUAAGAUAAAGCAUCGAUCGUCUAGGUCACCGAAACGUAGUACUUAGAAACCGACAUUCAGGGUCAACGGUAAUUUCAAUUGGAUAACUCUUUACUCCUAAUCAUGUUAUAGCAUAGAAACAUAUGAGUAGAGUAUGAUAGAAACAACGGGGAUGCAAGCUCAAUAUAUAAUACGAAAAUAGCAAUAGAAGAACAGGGAUAGAAGAAAUAUCACCGAGCGUGCACCACUGUACCGACGUCGGAUCGAAGUACCCACAUGUUCGGAUGACGCGACUGUCUCCUGACUGCAAAAGAAUGUCGACAGGACCUAUAGAGGGUCCACCGGGUUAGUAUCUAACCCACAACUAAUAAUCACAGUAUCCACAACCCCACAAACGAUUCCACGAAGAUAGGUUUCCCAAUACCGAUUACCGUAACUCGCCGGAAGUCCCGAAAACUACACCGGGACGUCGUCGGGACCCACUAAGUGUCCCGAACUCACCGACUCGUGCCACGAGUCACCUGCUGCCCCAAAACACUCUAAUUUGGAUGUUUUGGCAGCAAACACAAGAUAGCACCCCUACACAAUUAUCGCCGGAUAAUUGUACGCAUUCGGGUUCCCGAAAGUGUCUAUUUCGACACCGGAACCCUCCGUCGCUCACCAAUCAUCAUCGAACCUACAAAAUAAUGAUGGUGACCCACCAACAAGGCUCAGCAACAAAACACAGAGCAAACAAACACCGUCGAAAAGAAUCCGAACCGAAAUCGCGUUCUUUCGACGAAUUUCGUCGAAAAACGCACCGAAAUCGACCUUUCGAUUUCCGCAAAAGCUACAGGAUCAUGGACAAUCAGUCCAGAGGUCAAAACACACUCUUACACGCUGCCCACAGUAGCCACAAGGCGUACAAUUGCACAAAAGCCCCUAUGUUUACAUAAAAUCCAUCAUUUUAUGUAAAUCAGGCAACUCCUAUGACUCGUUCUCACAAACUGAGGACCUCUAAGUUCCGCCGACACACGUACUGACAGGUCUCGACGUGCCGGAGGCCGUGCUCAUGGUCUGGAGCGCAACAGGUCACUGUGGGAAGCGCGGGAGCUACCCGAAGUUCUGCGAACAGCGCGCAGUCGGGGAAGAUCGCGCCAAACAGGGCUGACCGGACACUGUUGAUCCAAAGUGAGGUGAGCAAUGUGAUCAGCACAGACCAACGAUCACCGUGCUCACCUCCGGAGGCAUCAGGACAGCCUCGGAUUGCCGGAUAAGCGCGCGCAAACCCAAAACAGCAGCCAAACAGGCUCCACGGGGUCGACACAGCGAAAACAGCAGAACGGAGUCUCCCCAACAGAAUCUAAGGUGAGCACGAUGAUCAGCAAUUUGCCACGAUCACCGUGCUCCCUUCCGUAGGGAUCGGGGAGGCUCGGAUCGCUCAGAACAACAAACAACCCACAAACAGCCCUAUUUCGGGCUUGGCCGGAGCAAGCUUGCUCCGGCCGGCCUCCGGCGACACGGCGGCGCGCGCGGGGGCCAGGGAUGGGUGCGGGGGAGGGAAGGAGCACGAUGCUCACCUCAGUUAGCGGCUGGAAGCGGCGGCGGCAGCGGUGGAACAACCCAAGCCCGCACCAGGUUCGGCUCGGGUUCCAAGGGCACCUGCGGCCACGGCGGCGGCCGGGGCUCCUCGGGGACGACGGC